AUCAACCCACUACAGUGACGAAAUAAGAUUAACUAGUGUACACGAAACUUGGGAUUAAUCGGCAACAACCGAUCCAUCGGCAUCAUAAUUACCAGCAUCAUCAUGAUGAUGGUUGAUACUCACAGCUGGUUCAUCGUCUUCAUUUUGCCCUCCAACGUUUUCAAUGUCAUUGUUUCCAAUGUUUAGCACUUCGUGAUCUGGGAAUACAACCGGCUCGGCUUCUACGGAACCGUCACUUCCAUCAUCUUCGUCAUCUCCAUCAAUCACCAGUGGGUUAGUCGGGUUGAAUCCCAUUAUCCUAUCAAAGUUGCAUGCCGGUGCUUGUUUGCUUCGAAAACAAACUUGCACUCUUCGAACAACGGAAAACCGUUAACCCUAAACAUUCUCUCUUCCUCCGUCUCCUGUAUAUUGUAUGGAAGAAAAGUUAAAUUAUAUUGUUGUUGGGAAUCGGACAAGUGUACGCAGUGGAAAACAAAAAUUUUAUGCGAUUUAAACAAUUUAAAACACAUAAACACAUUCCCGAUAAUUGAAAACAAUUAAUUGCGUACCUUAGCGCUUCCAGCGAAUUUAAAAACAACAUACAUGCUUAAUUACUUAAUCAAAAUUAAAUCAACUAGCAUGCUCGCGUUUAAAUCAAAUAAUCAUGCUCGCAAUAAUAAAAACAAUUUCAUGUAGACACAUAAAAUCAUACAAGUUACUUGUUAGAACGAACAUGCAUAUAUUAAUUUAAACGAAACCGAAUCGAACGACAAUGGAUUCGAAACUUUACCUCUUGAAGCGUCAGGUAGGUGCACUAAGCGAAGCUAGAUUGCCACGGAAACCAAUCCGUGCAAUCCGGGGCACCAACGGCGAUGCAACAGCGGCGAUGAUCCGAGCUAUGGCGGCGUGUGUGGUUCACGCGCUGUCUUCGGGCGGCGCGUGGAUGCGCGUGCGUCGUCGGCUCGGUGGCUGCUCCUUAAUUCUUCGAUUCUUCGAUCUUUCUCCUCUCGGAUUUCACCUCGUAUACAUUGAUCUACUAAAACGUGGCACUAGACACGAAAUAGUUAGAAUAAAACGGAAGAAACGAAAAGAGAAAAGAGCUAAAAAACGGAAGAAACGAAAAGAGAAAAGAGCUACCAAGAUGAUCGGCUAACGGAUGGCCGAUUCCGGCGAGAUGGCGGCGGCGGCGACUGCGGUGGUGGCCGCGGGAGAAGAUGGCCGAGAGUGACAGGGAGCGGCUAGGGUUUCGUGUGUGAGUUAUAUAUUGUGCAUGACCUAUAAAUCAAGUAUUUAUAGUGUCUUGCAUAAAACCCUAACGGGCUUAAGUGUGACCGGGCCCAACAGCUUAAGUUCGUUAGUUCUUUUACUCGCUCGUCUCUCUCAAUUCGAUGAUCGAAAAAUUGUAACAAUUACAUUUUCGGAAUCAUUAUAAUGUCCUCGUUAUUACGAGUGCCGAUUCUCAAUUUCCAACUUUCUAAAAGUGGAAACCCUAAUUCAGUGCACUUUCUAAAUUUGGAAAAUUCCUGAUUUAGAAAGUCCACUAAGAUAUUCGCCUAUUCUUUUUCUUUUCUUACUCUCAUUCAUAAUUCCAAAUUACGAAUCUUGGACCCAAUCAUAUUGACUUCCAAUCAUGCAAAGAUAAACCAUUUUUACCUUUGACCGUUUAUUCAAAGAUCUCAUGUGCACGAGCAGUGUGACCCUCGAUGGUUCAGGUGUAAGCUAGCCGUGGGCCCACAACCCUUUGUGGUCAAAACUCGUCCCUUAGAGUUACGAUUAAGAUUACACUUGUUUCACCUUAAUCACCCAACGAAUCAAGAUUGGUGUCUAGCAACUACGCGUCAUGAUUCCCUAGAUACAAAUGAAGUGCCUGCAAGAACCUUUUGAUAUAGUUAGCGUACAGUACGAUCGCUUCGAUUCAUAUGUCCCGAUCGAACUAGAGGCAUUGGUUCACCGAGACCUCUUUAUUUGUUCAAUGGUCGUGCGAUCGUUCUAAGUUUUGUAAUCGUUACGUGCAUGACUUAGAGAACUGAAUUCUCUAAUCAUCACUUAGUCAGCUCUGGCCAGAAACUUGGAGAGAUUACAAACUAUGAGAACACACAGGACAUCCAAGACUAUUAUAGCGAUCGUAUCCCCGACUAGAAUGCACAGACCUCGCACUAGAUUUCGGACUGCACGAACACUGGCCCUUGGGGUGGUCCUCGGUGGAACUCAGGGACAAGUCACGAUACAGCUGGUCCUUUAUUGAAGUCACGGUGAUGCCUAGGUCAUAAGGACUAAUGGUGUACAACUAUACCAUAGAUAUCUCUACUCGAUUAUUGAGAACCACUUAGAGAUUUCUAGGGUGAGGGAGUUCAGUGAACUCGUCAACUUACGAGCACACACUUAUGCAUGCCGAUAUCACAAUACCAUUUACGGAUGAGAUGCAGUACACAUACACUAAGUGCUAGUCUCUUAAUGAGAAAGGGCGAUAUCCUCAUUUAUGGCGUAACCGUUCGACUAGGAACACGUUUGACAGUUAUAAUACUUAAGUAAAUAGCUCACGAUCCUAACGAUCAAUUACUAGUACUUGUAAUAACUGUAAGGACUAUAUCUAUGCUUGUGACAAAGGGACGACAAAGAUAUAGAAUGCCAAGGUGUUUUAUCAUUAAUACGAAAAAUGUUUGUUUAUUACCAUAAUAAAUAUUAAAGACCACAACUACAUGUUGGCUUGUUGGUCACCUACUCUAACAAUUGUAACAAUUUUUUUGAAACAAACGAGUACACUACAUUUAAGGACAUGGAUUAAAGACUUACUUGCCGAUUCCGUGGCCAAAAACUCCAGUCCAAAGUGAUCAUUUUUGUACAACGGUCGAACAUCACACCAUCCACUGCAAUGUAACUCUUAAACGACAAAAACCUGUUUCGAAACCAGUCCAUUCUGCACUUUAUGGCAAUUUCAUCGAAGUUUUUUUCGAAAUGGAAGUUCACUAGCAGAUACACAUCGAAGAGCAGAUCUUCAUACGUCUCGUUGUUACGCAGAGUUUCUAUGGAUCAGGUACCUUCGGCAGCCGAUUUCAUUAAAAAAUCAUCGUAUUCGAAGGGCCAACUGGGAGUGUUAAGCCUGGCCACAUCCUAUGAUUACGGGUUCUUGGUCUGGACAUGAUCCUACAAUCAUUGAACAAGAAAUGAUAUUACAAAACAGUAGAAUUUACCUCUACAAAAAAGCACCAUAAAAUUGAUACUGCAAACCUUGGUACAUCUAUCCUUAGUUGGUCAGACGAAGAGUUUUUAGGGUUAGGAAAGUGAAUAAUUGAGAUUUAAAAUAAAUAAUCUUAACCACCUCACUAUCCUGCAUUCAUAAUCAAAUUUAAAUUGAAAUGAUUUGUGAUGUCCAAUAGUCAUUCCUGCCAACCAAUCGACGCCCGAGGUGCUGCAAACGCACUCGAUCAACCUUCUUUUACACGUCAACUGAUGUUGCAUAUGAUGCUUCACAGCUUCGAAAACUUAACCACCAAUUCGUAUUUAAUGUUUAUAAUUAUUUCACUACAUGCCCUCCCACUUGUAUGUUUAUUUGUUUUUGCACAUUUGCAAUUGUACCAGUGUCAUUUAAUUUCAACUGCUCCAUUGCACAAUGUAAUUAUGAAGAAAAUUCUCUGCUAUAUCUUUGUGAAGUGAUUUAAGGCUUGUGUUGUCAAUCCUAACAUUAAAUUGUCUCAGAUAAUAUUUUUGGCUGAUAAAUGUGUUCACAUCCUAACCCUCCUCAACCAACGCAAUUUGUUAGGGUUUCAUUGCCUUAUAGUGAUGAAUACAGAACUGCCAAAUGUAAGAAUUCAUUUACAAAUUAAAUUAAAAACAUUUGCAUGGCACCAAAGAAAAAACAAAUCUCUCGACAAGAAGAUUUUUUGUACGAGCUAGAAUGGAGUGAAAGAAUCGAUGAUUAUUUCAUCGAGCUAUUAUGUAUGGAAUCAUGUCUUGGCAAUAUCAAACGUGAAGAGAAGAAUACACUUGCACUUUUCAGUUGUCAAGAAGCAAUACAGAACAAGUUUAACACAUGUUUUUCAUACAAACAUCAAACCAAGAAGCUCGGUUUGUUGCUCAUACAUUUUAAGACGUUCCAUUAGAUUCUUGCACAAGACGGUGUUGUUUAUAAUUCGUCUACGAACAUCGUUUCUGCACCAGAUGGUACUUGGGAUUAUAUUUCGAAGGUAUUUAUUUCUCUGUACAAAAAUACAAUAAUCAUACAAGUAUAUAUAUAUAUAUAUAUAAUGAUGAUGAUGAUGAUGAUGCUAGAGUUAGAUCACCUUAAAGUGUUGAAGUAGGAUGAGCUGGAAGAGCAGAGUGGAUCACUAGCUCACGAGCUUGAUGACCUUGAGAUACCUACAAACAGAGAACACGUGAACUAGGCCGGAGGUUGAUCCGGCGGAAACCCCUCCGACGCUCAAGUUAGACGUGUGGGUAAUGAAAAUAGUCUAGAGAAUACAUGUUGUCGUAUUGCUCAGUUAAUAGGACGUACCUUUAAUAAAUGAAUUAUAUCGUUAUUUAUACAUUAGUUGAGAUUGUUGGGCCCAAACCUUAUUUGAAGGUGAUUGGGCCUCGAUGAUAGUGGUUUUCAAUAUUGGGCUCGUGGCCCAGUAGGUAAAUAAAUUGUAAGCCCAUUGGAUUGGCCCAAUUAGGCAUAUCAUUAAGCCCCCCACUCUCGAGUCGAUGUGGGGGCCAUGUUGAAAUGGGUGUCGGAUCGUGUCGAGAGUAAAAAUUAUAGUAGUCGCUCGUUGGCGUAUGGCCUGAUGGUGUGCGAAAACGCGUAGGAGCGUUUGUCGGAAGGGCGUGAAGGUGCGUUGGCGCGUAGCGCGACCAAGUUGUCGCGAUAUAAGUUACUUGAGUCGUCGAUGUAGUCCGGCGACGAUGUACCGGUGAGUUAUCUCCUCAUGGGAGUUGUCUCGUCGCGGGUAAUAGAGUUGAUCGAGUUAUCUCCUCGUGGGAGUUGUCUCGCGAUAAUGUAGCAGCACAGGACGAGUAAUCUCCUCGUGGGAGUUGUUAUUUAUUGACAUUGUCAAUGUUUCGACGCGUUUCUUAUAUGUGUUUACAUAUAGCCUUGUGCGUGAUGUACUUGAGGAGAUGAUCAAGCUCUCAAGAUUUUUUUUUAUGGGGAUCGUGCCCCUUGUUAGACCUCGUAGGUUGUAAGUAUGUUAAGACCGUGGCCACGUUUUAAUGAAGGACCCGUCGAAGACAAGUAGAGAAAUUUGAGUAAUCAAGCUGGCCAGGCUAUAUAGAUUCCCAUAAUAUCUCUAAGUGUUUCUAGGGUCGUAAUCGUGUUAACUUGAGCUUGUGAUUGUGUAGUGAAUUGCGAGCGAGUUGUCUCCUUGAGAAAGUUGUCUCGCAACGAAGUUGUUGGAGCGUUGGAUGACGCUCGACUGAGGAGCGUGCGGAUUGAGGUCGCUCUGAGCGAGUUGUCUCCUUGUUGCAGUUAUCUCGCAAUGAGUCUUACUACCGAGCGAGGUAGCUCCUCAUGGGAGUUGCCUUGCAACGGGUUCGUAGUGUCGAUCGAGUUAGUUCCUCGUGGGAGUUGUCUCGCUGCGGGUUUUAGUAGCGAGCGAGUUGGCUCCACGUAGGUGUUGUCUCGCUGCGGGUUGUAGUACUGAGCGAGUUGGCUCCUCGUGGGAGUUGUCUCGCUAUACGUUCGUAGUACCGAGCGAGUUGGCGCUCCUCGUGGGAGUUGUCUCGCUGCGAGUUCGUAGUACCGAGCGAGUUGGCUCAUCGUGGGAGUUAUCUCGCAACGGGUUCGUAGUUCUGAGCGAGUUGCCUCCUCGUGGGAGUUGUCUCACCCAAGGGUACGUGAUCGCCUCAUCCUAAGUUGUGGAUUAUCCCAUCGGCGCUGCCCCAACCCCCAUCCGGCGACGCCCCAGCCGCCCCAGCACUCGUCCGGCGCCGCCUGAGUACCCGCCUGGCGCCGCCCCAACCCCCACCCCUAUUUCCUCUCUCUUCACCGUCGCCGAACGACAUCUAUGGGCGGUAGGAAAAGGUAAAUAUUUUUUUUCUCGCUUCAAUCAUCUUUCAAUGGUUUUAGGGUUUGUGGGGAAGGUUCCUAUUUGAUAAAGAUAUUGUGAAAAAGACUAUUAAUUCUUAUAAAUUAAUUUUUUUCUUGAUCAGAUUUAUACAGUGACCCUCGUCGGCCUUGUUGGUGGUGGUGUACUGAUCUUGCACUUUUUCCUGGAUAUAGUAGUGACUUACGUUUUAAAUAGCGGAUUUUUGAAUAGUGAAUUUAUGUUUUUUAUAGAUGUGUUAGUAGUGGAUUUACGUAUGUUUUUAGUGGAUUUCGAUAACUUUGUUGUUGAUCAUGUUAUUAUUAAAGUGGAUUACGUUAAUUUUUCGUGAUUGGUCUUGCACUUUUUCUUGGACAUAAUAGUGGUUUACGUUUCUAAUAGUGGUUUACGUUUCAAAUAACGAGAAGAAGAUGAUUACACGGACUAUGCUCUAGGGUUCAUUAGAGGGAAGAUGGUGUCUUUUAUAGUGAGUUUAUAGCUUCAUUUUUCGCAGAAUUUUAAUGUUUUCUUGUUAGAAUUCAUAGUGGUUUUCGAUGUUUAUAUAAUUUUGUAUACAUAGUGGUUUUCAUGUUUAUAUAGUUGUUUUAUGCAGAGUGGUUUUCAUGUUUAUAUAGAUGUUUUCAUAGAGUGGUUUUAAAAGUUAUAGCGGAUUUCGAAGUUUAUAGUGGAUUCAACUUUGAUAAAUCUGCUGGAUGUUUCUUUAAAUAUUAAAAUAAUAAAAAUUAAUCCAAUUAAAAAAAAAUUAAUAAAAAAAUAAUUAAAAAAUAUUUUUUAUUUAAGAAAAGUGGGAAAAAUCAUUUAAAAAAAACCGAAAUUAAGAAAAAAAAAACUAUUAAAAAUGAAAAAAAUAAAACUAUUUUUUAAAAAUUCAAAAUAAAAAAAUGAAAUAUAAAUAACAAAAAAAAAUAAUUUGAAACAAAAAAAACCGAAAAUAAAAAAAUUACAAAAUAAAAGAAAACCAUUAAAAAGAAAAGAAAAGAAAAGAAAAAAAAAAGAAUUUAAAAUGGCAUAAUAUGGGAGAUAUUAAGGGGAUUAGUAUAUCUAAAAAAAUUAAUUAAUUUUCCUUAAUAGUAAAUGAGGGUAUUUUGGAUAAUUCAUGUCAAUUGUGUUUAUAACAAAUAUCAAUUAAUAAAAAUGAAUUAUCAUCAAGUAGAAAUUGAAUUCGGGGUGUUUGUCAUAUAGCCCCUUAAUUAAAAGAGGGAUAUCCAACUUUUUUGUCUUUCAAAUAAAUCCAGCUCAUUCAAACUUAUUUACAAAUAAGGAAAAUUCUUGUAAAUAUACCAAAUUAUCCUUAGAUCAUUGAAACCCAAUUCAACUCCAAUUUCAUGAUUUACACCACAAUUUAGCACAAUUUCACCAAUUAACCAAUUUUAACCCUAAUUUUAAUUUUGACCCCAACUUUGACCCGCCACCACCGGAGACCGUCGGUCAGCCGCCGGUCUCCGGCGUUGACCUUUUUUUUUUAAACCUUUUUUUCUCUGAAACUUUUUUCCGGUAGGUCAACCGUACUUUUCUUAAAAAAAAUAUUAUAAUUAAUAUUACUGUCUUGGCUGCUAAAUUAACUGUCGGAGACAGUAAUUUAACUGUUAAUUGACUUUUUUUUUUUAAUUAAUAUUACUGUCUUGGCUGCUAAAUUACUGUCUCCAACAGUUAUUUAACUGUCGGAGACAUUAAUUUAACUGUUCAUAGAAUAUUUUUUUCUUAAAAAAAUAUUUUAAUUAAUAUUACUGUCUUGACUGCUAAAUUAUUGUCUCCAACAGUUAUUUAGCUGUCGGAGACAGUAAUUUAACUGUUAAUUGACUUUUUUUUUUGAAUUUUAUUUUCUUAAAUAAAAUUAUUUUAAUUAAUAUUACUGUCUCCAACAAUAAUUUAACUAUCUGAUACAAUAAUAUUACUGUAUUAAUUAAUUUUAUCGUUUUGGCGUUCAUUUUUAUUGUCUUAGGCUGUAAUAUUACUAUAUCCGACCGUAAUAUUACUGUCUUAUGCAAUAAUAUUAUUGUUUGGACAGUAAUAUUAGUAAUAUUACUGUUCCGAAAAAUAAUAUUCAUAAUAUUACUGUCCCAGACAUGGGGUAUUUUGUUUAAAUCCGGGGUCAAUGUGUAAUAUUAAGGAAGUUAGAGCAUAAUGAAUGGAAUUGACAAAAAAUAUAUUGAGGGUAUUUUUGACUAAGGACAUGGGGAUGUGUUUAUUUGACAAACUGUUUUUUUUUUUUUUUUUUGUGAGACCAAUGUGCAUUUAAGUCCCUUGUGAUUGGUUUUUUUGUCAUUCGCCCUAUUAUAUUUCAAGCUAUAACCACAUGUGUUCAUUUUUGGGUCUGCAGUUAGACACAACCAUGGGCCGGUUUUCGUCUCGGAACCAGCCCGAACCGGCCCGUUGACGAACCGGACCGGCCCGUUGAUCGGUGAACUGGUCACGGAACCGUGAACCGGCCCGUGUACCUCGAGACGGGCCCGGUUCUAGAAAUAGGUGAUCCGUGAACCUCCGGGCCGGCCCAGCGGUUACGUUCACCCGGAUUUAAAAAAAUAAAAUAAAAAAAGCUGAAAAAAGCUUUAAAAAUCUGAACUAGCCCGGUGAACCGGCCCAGUAAACCGACCGUUACUUGCUCUUUUUUGAAUUUUUUUCCACCCCAUUUUUUCCUAUAAAUUUAAGUUCAAGUCCUUUUAUUUAUUUCCUUUUGUUUUUUUUCUAUUUAAAGUAUUAUUUAUUUAUUUAUCCAUCAAGGAUAUAUAUAUAUAUAUAUAUAUAUAUAUNNNNNNNNNNNNNNNNNNNNNNNNNNNNNNNNNNNNNNNNNNNNNNNNNNNNNNNNNNNNNNNNNNNNNNNNNNNNNNNNNNNNNNNNNNNNNNNNNNNNNNNNNNNNNNNNNNNNNNNNNNNNNNNNNNNNNNNNNNNNNNNNNNNNNNNNNNNNNNNNNNNNNNNNNNNNNNNNNNNNNNNNNNNNNNNNNNNNNNNNNNNNNNNNNNNNNNNNNNNNNNNNNNNNNNNNNNNNNNNNNNNNNNNNNNNNNNNNNNNNNNNNNNNNNNNNNNNNNNNNNNNNNNNNNNNNNNNNNNNNNNNNNNNNNNNNNNNNNNNNNNNNNNNNNNNNNNNNNNNNNNNNNNNNNNNNNNNNNNNNNNNNNNNNNNNNNNNNNNNNNNNNNNNNNNNNNNNNNNNNNNNNNNNNNNNNNNNNNNNNNNNNNNNNNNNNNNNNNNNNNNNNNNNNNNNNNNNNNNNNNNNNNNNNNNNNNNNNNNNNNNNNNNNNNNNNNNNNNNNNNNNNNNNNNNNNNNNNNNNNNNNNNNNNNNNNNNNNNNNNNNNNNNNNNNNNNNNNNNNNNNNNNNNNNNNNNNNNNNNNNNNNNNNNNNNNNNNNNNNNNNNNNNNNNNNNNNNNNNNNNNNNNNNNNNNNNNNNNNNNNNNNNNNNNNNNNNNNNNNNNNNNNNNNNNNNNNNNNNNNNNNNNNNNNNNNNNNNNNNNNNNNNNNNNNNNNNNNNNNNNNNNNNNNNNNNNNNNNNNNNNNNNNNNNNNNNNNNNNNNNNNNNNNNNNNNNNNNNNNNNNNNNNNNNNNNNNNNNNNNNNNNNNNNNNNNNNNNNNNNNNNNNNNNNNNNNNNNNNNNNNNNNNNNNNNNNNNNNNNNNNNNNNNNNNNNNNNNNNNNNNNNNNNNNNNNNNNNNNNNNNNNNNNNNNNNNNNNNNNNNNNNNNNNNNNNNNNNNNNNNNNNNNNNNNNNNNNNNNNNNNNNNNNNNNNNNNNNNNNNNNNNNNNNNNNNNNNNNNNNNNNNNNNNNNNNNNNNNNNNNNNNNNNNNNNNNNNNNNNNNNNNNNNNNNNNNNNNNNNNNNNNNNNNNNNNNNNNNNNNNNNNNNNNNNNNNNNNNNNNNNNNNNNNNNNNNNNNNNNNNNNNNNNNNNNNNNNNNNNNNNNNNNNNNNNNNNNNNNNNNNNNNNNNNNNNNNNNNNNNNNNNNNNNNNNNNNNNNNNNNNNNNNNNNNNNNNNNNNNNNNNNNNNNNNNNNNNNNNNNNNNNNNNNNNNNNNNNNNNNNNNNNNNNNNNNNNNNNNNNNNNNNNNNNNNNNNNNNNNNNNNNNNNNNNNNNNNNNNNNNNNNNNNNNNNNNNNNNNNNNNNNNNNNNNNNNNNNNNNNNNNNNNNNNNNNNNNNNNNNNNNNNNNNNNNNNNNNNNNNNNNNNNNNNNNNNNNNNNNNNNNNNNNNNNNNNNNNNNNNNNNNNNNNNNNNNNNNNNNNNNNNNNNNNNNNNNNNNNNNNNNNNNNNNNNNNNNNNNNNNNNNNNNNNNNNNNNNNNNNNNNNNNNNNNNNNNNNNNNNNNNNNNNNNNNNNNNNNNNNNNNNNNNNNNNNNNNNNNNNNNNNNNNNNNNNNNNNNNNNNNNNNNNNNNNNNNNNNNNNNNNNNNNNNNNNNNNNNNNNNNNNNNNNNNNNNNNNNNNNNNNNNNNNNNNNNNNNNNNNNNNNNNNNNNNNNNNNNNNNNNNNNNNNNNNNNNNNNNNNNNNNNNNNNNNNNNNNNNNNNNNNNNNNNNNNNNNNNNNNNNNNNNNNNNNNNNNNNNNNNNNNNNNNNNNNNNNNNNNNNNNNNNNNNNNNNNNNNNNNNNNNNNNNNNNNNNNNNNNNNNNNNNNNNNNNNNNNNNNNNNNNNNNNNNNNNNNNNNNNNNNNNNNNNNNNNNNNNNNNNNNNNNNNNNNNNNNNNNNNNNNNNNNNNNNNNNNNNNNNNNNNNNNNNNNNNNNNNNNNNNNNNNNNNNNNNNNNNNNNNNNNNNNNNNNNNNNNNNNNNNNNNNNNNNNNNNNNNNNNNNNNNNNNNNNNNNNNNNNNNNNNNNNNNNNNNNNNNNNNNNNNNNNNNNNNNNNNNNNNNNNNNNNNNNNNNNNNNNNNNNNNNNNNNNNNNNNNNNNNNNNNNNNNNNNNNNNNNNNNNNNNNNNNNNNNNNNNNNNNNNNNNNNNNNNNNNNNNNNNNNNNNNNNNNNNNNNNNNNNNNNNNNNNNNNNNNNNNNNNNNNNNNNNNNNNNNNNNNNNNNNNNNNNNNNNNNNNNNNNNNNNNNNNNNNNNNNNNNNNNNNNNNNNNNNNNNNNNNNNNNNNNNNNNNNNNNNNNNNNNNNNNNNNNNNNNNNNNNNNNNNNNNNNNNNNNNNNNNNNNNNNNNNNNNNNNNNNNNNNNNNNNNNNNNNNNNNNNNNNNNNNNNNNNNNNNNNNNNNNNNNNNNNNNNNNNNNNNNNNNNNNNNNNNNNNNNNNNNNNNNNNNNNNNNNNNNNNNNNNNNNNNNNNNNNNNNNNNNNNNNNNNNNNNNNNNNNNNNNNNNNNNNNNNNNNNNNNNNNNNNNNNNNNNNNNNNNNNNNNNNNNNNNNNNNNNNNNNNNNNNNNNNNNNNNNNNNNNNNNNNNNNNNNNNNNNNNNNNNNNNNNNNNNNNNNNNNNNNNNNNNNNNNNNNNNNNNNNNNNNNNNNNNNNNNNNNNNNNNNNNNNNNNNNNNNNNNNNNNNNNNNNNNNNNNNNNNNNNNNNNNNNNNNNNNNNNNNNNNNNNNNNNNNNNNNNNNNNNNNNNNNNNNNNNNNNNNNNNNNNNNNNNNNNNNNNNNNNNNNNNNNNNNNNNNNNNNNNNNNNNNNNNNNNNNNNNNNNNNNNNNNNNNNNNNNNNNNNNNNNNNNNNNNNNNNNNNNNNNNNNNNNNNNNNNNNNNNNNNNNNNNNNNNNNNNNNNNNNNNNNNNNNNNNNNNNNNNNNNNNNNNNNNNNNNNNNNNNNNNNNNNNNNNNNNNNNNNNNNNNNNNNNNNNNNNNNNNNNNNNNNNNNNNNNNNNNNNNNNNNNNNNNNNNNNNNNNNNNNNNNNNNNNNNNNNNNNNNNNNNNNNNNNNNNNNNNNNNNNNNNNNNNNNNNNNNNNNNNNNNNNNNNNNNNNNNNNNNNNNNNNNNNNNNNNNNNNNNNNNNNNNNNNNNNNNNNNNNNNNNNNNNNNNNNNNNNNNNNNNNNNNNNNNNNNNNNNNNNNNNNNNNNNNNNNNNNNNNNNNNNNNNNNNNNNNNNNNNNNNNNNNNNNNNNNNNNNNNNNNNNNNNNNNNNNNNNNNNNNNNNNNNNNNNNNNNNNNNNNNNNNNNNNNNNNNNNNNNNNNNNNNNNNNNNNNNNNNNNNNNNNNNNNNNNNNNNNNNNNNNNNNNNNNNNNNNNNNNNNNNNNNNNNNNNNNNNNNNNNNNNNNNNNNNNNNNNNNNNNNNNNNNNNNNNNNNNNNNNNNNNNNNNNNNNNNNNNNNNNNNNNNNNNNNNNNNNNNNNNNNNNNNNNNNNNNNNNNNNNNNNNNNNNNNNNNNNNNNNNNNNNNNNNNNNNNNNNNNNNNNNNNNNNNNNNNNNNNNNNNNNNNNNNNNNNNNNNNNNNNNNNNNNNNNNNNNNNNNNNNNNNNNNNNNNNNNNNNNNNNNNNNNNNNNNNNNNNNNNNNNNNNNNNNNNNNNNNNNNNNNNNNNNNNNNNNNNNNNNNNNNNNNNNNNNNNNNNNNNNNNNNNNNNNNNNNNNNNNNCCCGGAGAUGAUUCUUGCCCCCAAGAAUCCGAGUUAGGUUCAGAAUCCAUAAGCUCUGGUGGUGCGUCUGUAGCUGCGGGUGGAAGCUUGGUGACUGAUGCAGUUGGUUUCACGGUCCGCUUUAGUAGGGAAACAUGGAAGACAUCGUGGAUCUUCGCACCCUCAGGUAAUAGCAAUUUGUAUGCCAUUCUUCCAAUUUUUGCAAUAAUUGGGUAGGGACCAUAGUACUUAUUUGCUAAUUUCUGGUUGGCUCGAGAAACAACCGAAUUCUGUCUGAACGGUUGUAAUUUUAGAUAGACUUCCUCCCCCACUUCAAAAGACCUCUCAAUUCUGUGUUUAUCUGCAUACCAUUUCAUUCGAGCCUGAGCUUGAGUGAGAUUCUGUUUAAUUAAUCUCCACGCAUCCAUCCUCUGUUGGACCAUUGCUGUAACUUCUGGAUUGAUGCUGUCUAAAUAGGGACUUAGGGAUAGGUUAUUAGGGGAAUACCCAUACAGUGCUUGGAAAUGUGACAUCUUGAGGCUGGUAUGAUAAUUGGUAUUAUACCAGUACUCAGCCAAAGAGAGCCACUUCAUCCAUCUGUGAGGGUGCUGGCUAGUACAGCACCUGAGAUAAUUCUCCAAGCACUGAUAGAGUCUUUCUGUCUGUCCAUCACUCUGAGGAUGGUAUGCUGAACUCAUAUUCAGCUGAGUCCCCAAUAAUUUAAAUAACUCCACCCAAAAACUGCUAGUGAAAACCUUAUCUCUAUCAGUGACUAAGCUCACUGGCUGCCCAUGUAGUUUAAAAAUGUUAUCUAAAAAUAAUUUAGCCACAGUAGCUGCACAGAAAGGGUGAGAUAAUGGCAAAAAAUGUGCAUACUUGGUAAAUCUAUCAAUAACCACUAAGAUAACAUUUUUACCCUCAGAUUUAGGCAGACCUUCAAUGAAAUCCAUGGAGAUGUGGGUCCAUGCUCCAGUAGGAAUCUCAAGAGGUUCCAACAGUCCUGGGUAUGGGGUGUUUUCAUGUUUAGCCCUGUGACAAACAUCACAACCUUGAACCCACUCUAUAACCUUGGCCUUCAUUCCAGGCCAAUAGAAAAUACCCUUUAACCUUUGAUAGGUUCCCAACAUACCAGAGUGCCCACCAAUUGUUGAACUGUGGAAAAACUCUAGUAAUUUAGCCCUCAAAUCUGUAUGUGAGCCAACAUAAACCUUUCCCUUGAACCUCAGUACCCCUUGUACAACUCCAUAGUCCCCAUAAGCUGUGUCAUCAAUGGCCUUAGCUGCCAUUAUCUUGCUAACCUCAGAGUCUCCUUUAUAGCUCUCCACAAUUUCCAGUAACCACCUUGGCUGCACUGUAGAUAUGGCAUUAACACUAGCUGAGUGAUGUUCUUGCCUAGAUAAUGCAUCUGCCACCUUAUUCUCCACCCCUUUCUUGUAUUGUAUCUCAUAGUCCAAUCCAAUAAGUUUAGAAAUCCACCUCUGUUGAAGGGCAGUGGUGAAUUUCUGAUCCACAAUGUAUUUAAUACUUUGUUGGUCUGUUCUGAGGAUGAAGUGAUGGCCUUGCAAAUAGUGCUUCCACUUUUGAAUAGCAAGAAGAACAGCCAUAAAUUCCCUUUCAUAAAUAGAUAGGGUUUGAUGAUUGGCAUUUAAGGCUUUGCUCAAGAAUGCAAUGGGCUUACUGUCCUGCAUCAGUACUGCUCCCAGACCAGUAGAACUGGCAUCAGUUUCUACUAUAAAUGGUUUGGUGAAAUCAGGCAAAACAAGAACAGGGGAAGUUGCCAUAAUUUCCUUGAGUUGUGUAAAGGCCAGCUCAGACUCUGGUGUCCACUUGAACUGCCCUUUUUUAAGCAUGUCAGUGAGGGGUUUGCUCACAAUACCAUACCCUUUAAUGAACUUCCUGUAGUAGCCUGUCAGUCCUAGGAAGCCUCUGAGCCCCUUGACAGUAGUAGGUUUGGGCCAAUUCACCAUACUCUGAACUUUAGUUGGGUCAGUGGACACUCCAUGUGCACUGAUAAUAUGGCCCAAGUACUCUAUAUUGGUCUGUCCAAACUGGCAUUUGGAUUUCUUGGCAUAGAGCUGAUGAUCUCUCAAUAUUGUCAAAGUGGUGUCUAAAUGCUCCAUAUGCUCUUCCAAACUUGAGCUGUACACCAGUAUAUCAUCAAAGAAUACUAACAAAAACUUCCUCAGAUACCUUGCAAACACCUGAUUCAUGAGAGAUUGGAAUGUGGCAGGGGCAUUACAAAGCCCAAAUGGCAUCACCAUAAAUUCAAAAUGGCCAUGGUGGGUUUUGAAAGCUGUUUUGUACACAUCCUCAUCUCUCAUCCUAAUCUGAAAAUAGCCAGACCUCAAGUCUAUCUUUGAAAACCAUUUAGCUCCAUACAGUUCAUCUAAAAGCUCAUCAAUGAUUGGUAUAGGGUAGUCAUGUUUAACUGUCAUGGUGUUCAAAUAUCUAUAAUCAACACACAUCCUCCAUGAAUUGUCUUUCUUCUUAACCAAUAAGACAGGAGAUGCAAAAGGGCUUUGACUUUGCCUAAUGAUUCCUCCUUGCAACAGUUCUUCAACAAUCUUUUCUAUUUCAUCUUUGGCAGAGUGUGAAUAUCUGUAGGGAUAUAAGUGUUUAGGUAGGGCAUCAGGCUUGAGUAUGAUUUGAUGUUCAACCCCCCUUACUGGUGGUAGCCCUUGGGGCUCAGCAAACAACCCCUCAUAUAUUCCCAACAACCUCUGGAUCUUUUCAGGCACAAUGACAGCCUCACUGUUGGUUUGAAUUGUGCAAAACUGGCCCCCUUUUCCAAUAGAAUCAGCCUCUUCCUUGCCCAUUCCAGUGUAUACAGUCAGCAACUUGCCCUCCUCAAAGUCCUCUCUAGCAGUAAUCACCACCUUCUGAUCCCCUCUCUUGAGCUUAACAAACCUUCUUUUGUAAUCAAACUUCACAGGACUGUUCUCCCACAACCAAUCACACCCUAGAACAAUGUGAAACCCUUUGAGGGUCAGCAACCUCAGAGGGAAAGUGAAUGGCUCACCUUGCAUCAUCCAAAUUAGGCCAUUGACAACCCUUUUGCUGACAGUCUUGGAACCAUUUGCCAUUGUCACAGUCAUAGGGCUAGUUUCAUCAAUGUGGCAAUGGAGCUGGAUAGCCAAAACUUCACUGAUGAAACUGUGGGUGCUUCCUGUGUCAAUGAGAAUGUUCAGAGGUCCCCCUUCUACUUCACCAACUACCUUGAUGGUUUUCACACCACUAUUCCCCUCAAUGGCAUUCAAAGAUACCUCCCCAUCACAGUUAAUCUCUCCUCUUUCUGAGCUGUCUUCUCCAGCUAUGGUGAGUAAAUGUGUUUCUUCCUCUUCAUCAGUCAUAAUCAUAUACAAUUGAUUAAACUUGCACUUAUGGUUUUGGCUAUACUGUUCAUCACAGUUAAAGCACAGGCCCUUCAUUCUUCUGGCCUUCAUUUCUUCCCUAGUAAGUAGUUUCCUAGGUGGCAUGAGGGCUGGUGGGGUAUAUUGUGUCUUAGUUAGCUGGUUCUGGUGUGAAUCAGAGUUUGAUACUGGUCUCCUUUGCUGGUUCUGGUAUGGCACCAUUUGUUUCAUUCCACCUUUAGCCCUCCUGGAAACAGCUUCUAGGGUAGCCUCUUGUUUCCUGGUCAUUUCAAUAGCAUGUUGAAAUGAUUUGGGUUCAAACAAAUCAAAGAAUUUCUGAUUCUCCUCAGGCAGACCACUAACAAAGAAAGUCAGAAAAAACUCAUCAUCAUAUUCUCUAGUGUUGAACAUCAACAAAUAAGCUCUAAGCUCCUCAAAUUUAUCAAUGUAGGCCUCCAAAGAGUUUGUAACUCUCAACUUGCCAAUCUCAGCUAACACUUUAGCUUCCCUCAGAUCCUCAAAUCUAGCAGAAACUAAGCCAACAAACUGAUCCCAAGAAUAAACCCUAUUAUUCUGUGAGAUAUGCCCAUACCAAAUGGCUGCUCUACCCUCAAAAUGCAAAGCAGCUAACACCACCUUUUGAGUGUCAGGUAUGUUAGACACCAACUGGAAAUACCCUUGACACUUAAACAGCCAUGUUCUAGGGCUGCUACCAUCAAAUCUGGGGAAUUCAAUCUUAGGGUUUGGGCUGUAAUUACCAGAGAAAGGGUUUGAGUUUACCAUCACAUCUUGCCCCCUGUUGUUUUUGUAUUCUUGAGGCCUGGUGAACUGCUCUGGUUGGGCAGUAAAUGGUGUUGGAUUUGUGCCUGAUGCAGAUCCUUCUCCCAUAAUGGAUUUGUCUCUAUUAUACAUCUCUAUUCUCUCCGCUAUUUUGCCCAACUGAAUUUGAAUGAUUUCAAAUGAUUUCUUUGUUUCCUCAUGAUUUAAGCUGAUCUGUUCCUGCAGGUUUGUUUCCACAUCCACUCUCUUGUCCAUUUCCUCCUGCAGCUUCUGCUCCAACAGUUUCCGGUGUGCUUCCAAUCUGGUGCCGUCCGCCAUCAGAUCAGACCUUGCUCUGAGUACCAAUUGUCAAGAUCCACGGAUGUAAUAAUAUUUGUUUAUUGUAAUUUAUGAUAAUAUUUGUAAUUACUGUAUCAAUUUAAGAAACUGAGAUAAGAAUAGAAAGACUUGGGAAGGAAGAAAGUAGGAAAGGAAAGGAUUAGUGAAACUUUUUCAUAAAAAUAUUCAUCAUCCCAGCAGUAGUAUAAAUACCCCUUCCAAUACAGGGAAUAUUUCUUACCCUAGCCCAAUAACACAAAACAUCAGCAGAAACUUAAAACAAAACAGACAAAAUAACUAUUGGGCUUAAGACAAACAAAUGGCCCAAUAAAAUUAAACCAGUAACAUAAGUGGGCUGCUAAAUUCGGCCCUUUGCCCCGAAGUCCGGUGCAUCCAAAACGACAUCGUUUUGUCCUUCAAUUUCUUCUUCAAUUCCCGAUUGUGCCAAGACUCCUCCUUUAGCAAUUCUAGGGUUCCUCUUCUUCUUCAGCCCCCAAUUCACCCCAAUCCUGUCCAUCUUCGUCUCUUACAUUCGAAUCCUAGGUCCACGCGGUUUUCUUACACCCCAGGAUGUAACACACUUACUGAAUGAACAAAAAAUACUCUUGUGCAUGUAUUAAAGUCGUUCGUGUACACGACUCGAAUUCAUAUUUGAGCCUUGUUGAUCAUGUAGUGUAGCCUAUAAUCAUCUUCCUAUUGUUGGAUUGAUUAAAUAAAUUAAAAUACCUAAAAGCCAAGUGAUGAAAAGAAAAAGGAGAAAAAAAUAAUUAGAAGUGUGCCUCGGUAAGUGCAGAAAUAUUAAUGAAUUAAUUAUUGUAUUGAACUUGAUUUCUGCAAAAAGAAGACAAAUAACGGUAUUGUAACUUGUAAGUUGUAACUUGUACUGUACACCCCCACCCCCUCUCUUACACACAGAGAGAGAGGCACAGACAUAAUAAUAAAGAAAAAAGACAGAGAGACAUGCAGAAUUGUGGAGACCACGUGUUCGAUGAACAAGAAAUCCUCCACAGCGCCGCUAAAUUGUAAAUUAUGUGACGUCAGCCCUAUAUACACUAUACUACCCACAGGAACUUCUAUUUAUUCAGAGACCUCCAUCCUUCCCCUUCACAAUUCAUUUCACUCAUAUAAUUAUUAUUAUAUUUAAUUACUCUUUAAGGUAAUUAAGAGACACUGCUGUGUUUUAAUUACUGUCUACUGAUCUCUCUCUCUCUCUCUCUCACUUCUUUCUCUCUCUAUAUAUAUAAUUUCUUAUACUAGCUAUUUGUUCAAUUUUUGUAUAGCAGGAAAAUAAAUGAUGGGAUUGAGGGGUUUUAUAGCAAUUGCAUGUUUGUUAUUUCUCUUGUCAAUAAUAGUAGCAAAUGGCGGCUCUGAACGAGGGUGGAAUGAUGCUCAUGCCACUUUUUAUGGUGGUGGUGAUGCUUCUGGAACCAUGGGUAUGUAUUUAUGAAUGUAUGUAUGUAUGUAUGUAUUAAUUAGUUGAAAUGUUAUGUUUCUCAAAUAAAUGAAACUUGGUCAGAAAUCAGAACGCAAUUUUCAAGAUUUGUCGUUUUUCUUUGAAAAUUUUCGACUAUGGAACAAUUUAUUUGUAUUUUUUUUUCCAUUCCAAAUUUUGCAAAUUCCAAUUUUCGUUUUUUAUUUUAGUUUUUGGAUCAGAAUUGGAAUUAUUCUCGCAUACAAAUUAAAACAAUUUAGAACUUCUAUUAUAUAAUUCAAAUCCGAUUCAAAUUUUCAUGUAAAUUAUCUAAAACAGUUUGCAACUUGGCUUAAUUUUAAUAUCUUUAACAUUUCCAAUUCGAUUUUUCUUGAAUUGUUAAUUAAGCCAUGGAGUGAAUUAAGUUGGUUAAAUUGGUGGUUAUUAAUGAAUUAAUUAAUUGCAGGUGGGGCGUGUGGGUAUGGUAAUUUGUACAGCCAAGGGUACGGUACAAACACAGCAGCACUGAGUACAACACUAUUCAACAAUGGGCAGAGCUGUGGAGCUUGCUUUGAGCUAAAAUGUGUGAAUGAUGAAAGGUGGUGCCUCCAAAGCUCAAUUGUGGUAACUGCAACUAAUUUCUGCCCUCCAAACAACGCCUUACCGAACAACGACGGCGGGUGGUGCAACCCGCCCAACCAACACUUUGACCUCUCUCAGCCCGUUUUCCAACAAAUCGCCAAACAAGAAGCCGGGAUUGUGCCGAUUCUUUAUCGAAGGUAUGAUGUAUAAUCGUAAAUAUAUUUAUACGUAUCUGCAUAAUUUAUAAAAAUAAAAUAAAAAAAUACACUACUUUUCUUUUUUUGGUGUUAGUACUGAAGGAACCAGCAGCUAUAACUAGCUAACUGUAUAGGUGCAAUGGAAAAAAUUACACUACUUUAUAUUUAUGGCGGCUCAAUAUUUUUGUGUAUUUUACAUAAAUGUGUAGGGUACCGUGCCAAAAGAAGGGUGGCAUUCGGUUCACGGUAAAUGGUCACUCCUAUUUCAAUCUCGUCUUAAUUACCAACGUCGGAGGCGCCGGUGAUGUACAAUCGGUCUCGAUAAAAGGUUCAAGGACAAAUUGGGAACCAAUGUCUCGUAAUUGGGGGCAAAAUUGGCAGAGCAACUCUAAUCUUGACGGUCAAAGCCUCUCGUUCAAGGUCACCACCAGCGACGGCCGCACGGUGGAGUGCAGUGAUGUCAUCCCCGACGGUUGGUCGUUCGGACAAACCUUCAUCGGAGGACAAUUCACUUAGAAUAAUCUAUUUUCGAUAUUAAUAUAGGAAAUUGCACGUACGUGUUUUUUUGAACGCUACGUGAAAUAAAUUAGGGUUGAGAAUUGGAAGAGCUUUAUUAUUACAUAAGCUCGAACCAAUUUGGGUGUUUUUCAUAAUGUUGAUGAAGUGUUUUAUGUCUUGGUCUUUCUUUUAAUGUAAGAUUUAAGACAGAUAUUUUGGCAGUGAUUUAGGUUCGGGUGAAUUCCAUUUUUUCCUCUUGUACUUUGUCUCGAUAUCACUUUAUCCCUUUCUACUCUCGAUUGCAUUGAUUUGUCUCCAUGUACUUGAAAAAUUGUUUCAAUUCAAUGUGGUCAUCGUCGUUAGUUUUAUGACCUUUGACCUUAACACCGUUUGAUCUAGGUCCAAAAAAUUACGAAAAAAUCACCCCUCUCAGUUUAAAUAAUUAUUAAAAAAAUAAAAAAAAAAUUGUGGUUGGCGUUGGUCACUAUGUUUUCUCGUUGUCUUGAAUUUUUAUUAUUUUUUUUUUGUUUUUUUUUAAAUUAUUUAAACCGGGAGAUGUGGUGUUUUUGUAAUUUUAGAGCUUAGAUCAAUCGAUGUUAAAGUCAAAUGACUGGGUGAAAAAUUGAUAUAAUCGAGAAUAGAACAGGGUAAAGUGAUACCGAACCAAAAUAUAAUCGGAAAGUGGAAGUUACCCUUUAGAUUUUGAUUUAACAUCAUAUCACCACCCGCCAUUAAUUACUUCGUAGCAUUUACCCCUCAAGCACUAUUUAAUUAUAAUACUUUCAAAUUUUUUAUAUUACCAAAAGUGAUAACUAAAAAAAAAUAAUUAAACUAUUUUAUUAAAACAUAUUCAUAUUGAUAAUUAAAUAACAUCUAAUUGUUGUUGGACCAAUUAAUCGAAUAUAUUCAUGUCGAUAAAUUUUAAUAAAUCAAUAUAUAACUAAUAGUAAUCUUAAGUAUUUAAAUUUAAUUUAUUUCAUCAAUUUCUAAAAAUAUAUUUUCAUUAAUUAUUAUACAAUAUAUAUAUUACUUUUUAAUAAUUUAAUUUUAGUUACUUUUCAAUUUUAUAUGAUCAAAUAAUUAUUAGAUUGUAAUGUUUAUUAUGUUUUAAAUUUUAAAAUAUAAAAUAAUUGAUUUUGAGGGGGCCAAUUGUACAAAUAAUACUUUAAGGGGCAAGUCUUUACAUAAGUUAUACUUCAGGGGUGAAAUUGUAUUUAACUUUUUUAAUUUUAAUUUUAUUUUUUGGUAGUCCAUAGUUUUGUGUAUUGGGAAAAGCAAAUUUGGUGCUUUUCUCAAUGUUGAGUGUGAUGAAGCUUCCUCGGUAAGAGUGUUGUUUCAGAUGUUUUUUAAAUUGUAAACCGUUGAUGUUGUCUGUAUCUAGGUUUUGCCUUUUGUCUACUGCAAUAAAAAAGACCUAUGAGCCCCGGGUUUUAUUGUCAUACUGUUACCUCAAUCCACGAGCUUUCUAUUUUGUGAAUUACUUAUAUUAUUGGACCAGUAUACUUUGCAAUAAAAUUCAAUUUUUUUUCUUUUCAAUAAGUUCUUAAUAUGUUUAAAGAAUAAUUUUGUGUUUUCUAUUGAAUUGAAUUCUAUUUAUUACAACUCUUAAUUCAUGUACAUUUAGUUUAAACCACACACUACUUUUAUCACACAUAUUGGCAUCUUCAAUUGAGUAAGCAAACCGGCAAAAUAUAGACACUGCAGAAGAAAUCCAACACCAACAAAUAUUUAGAAGGGCCCUAAAUUUUCAGAUUGUUGUGAAAUCUCCAAAUUUGUUCCUAAAUAAUAGGUAUAUUUGGAAGUGUUUUGAAACUUAUUUAUUUUGAUUUUAUUUUGAGGAAAUAUGUUUUGUUGGAAAGAAUUUGAGAAUGAAAGUAAUGUUUGUUUAUAAUUUGGAAGAAGACAAAAUACACUAUAGCAGUCAAAUCAUGUUUAAAGGUGUUAGAAAAAUGUAUUUUAGAAGAAAAAAAUUGAAAGAUGAAGUGAUGUUUAUCUAUUUUUUAGUGAAGACAUAUUUUACUGUAGCAGUAAAAUCAUUUUACUGUAACAGUCACAUCAUGUUUGAAGGAGAGAGAAACUUUUGAAAUUGUUUUGAGAAAAUUAUUUGCAAAGUUUAAUAAAUAUAAUUUUUGUUUUGGGGAAUCAAUGAAACCAAAAUAAAAAUGCUUCCAAACAUUGCCUAGAUGUCUUUGUUUGGGGAGACUCACAUUUCUUGCAUUUAAAUUUUGAAAUUUCUUUUUCAAAUAAAAAUUAAAAUUUGAAUGAUUUGCAAAUAUAAUCGUUGGUUUCCAACGGUAAGAAAAAAAUGAAAAAAACAUAAAGACCUCUAAUUAUUCUUCAUCUUUUUUAUCACUUCUAAAUUUUCUAAUUGUGAGUUUUUUGUUUUCUUCAAUGCUUGUAGAAAUUUGGAGGAAUUUCACUGGGCUUAUGAGAAUUGAAGAAAUUAGAAGUAGAUGGUUGGGUAGGUUGUCAAUACUUGAAGAAAUUUGUAGCAGAAUAUUUUUUUCCUCUAUGUUUCUGGUGUGUUGAUAAACAAGGAGAAUAAUAAAAUUAUGGGAGGAAGGGCGUGCUCUGUUGUGCUUAAUUAAGUUUAACUAAUUAGAGAUGAGUAAACAAAAAAUAAAAAAGGAAAAAAAAAUAUGUGGGGUUAAAGGCAGUGGAAAUUAGUGGGUGGUUACAAAUAUUUUAAUUGAAAUUAUAUCCAAUGAUUGUGGUUCAACAUUUCAUAUCUUUAAAAAAAAAAUCAUUUUUUUGGAUCGAAAUAUGCAUUAAAAAUAAUUAAGAUUGUUCAAAUAAACUUUAAUUUUCUACAAUCUCGUAUAUUAAUAAAAUUUUAGCCCUAAUCAAAUUACUAUAUAAAAUAAUCCAUAACAUAAUUUAAAGACUCAAAAUUAUAGAGCCCUCCAUUAUAGAAUUAUGCUUUUUAGAGACUCUAAAUUCUACUAGGUCUCUAAAAUAGAAUUUGGUGAUCCGAUCUGCUUACUCCAUUGGACAUACCCUAAUGAAUAAUCUACGGAUGGCAACGGGUAGGUUUUGGAACGGGUCUGUCUAAACCCGAAACUCGACCCGUGAAAAUAUAUAUAAAACCUAGCCCCGCCCUAACCUGUCUUAGCUUAUACCUAGAUUUGCCCCGACCCAUAGCGAAACUAAACGGUUUCGACCCGCCAAACUCGAUGAACUCGUUAACAUCAAACAAAAAAUUUAACAUUUUUUAACUUUUAUAAUAUUUUGCUUGUAUAUUUUAAUAAAAGAAUCUCAAAAUUAAAAUGCAAUUUUACAAGUAAUAUAAAGUGAUUCAUAAACUUCUCUAAUUAAUUAUAGGGGUCAUAUGAUAUAACCUACUCGUACAAGUUUCUUAGAGGUAUAAAUUCACUUUUUUAUUCACUAUUAGGGAUAACCCCUCAUUAAGGUUAAUACCUCAUUUACCCCUAUUAUAUUCAUAAAAAUAUAAUUAAAUUAUUGUUGCAUAAUCAAAUCGGGCUAAUCUCCCCUAAAAUAACUCCCCUUAAAUCUCUAACCAACUCGCCCAAAUCUCUGAAUGCAAAUCACGCCAUUUCAUUUUUUUCAUUCCUUUACAAUCUUUUUCUAAUUUCGAUUUAAAAAUAUUGUUUUUUUUUUCUUUCAUUUUUCAUUUUUUUAAAUGGUUUUUUACUGCAAGUUUAACAAAAAAUUGAAAUCCACCACAUACUCACUGAAAACCACUAUAAAUUCUUCAAAACCCACAAUGCAAUUAACGUUGGAAUCACUAUGUAAUUAUCGUAAUCAACUUUAAUAUUAAUGUAAUCCACUACAAAUGUAUCAAGAUCGAAUAAAAAUUUACAUAAUCCACUACGAAUUAACGUAAUCCAUUACAAAAUUAUCAAAAUCCACUACAAAGUUAUCAAAAUCCACUUUAUUGGUUAAAGUAAUCCACUAUAAAAUUAACUUAAUAUAUGGUUAAUCCACUACAAACUUAUCGUAGAAAAACACUUAUACAUCAACAUCAAACUUAUCAAAAUCCACUACAAACUUCCGAAUUUAUGAUAGUGUUGCUCGUGGUUUUUGUUAGGUUAGAGUGACCCUUUGAUAAACACUACAAACUUAUCAUCACCUAACAUCGUCCCACUUGCUGCAAUCACUUCGUUUGUGGAAGAACCUAAACCAAAGAAAGAGAAGACAACAACGUGUCAGUUUAAUUCAUUCAUUAAAAAUCGGUCUCCAAAGCAAGAAUUUAAAAUCCACUAUAAUCUCGUUGACAUCGAUUUCUUCUGUUUGUGCUUUCUCUUGCAUUUUUUUUUUCCGCCACAGUGGUCCUUCAUUCCGUGAAAAUCAGAAGAAAGAGAUGGUGGAUGAAUUUCGAUCGCGCGAGAGAGAGAGGGGGAGAGAAAACUGGUGUGACUAGGGUUAAACGAUGCGGAAUAUGAGUUUGGUGGAGGGUAUAAUUGUACUAUAUAAUUUAAAAUAAAUUAGUGAUUUAUCUUAAAAAGCAGAAAAAAAAAAUGGACGCCCACUAAUAGUAAAUGUCAUAUCAGGGGUUAUGUCAAAUAAUCCCUUAAUUAUAUGUUCAACUUCUACAAUAAAUAAUGUUCAAAAGGUAGAACCGUCAGCGGUGGUCUACAAGUAAUAGAUAUGACUUGCGAGAAAUUAGACAAUAAAAAAAAAAUGGGUAAAUGAGAAUAGACACGAUGGAAAUUGAAAUUUUGAUAAUUGAAAUCGAAAAUAAUAAAUAGAAAUUCGAAUAGUUCAAUAGCCCGUUAUAAAACCCGUCUUGUAGCGAAGUGAUUCAUUCAGCGUCCAGGAAUUGUUUUUUUCUGAAACUUACUGUCCAAUUGUUAAGCAUGCUAUUAUUCUCCUAAUAGUUAAACUUGUUGUAGCCAAUGGUUGCCACUUACACCAACUAAUUAAAUAUUAACAAUGCCUUCUUGCAGGUAUCUCAAACUGAUGCGACUUUGUACCGGCAAACACUCGAGCCCUUCAAUAUUUGACUCUCACUUGACUUAGAUAUACCAUUUGCAGUUAAUCAACUAUCUCAGUUCAUGCAUUGUCUAUCUUCGCGGACUUGGACUGUUGUGAAACGCGCUUACUUCGCUAUCUCGUUGGCACUAUUGAGUAUCGAUCAUGGACUCAUGUGGCAAAAAGUCACCCCAAACACUUCAUCCCUUUGUCGAUGUAGAUUGGGCGCGAGAUCCUACAGAUCAAACAUUGACAUCUGCCAAUGUUAUCUUUUUUGGUAUCAACCCCAUCUCUUGGAGCUAUAAAAAGCGAGAAAAAAAAAAGGUCGCAAGGUCGUCAACCGAGGCUGAAUAUUGUGCUAUUGCAUCUAUUGCGGCAGAGUUAAAUUGGAUCAUGAAUUUGCUUCAAGAAUUAUGAGUUCUGGUGGCUUCUAUACAUAUUAACUAUUGUGACAACAUAAGUGCCACUUAUGUUUGCACAAAUCGUAUAUUUCACUCACUAAUGAAACUUCUAAAUUGAAAAGAAGAAGAAGCAAUUAAUGAUUCCUUAAACUUCUAAAGUAACAAAUUAUUUGGAACAUAAAUAUUCUUUUCCAAACCAACAAAUAAUAUCGGAAGGAAGGAGUAAUUACGUGUAUUUCAAUUAAUUAAGACUGAUAAAUGAUAGAUUGAAAAAACAUGCAACUAAUGAUUUAUCAGAAUUUUAAAAUGACAAAUAAUUUGGAACAAACAAAAUUCUAAAAUGACAAACAAUUUGAAACAAACAAACUCCCAAGUAUGUGAAGUUCUUUGUGUUCUUGAUCACGAACUCCCAGUUGCAGUCUAUUUAAAAUCAUGCACUGUUUUUUGACGUUCUUAAUAGAUUUGUUGUUAAAGUUUUGGUUAAAUUACGGCCAUCCUCUGAGGUAAAGAUAAAUUAUGAAACUCCCCCUCAUGUUUGAGUAAUUACAACCAUCCCCUCAACUAUGAGUUUUCUUACACGUCCAUACUUAUGGUGUCAAAUUCAACUUACUUUUCCAGAUUGCGAGGAAUGUUUUAUAUUUUAUACUCGUUUUGUGCAAAAAUGCAGUUUCUAUACACAACAAUCUGAUAUUUACAAGCCAAAAGACACCUUAUGAUCAUCUUGUGUCAAAAGUGGUUUUUUCGUAGUUUGACGUUACCUCGGGGGUGGCGUAAUUUGCCCUGAAUUUUAUUACAAUGUCUGAAAAAGGCGCAUUUAGCAACCUGAAUGUGGAUGGUUUUUGCCUGAAAUUUGAGCUGUAUUGUAAACAAUGAAUGGACCAAAUAUUGGAUUUUUUAUCAUUUAGCAAUAAUUAUUUUUAGCCAUUACAACAAUAUAUGUUGCUACACAAUUCCUUCUUUUUUAUUUUUCUUUAUUUUCUUUAUUAUUUUUUUUCCCACCGUUGCUCGAGCCGUCAAAUCAGUUUAGGAUUCGACGGGCUGAACUAAAAACCUGUAAGAAAGGAAAUUGGCAAACACACAUGUCUGUUUAUAGGCAGCAUUUUCUUAUUGAAUCUAAUUUCGCAGUCCGAGGAGGUUAAAUAGGUACAUCUCGAGCAACAGCACGUACGAAGUAACUUUUGCAAUAAAAGAUCUUCCAAACUUCCGGGGGCAAAAUGUGUACGAACCAGUCUUCUACUUAAUACCUGAACUAAUUCGGCGGCUGCAAAAUAAUAAACAAGUAAAACAGAUAAAUGAGACGAAAAGAUUACACAAUGUUCAAACAAGUUGAUCUUUGUUUGAUUCCCAUUGUUGCCUUAGCAACAUUUAUUGUAAAAAAAAAUUAGUAAAUCGUAGAAAACCGAAACCGAAAGUUAUAUAUUGGUCAUUAUUUAUUUUUGAGUUAAUUGCAUUUAGUACCCUUGUGUUACACCGAAUUGUAAAAAAAGUCCUUGUGUUAUAAAUAUUAGGAAAAAAACGCCCUACAAUGCAUUUAUUUAGCGCAAACCCCCUAAAUGGCGUAUUCUUAGAGGGUAGUUUGCUAAUAAAAUUGAAUCAUAGGGGCGAUUUUGCUAAUAUUUAUAACACGGGGAGUUUUUUGACGUUAAAGAAAUCAAUAAGCUAAUCCACAACUUAAAUUCCAUUACAAAUGUACGAGGAAGUUAGAACAGGCUCACCUGUGGAUAAGAGUUCUCGUUCAGCAUAGAAAUCGCACACGAACCAGCUGAAGGAACCAAACCGUGCGGAAAAUUGUUGUAAACAACAGAGCCCCGGAGUUCGAAAUUACUGUUUAUUUGAUAUUCCAUUGCACCCGGUUGGAAAUUCGCCUCUUUCGUAGGGUCCACCAUCAACUCCGGGAAGCUUAGGUUUCCGAACGAAUGGUAUUGGUAUUGGUCGGGAAUCGGGAGCCUCAAGCUGGCGGAGUACGUGUAGUCGUCAAUAGUUAUGCCGUCGUGUCUAUCGUUUUUCAAUUCUCUUGAAUUGUCGAUAUUUAUGUGUUCCUUCAAAUCGCCAAAGUAGCCGGAGCAUGUCGGAAACGAUGCAUCCCUCGUGCACUCCAUAUCUCUGAAAUUCGUAAUAAAUUGAAAUUACAUUUGAAGUUUUUUAUGAUUCAAUUAAUAUGGAGUAAGCUAUUAUCGGCCCUAGUUUUUGAAUAAUAUAUAGGGUAAAUUACAACCACCCCUUGGGAUAUGGUCAAAUUACGAAAAAACCCAUCUUGUUUGGAUAAUUACAUUUAUCCCCUCAACUAUGAAUCUUCUUACACCUCUACCUUUGUGGUGUCCAAUUCAACAUAAUCAUCUAGAUUCCAUGGGAAGUUCUCUAAUUUGUACUCGUUUUGUGCAAAAAUACAGUUUCUGGUGCACCACAAUCUGAGAUAUACAAGCCGAAAAACAUAUCUUAUGAUCAUCUUGCUUCAAAAUGUGGAGCUCGAAGGGGAUAAAACAGGUACAAAAUUGAGAAUAUUCCAUAUAAUCUAGAAGAUUCCACUAAAUUUGAAACCGCAAGGAUGGACGUGUACGAAGAUUUAUAGUUGAGGGGUGGUUGUAAUUACCCAAACAGGAAGGGAGUUUUCGUAAUUUGACCAUACCUCAGGGAGUGGUUAUAAUUUACCCUAAUAUAUAUAGGAACCAAACAAUAAUAGUAUCGUAUGCUUAUCUAAGGAACUUUAAGGCCACGUUUGGAUUAUGUGAUUAGCUACAUAAUUGGACUUUAUUGGAUGUUUAGGUCUAAUGACUUUUCGGGGUCGACACGCAUGUGGAAAAAAAUAGCUCUGAUCUGGGCUGAUUAGGAGAAUAUGUAUAAUCGGGUUUUCAUAAGAUUAUUAUUUAAUCUUAUAUUGGUUAAUCUUAUCUUAGGAACCAAACGAAGGAUCAACUCACCGAGUAGUCAAGAAAUGGGGCUCGUUUGGUAGUAUCAUAUGUUGACUAUCGCCACCCGGAAGCCAUGAUUGGUUUCCGCAACCCUGAUCACUCGUCGUCGCUAUGGGAAACUGCAUCCCCGUUUGGAACUGAAAUUUGAAAAAAAAAAAUUAGAACGUUAUAAAUUAAAACCCUAGCAAAAUCUCCACAAACCUAUAUCACAUGUGUGAAAAGAAAUAGAAAGAGAAAGAAAACGGAAUUUAUGUAGUAGUAUUUAUUGCGUCGUUACCUGGUUUGUGCAAUCGAAUGGAAUAUGCGUGUCCUUCAAAAACUUUUCCUCCUGAAAGAAGACGAGAAUAUUUAAAACGGCUCGUAAAUACAUUUUUAUAUAAUGCAUUUCUUUUUUUCUUAACUAUAAAUUUCUAGCACUUGAAAUUUAUAGUUUCGAAAAGUCUUGCGUAUUACAGACUAAAGAAACGGAAUAUACCUUAUGCAUGCGAGUUCUGUUUAGUGUUUCCCUCAACGAGUUUUCCAUCUGAUUAAGGUGUUCAAUAUCUUCAAUUUUGUCGGGAUUCGCCCACCAGCUUAAAUAAUAAAAAAAAAUAAAAAUGUCAGUUGAAGCUUAUAACUAAAUCACUAUGUAAAUCGUUGGUUAAAGUUCUGUAAAAUUUUCAAGAUUUGCACCUUAUUCGUUUAUGUAAUUCAGCAAGUUGGCUUUGCAGCAUCCUUAAUCGGUUUUGCAUUUCCUAUCCAAAAAACGAUUACCAAGAAAAAAAAUUUAAAAUAUUUUUUUUUUCUAACUAUCUGAAUCUCGUCUCGAAUAUCACUUCGAUGGCUAGUGAGAGAUAAAUAAAUACCUCUAUUGACGGAGUACUGCAAAAAAUAAAAAUAAAAAAAGACGAAAAGUUUAGUGAGAUAUUAUUAUUACAAUGGGAUUAAAGUAAAUAAAAAUUAUCGAACAAUCGAGUUUGUCUACCUUGUAUCAAGAAACUCCUCUAUAUCGACAUCCUGGUCAAGCUUCUUGAAGUUUCUCUUUAAAGUCUAUCAUACGUCGAUUUAUCCCAAAAAAUCAGCUUCAUUAAUUUUAUUUUCAAGAAGAUGAAAAACAUAUAUUCAAUAUUAAAAAAUAAAAACUUACUUCGAGACUCUCCAACCUCCUGUUAGAAUUUCAAAAGAAAAAAGAAAACGGGACGAAUUAAAAUAAUAUCACAAAUAACUCCGCAAAAAAUGUCGAAAUGGGAGAAUUUCUAUCUACCUUUUUGCCCGUUCUUUAGGUGUGAGUUGAGCGUAUUUUGUAAUCAUUUCAUCAAUGUUGCUAAAACCGAAAAACGAACAAAAUAUUAGCGAAAUAUUUUUUAUUUUUUAAUUAAAUUUUUUUUCAAACAUCAACGAAAUGGCAAUAUAGUUCAAAGAAAAAAUAAUCAAGAAAGAGUGGAAAUAACUAACGAUAAGUACAUUUAACGUAUCCUUUCUCAAUACUUACACUAAUAUUAUUCCGAUUUACCGUGUCGUUUAAGUCUAAUUCACUUAAAACUAUAAAAAUUUCUACCACUCGAAAAAUAUUCCAAUGUUUCGAGCACUUAACUUAAAUUAACCGAUACAACACUUCACGAUCACUCAUAUCACUUAAAACAUAACCAAAAAAAUUCGAGUAAAAGAAUACAUUUACAAUACGAAUGUUCGACAAAUUACCUUCUUUGUCCUCGGAAAAUAGACGGCUUCCCAGUCGGAGAAAACAUAAGAAGAAUAAUAUCAAUGUCGCAUAAAACCGAAAUUUCUUGGGCUUUUUUCAAUAUUCCUGCCCUUCUUUUCCCAUAAGUAACCUGCCUGCUGCUCAGGCUCUCCAAUCUCUGUAUUUUCAACUUUACCCUUCCCAUCCUACAAAAUUACCAAAAUGCCCACUGUAAAUUAGUUUCAUUUUUCCCCUUUCUUCAUGCAUACUACACUUAAAAAUAAGGAUUCAUCUCAUUAAAGAACUGGAAAUUCAAAACCCACAAAUAAAUCAAGAAUCUUUCCUAAUUAAUCAUGCACAAUAAUUAAUUAAUUCACAACCCUAACCUUGAAGUAAUAUCCUUCAGAAAUGCCCAAAUUGGAAUACACCAUUCAGUAAUAUUUCCUGUAUUUCCAAAUUAAUUAAAAAAAAUUAAAAAAUACGAAGCGAAAAUUAAAGAAAAAUGAAAAAUACAGCCCACGGCGGAGUAUCAGACAAUCCCAUUUAGGGGAUUUCAAUGGAUUGAUUAAAAAAUUAAAAACCCUAAUUUUAAUUUUAAUUUUCUUGGUACAGAGAUAUGGAGGAAAUGCAGAUGGGGAAAAAAAGACCUAAAAAUGGGAAACCCAAAUGAGGGGAUGAACAGUAGGUAUCAUAAUUUCUGAUAUGUAAAUAGAAAGAUUAGAAAAAUAAAAAAAAAUAAUUUUGAAAAGGAGGAGGAGGAGAGAGAGAGAGAGAGAGAGAGAGAGAGAGAGAGAGAGAAGGCUAAGGAGAAGGAUUGAGGAGCAGACAAGAGGUUGUACUUUGAUUUCGGCUUUUAAAACUCGCGGGAGAACCGAACAGCUUUUUUGCUUGCAUACGUGUUGGGACUAAAUAAAUUAAGAAAUAAUAAGAAAAAAAAAAAGAAUAUUUGAUUAUAUUUUUGUGUAAAUUACAUAUAUGCCCUCUUACAUUGACUUUCAGUCAACUAGGGACAUUAUUUUUUUUUUUUCCUUUUUUUUUCAAAUAAACCCACCACUUAGAGCAUCUCCGACCGGUUUCACUAUCUUUUCACUAAAUUCCAUUUUUUGUGGUGAAAAAAUGGGUUCAUCUCCAACGGCAGCACACAAUUUUACCAGUUCACCAUUUUUGGUGACAAAUUUGUGUUUUUGGUCUCCAAUAGGUUUCACCAAAAUUUAGACUAAAUAUUAAAAUAAUAAUAUUUCACCAUUUCACCACUUAUAGAAAAUGGAAUUUGGUUCGGUCUCCCACGACAUUUCACCAUAUAUGCCCCAACCAAAAUUAUAAAUCUAAUGUUAAUCGUAAUUUUAUUAUAUUUUAUUUCAUAAAUAUUAAUUAUAGAUCCAAUGUUAAUUAACACCAAUGUAUUUACUAGGAAUGGUAAACGAGUCGAGCCGACUUGUGAGCUCGAUGAGCUGGCUCGAGAGAAACUCGAACUCGAACUCGAACUCGAAUUUUUCGAGCUCGAGCUUUAGCCACUUUUUAGUUGUUCGUGAGCUCACGAGCCGGCUCGUGAGCCUUAUUUAUUAUUAUUAUUAAUUUUUUUAUAUAUAUAUUAUUUUUUAUUUAAAUAAUGUAUAAUAAUAUAAAAUAUUAUAGAAAUAAACAAUAUAUAUAUAUAUAUAUAUAUAUAUAUAUAUAUAUAUAUAUAUAUAUAUAUAUAAUUACAAUUUAUUGUUUAUUUUUUAAUUUUUAAAUAUUUUUUUAAAAUAAUAAAAUAAUAAUUAAAAAAAAAUAUUACAAAAAAAAAAAAACUACAAAAAUGAGCUUAGGCUCAAGCUCGAGCUCGAGCGUCAAAAGAACGAACUCGACGAGCUUGAGGUCGACAAAAUAGACUCGAGCUCGAGCUCGAGCCUGCCAAAAGAGGCGAGUUCGGCUUGUGCACACCCCUAUUAUUUACGAUCAAUAUGCUAAUAUGUUGGUAAUCAAGUGAAAUUAGUUAAAAUCGUCAUUUUAUAUGCUACUUAACAAAAUGGUGUUAAUUAUACAAAAUCCUAUUUUCACUUCUAUAUUUGGUAGGAAAUAUAGGAUUAGGUGGAAAAAAUAGGAAAAUGGUGAAUCGGUGGGAGAUGAAAAUUCCUUCACCAAAAAAAUUUGUGGAAAAAUAAGAUUUGAGUAUAUGGUGAUAUGGGGGUUGACCGCGGUGGGAGGCUUAAACCAAAUCUCCAUAAUUUUAGGUGUAAUGGUGAUAUAGGAAUUUCGGGUGGGAGGCUAAAUACACUUAAAUUAGAUAAGAAAAUGGCGAUAUAGCGACCAAUCGAAGAUGCUCUUAUAUAUUCAUUACUAAUAAAUGGAACUCUAAUUUUUGUAACAAAAUUACAUAUAGUUUUUAAAUACACUCAGUUCAUAUUUUAAAAUUCUAAUUUAACCUCAAUUCAACAGUUAAAAGCCUAAAGGAUAAAACUACUAACAUUCUUUUUUUUUUUCACUUUAAUACCACCAAAAUAAAAAUUAGAUAAUUUUAUAUAUAAAAGAAAGAAACGCUGGCCAACGCUAAAAAAACCUAAUGGUAUUUUUGUAAUUAUUUAUUUUUAAUAUUUUUUUCUCUACUAUUUUCUAACUAUAAUUUUUAGCAAUUAUCAAAUUAAAACCAACCCGUGAAGAAUCCUACCCUCAUGGUACUUUUGUAAUUAUUUAUUUUUAAUAUUUUUUCUCUACUAAUUUUUAACUAUAGUUUUCAACAAUUAUUGAUCUCCUAUUUUUUUUUAUCAAUAUAUCUCCGAUCUUAAACGAUAAGGAUAGAAAUUCCAUUUGUUAAAUGUUAAUCUAUAUUUGGAUUAUAAAUCUUAAUAUGUAAGAUUUAAAAAAACUAAUGUUAUGUAAAAUAUGAAUCACACUUUAUUAUUAAAUUUUACUAUAUUAGUGUACUAUAUUUUCUUAGAGCAACUCCAAUGAGGUUAUCAAACAUGGUAUUCAAAUCUUUAAUCGUCAUUCACACAGUAAAAAAUAGAAGUUUUUAACUCCAAUAGGGUUAUCAAAUGAGUGUUCUAUUUUGAUAAUUGACCUCUUGGGUUGUGUUGAGUGUAUAUUUUACACUCAAUGUAUACUUUGUUACGAGAAUUUUUGUAUACUUUUAUUGAUUUAAUGGUGCUUAAGGAGUGGUUUAUUGUAUUUUAGGUACAACUUGACGAUUUGGGAGUUCCGAGGAUGAAAACGAGCCAAGAAAGGUCAAAAAGGGGCAAAAACGGAAGAAAACAAUCGGAUUCUGAAAAUUGGCCUAGCGCGGCCGUACCAGAUUUAGCCUAUUUUUGGCGCGGCCGUGUGAAAACACGCUGGAAGUAAUUUUGGACUUUUAAUCACACAAGGAAGCCUAAAUCUUCUACCAAGUUGAGACAUCUAUAAAAGGACAAAUACCAAGCACGAAUCAAAAGACUUUUUACACAAUCUUGGAGGAAGAGGAGCGAGAGAACGGUGAAUCGAAGACGGAGAAUUGACAAAUCUUCAUCAGGAUUCUUCUUUCAUCUAUCUUUUCUUAAUCUACUUCUUUUUAUAUUUUUAUGAUUUUUUUCUUAAACAUGAGUAGCUAAACUUUUAAUCUAGGAUUUUGUUGGAACCCUAUGUGGUGAUUCGAACCUAUUUUUCUAAUAUUAUGCAAGUUUAAAUUUCAUGAUUAUUUCUUCUAUUUGAUCUUAUUUAGCGCAUGAACCUGUCUAAUUUAUGUUGUUAUAUGUUAUUGUUAGAAUUGAUUGACAUAUCGUUUUAAUAAUUAUAACAGGGAUAGAAGAACCUUCGAGUAGUUUUCACAGGAUGAGUGUGUUAAUUGCAUGUAUUAUCGUAGACAUAUAGAUAAUACCUUAGGUAGCCGUUUACGAGACUUGUUAUUUAAUGCUUUAUUCAUAAUUGGUUUGCAUAGACAUAUAGUGAAUCGGUUAUAAAUAGCAGACUCAUAAUACACGCGACAGCGGGUUAUGAGUAAUUUAGUGUAUCGGGUUAAUAAUUAGGAAUCGUAACUUGCAUGAUAUAUAGAGGUCUAAUUGGGUGAUGAAUUAUCGCAUAGGGGAAGAUAAAAUCCUAGAUCCGUUUUUAUAUUGAUAUUUUCUCGUAUUUAUUUGCUUUCAUAAUUAGUUUAGUUAUUUAGUUGGUUAAAUUUGACAACCUUGCGUAGGCUGGAUAAAAAUCAUAAUUGUUAGAAUUUGGUACUUAGGAUUAGAUGAUUUGAGUAUUCCCUGUGGGAUCGACAUCCGACUCUCACGAGUCCACUUUUACUACUUGUUUGCGAUACGUGCACUUGCGUGUUAGGUAUUUAGCCCAACAAGUUUUUGGCGCCGUUGUCGGGGAAUACGGCUAAAUUAUGUAUUUAUUCUAAUAUCAAAUUUGAGCAAUUUUUCUUACUCCAGCCAUUUAAUUUUUAUUUUUAUUUAUUUAUUUAUUUUUUUUUUUGUUUUUUUUUUGUUACAUGUCUGGUUACAAUGUUCAGGCACCUCAAACGGAAUAUGAAUGACUUCCAUGUGACGAAUAGCUCCAAAACACCUAUGAUAUGCCUCCAUUUUGUUCAGCAUGUGGUGGAAAUCAUUAUUCCGAUCAAUGUUGGGGAUCACCAAAAGCGACAAAUUUCGUCGAAAUUACCAACAGAGAUUAUUGGAACACUCACACCAACACAUAUGAGCAAAGCUUUCAAGACCAAGAUUUGAACGAGUUUCAACAUAGAGAGCCAUAAUUUUCUUUUCCAAAUUAUUAUCCAUCGCAGCAACAAACCACUAAUGAACAACUUGAUUUGGUAUCUCCCAUUUCCGAAUUCAUGAAGUCCACUCUAACAUCAUUUCGAAACAUGGAGAUACAACUGGAAGAGAUGACGCUCAAAUUAAAAUCUGAGUCUCUUGAAAAUAUUCCAGACGAAAUCGGCAAUGGUCAUAUCAAAGAAAAUUCGGGUGAAGCCUACGAUGAGAAAAAUCUUCUAUGUUCAUAAAAUAGUGUCGAUAUGAGAGAAAUAGAAAUUACGAAGACACUUGAGCAUGAUGAAUCUGAGAAUGCAAUCGAGCUAAACCCCAAAGAUGCCUCAGAACAAGAGAAGAAGGAGAUGGAUGUAAUGAUUGAAGAUAUUCUAGUUGUGGACCGUAUCGUAGAUCUAAAUGUGGAUUUGAAGGCAUCAAUAGUGGUUGAUGAGAAGGCUAAUGUGUUUGAGGUGGAGGUUAUACGCAUACUGGAGAUUUUUGUAUACCGAUUUGAGGAAGCGGAUGACGAACAUCCUACCUUGGUAUUGUACCGAUUGCUUACUAACAAAUAAGGGUGCCAACUAAGGUGGAUGUGGACACUCCCAUAUUGCAACCCUGUCCAUGCAUUGGUUGAAAGAGAUGUAGUAAAGCAAAUUAAUGGAUGUGCAAUCUACAAGGCUUUGGAUUGGACAUAGCAGUUUUAAGAAACAAAGUCUGGCUGAAGACUUAAAACUUAGCGCUUCUCGGGAGGCAACCCGAGCAUUUAUCGAUUUUCGUAUUUUUCUUUGCUUUUAUUUUUCUUAGGAUUUUAGCAUGCGCAAACUAAUAAUUUAAUCUUGUUUUAAUUUUCAGGUCGAAAAUCAAAUACUAAGGGUAUCAGACGUUAAAGGUGGAGCAAACGAACAUCAAAGAGUGCAUCCCAGAGAAGGACCUUUCGACUAAUCAGGUGUAUUCUAUCCUUGAACCUUGUUUUAAUUACAUUGAGGGCAAUGUAAAUUUUAAUUUUGAGGGUGGAUAAUUACUUGCUUUUAUGUGCUUUAACUUUUUAGUUUGCAUGCCGUAGGAUUUUUUUUUUUAGUUUAGUUAUUUUAGUUUAUUUAUUGCUUUCGGAAAAAAAAUAUAUAUUGAGAUAAAUGCUUCGAUGAAUCAUGAUGAUGAAAGAUGGUUGAUGUUUAAUGAUGAAAUUGCUUGAUUUAUCUUGAUUGUGACCGAAUUUUGGUGAGCUUUCGAUUCAAAGUGUUGUAGGAAGGAGUCAUUGUUAGGAAUCAUGAAUUAUGCCUUGCUUUGGUUGAAAGUUUUGUGUUUUAAAAAGUGGAAUUAAUUUAUGCUAUAUCAUAUGCUAUUCGGGUUUAGAACUUGCCUUAGGAAUUUACAAAGUGAAAUAUUAAAUUGUUGAGCAAUUUGGGAAGUGAUUUGGUCCAUCUUUGAACCGUUUGAGCCUUUCAAGCCUAUCUUUAAAUUUUUAUCAUUCGAACCUUGAUUGAGCCUUGGAGAAACGGUGUUCUUUCUUUUAGCCGAACUAGCAAUGUGCAUGUGCGUUGCACGUGUCGUAAUAUUAUUAUAUGGUGAAAAUAAUUUUUCUGUAUCCAUAUUAGAUUACAAUAUGCCUUUUAUAAAAUAUGAGUCAAUUGGUUUUAGACCAAAAACAUAUUGCUACUUCUGUAAAUAUUGGAGAAAUGUAAACUACAUCAAAUCAAACUUUAAUGCCUCUCUUAUCUUUUUUGUAUUGCAUAUACAUUGAAAUUCAGGUGAAUCCUAGGAAAACAUAUUUUUCGAGAUUUAUGAUCAAAUUUGCAGUCAAUUACGAGAUUUUGUUUAGUAUUGCUAUUGUAAUAUGGUAGUUGUUAAUUUAAUGAUGUCUAUGUGAAAUCAUUGAAAACUAAUACAUCUCUUAUAACUCUCUGGUGUGACAUCAAAUGUACUCAUGAUAACCAAAAUGCAUCAUCCAAUUGUAAUGUUCCUCAUGGCACACCUAGUCCUUAUACAACAGACUCUGCUUAUUAUGGAUUACCCGCUCUUUAACCAAUUCCAUUUUUUUUCUUAUUGAACAAUGAAACACACAUCAGAAAAAUAAACAAAAAAACUCAGAAGCUUGUGCAUUAACAUAAUUUUCAGCUAGCAAUGAGCAUGAAUGUAAAUUAUGUUCCAAACAUACUCUACACAAAUUUAAUUGGUCAAUAUGCUUCACAGUAGUGUAAAGAGAAGGUUAGGUUCGUGCAACCCUUACAAAGAGUAUCACUCCACAUGAACGCGAGUCUAGAGUAGCUCUAUAAUGGUCUCGAUCGUUUAAGAGUUAGAGGAUUUAGAUAAAUUCGAAACAUAAAAGAAGAGAGGUUCUCAUAAACAAAAAAGAGACUUGCAUAUUUUAAUAACAUACUUCAUAGCAUUUUGACUUUGACAUACUAUGUACCAGGCCAUCAUCCUGUCAAAGUAAUGACAUAAUAAUAUCACAAAGUGAAACUAUGUCUAAUUAUAAAGAAGAAAUAAUUCAUGGAAGAACUUUAAAUAUUUUCCAUAAGUUUGCAUACAAUGAUAUCUUUGAUAUGUCACAAAGAUUGAAAGAUAUAUCUCAAGUGAACUUGUAUCUCAAGGGUUGUAAAAUGUGCCUUCUUUCUUCUAGAGCAUUGAGUUGAUUGUCUAUUUGAAUGCAUUCUAAAAGAGCGUAUCAAGAGCAUAAUCUUGACUUGUAUACAGUAAAACCUGCUACAAUUCUAAAUAAAACAAUGAAAUAUAUUAACGAAACUAAAACAGUUUGUCUUCAGCCAUUGGUAUGUCAUGAAAUAUCAAAACAAAGAACGGACUACAUGUACAACCAUUUCUUCACUUAGCUUCCUUAAACUAUCUAUUUAGUAAAACCAUUCGAGAAUACAAGAUUGAGCUGAAAUUUAUGCCUAUGCAUUUUGAGUGGCUUCAUUUUUCCCUUCAACUAUCAGUUUCAUCAUCAUGUGACUCCACCAUGGAUUGGAGAAUCCAUUUGUUGUUGACUCCACCUGUACGGUUGUACCUCCCCUGCCUGCUAUGUCUAAGAAAUGUGAUGUACAUCCAACAUCCUUAUCUUGUAGUUUUGACGGAUUACAUCGACUUGCUAUAAAGGGGAAAAAAAAACCAAAUAGAACUAUUGAAUGACCACCUCAACCAAAAACUUAAGCUAUUAUUAUUUAAUACUAAUAUCUCCAAUUCGCCCCCUAAAGUUCAAGCAAAUUACAUUUGAAGUCUUGCACUUGAAAUAUUUGAAAUGGAUGGCGGUAGGAUUCGAACUCAUGACCUUUCAUUUGGUCUGACUCUGAUACCAUGUUGAAUGACUACCUCAACCGAAAGCUUAAGCUAUUAGUGAAGUGUAUCAUUUGUCACUAAUAUUUCCAAUAAUAACAGUGAUAAAGCAUAUAAAGUAUACUGGCAUAAUUCACUCUAGUAUCUCCUUGAAUGGCUCGUAGAUUUUCUAUAAUAAUAUCUCCCAGAAACUCACCUGAAUAGUAACAGGAACCAGAUCGAAGAUUUGUGUUAAAGAAAUUUAAUAUCUAAUAACAUUAAUUUUUUUUACGAGAGCACGACAACGAAUACAAGUGUUUUAUAUAAGAUGGGAGGUAUUGUCUGCAGGAAGGAGAAGGAGACUGAUGAUUCAAUCAGAGCCUAAAACUUAACUCAUGAUUUUUAAUUUGGAGUAACAAAAAACUUACUAAAUUGAAAAGGAAACUAUCUAUAGCCAUUGGACCCUAAUAUUUACAGAGAAAAAAAUAUGAAUUGAAAAAUAUAAGAAGUUCAUGAAAAAAUAAAAUCACUAAAAAUUCAAAUAAUAUAGAAGAUAAAACAAACAACGGGCAUUAAAAUUUUCGCCAUCAAAAUAAAAAUCACGGAAACAAUUUUAUAUAAAUAAAUUACAUGAGAAAUAACUUUUAAUUCCAUGUUAUAUUUGUCUACCAUUAGACAAUAUAAAACCAUCUGUGAAGUGCAUAAAACUUAGGGUAAAUUCCACUUCCCCCCUUCUACUUUGGUUGAAUAUGAUUUUACUUGAACAAUUGUCUCAAUAUGGCUCUUGCCGUUAGUUUUCAGACACUUUGACACUUAACACCAUUUGAUCUAAGUCUGNNNNNNNNNNNNNNNNNNNNNNNNNNNNNNNNNNNNNNNNNNNNNNNNNNNNNNNNNNNNNNNNNNNNNNNNNNNNNNNNNNNNNNNNNNNNNNNNNNNNCAAUAUAAUCAUCUAAUGCAAAACUACCAAUAGCAAUUUAAACCCCUGUUUAACAGAUUAUUUCCUAUAUAUCCACUCAUAAUUCAUAACAUUAACAAAGAUAAUAACAUGGCAGUUCAAUCCUAUUAAAUAAACGGGAUGUGGAAUACCAAGAGCCACGUAAAUCAAAAAUUAAAUUAUGGUUUCUAGAAAAUGUAUAGCUUUGUCUUGUUGAAGAAAGACUAACAACUUUGAUGAGAUUGGAUCACUGGCUAAACCCAAAGUCAUGCAACAUGACCUUUGGAUUAAGCAAAUAAAGCAGCUGCAUUAUCAUAACAUUUUCUUUCUUUUGUUAUGAGUCCCUGAUAAUGUACAUACGUGAAUUUGAGAUGACAAGAAGAAGCCAAUUGAAAUAGAAAGUACUUACAAACUUCACGUAUAACAUUCUUAGUCACAAACUAUAUUACAAUGAAUCUUACCUGCCAAUACAUAAAUACAGAAUUGAACGGAAAAAUAAAAUGUAAUUGCAAGUAAAUUUAGUAGAUAAAAGUUAAAUCAAUAAUCCCAAUGCAUAGACCAUUAAUUAUGAAACUGACACGUGUUUUGAAUUACCUGAGUAGAAAUAAUUUUAAAUCAAUAAUCCCCAUGUGAAUCAAUAAUCCCCAUGCAUAUAACUCAUGCAUGUUUCAUUAGGUUAAUUAAUUCAAAUGAAUAAAAAAAUUUAACUUAGUACAUAGAAGUGCGAAAAAUAUGCAAAAUAACUUACAAACUUUAUUAACAGAGGUUCAAUCCGAUCUUGAUAUGGAGGAUUUAUUCCUUCAUUAAUCUAGAAAAUUUUAUCAAUUUCUCAAUAUUUAGGGUUCAAACUAUUAAACAUAUAACUAAAACCAAAAAAAAAAAAAAAAAGAAGAAGAAGAAGAAGAAGACGAAAAAGAAAUCGAGAAGACCAAAAAAAGAUGAAUGAGAACUUGAAACUCGAAGUUACGAUUAUUUAUUUCUUUCUUUGGUUUAACUUAUGCAAAAUUGAAAUUCAUAUUGACUUAUCGAGACCAUUGAGUUUCUUUGAAUUUCUUAUAUGACUAACAGUUAAUAGAUACAUGAGUUCAUCUUUUCAGAUGCCUUUAUACAUUGAACUCUAAAAAUAUCAAUUAUUUUCAUAAACAUACAUUAAAUGACUAAUUAUAAAUUAAUAUUAAUUAUUUUAAUUUUGAUAGGGACAUUUUGGUCAUCACAAAAAAGGGAAGAAACCUCCCUUAAUAUUCCCACUUUUAUAAGUAAAAUAGAAUAAAGUGGGUAGAUUAGAUGGUGAUUUCUUGAUAAUUAUCCCUUGGAGCUUGGUUGAAAAAAAAAUUAAAAAAAAAAGAGAGAAAAAAAAUAAAAAAGAAGAAGAAGAAGAAACAUAGAAGGGGAAGAAAGGACUUGAGAAAGAUUUUAAAGUAACAACUCGAACCAUCAUGUUAAGAGCAAAAGUGAAGACUUUUGAACUCUUAACAAAUUGAGUUAAGUAAUAAGUCCUUCGAGGUGAAGCAAUAAUUCCAAAAGCUAAAUCUUAGCGAAAAAACCUCGAGUCAAGAACGAGAGCUAAAAAUUCCGUCAAGUGCAACUCUUAGUAACCAAUUGUGAGAUGAAAGGAGAAGAGUAGCCACAUUUACCCAUACUUUCUACCUUGUACCAAAGCCCAACAUUUGAAAUCCAAAACGUCCCAAUGAUCCCAAUAGCUCAAGUAUUUGUUACUAGCCGAGUAAAGAAAUUUGGUGAGUCUUUGGAGUUGAAUAUUAUUAUGUAAGUAUAAAUUUUCUCCAUUUUUAAUUUACAGAUAUGAGAUACUUGAAGCGAUAGCAUGGUUUGUGGUUUUUGGCAAGGGUGAGUGAAUACGUAUCUUUGAAUUACGAGCUUAUAAAUUUUUUAGAAUUGUCAUGAUAAUUGCUAGUUCUGAAAACGUGAAGAUUGACCAUUAAUCUAUGUGAUGAGGGGCAUUUGUUGACAGUGUUGCUUUGAAAGUUGCUAGUUUUUGCUUGAGGACAAGCAAAAGUUCAAGUUUGGGGGUGUGUUGAGUGUAUAUAUUUUACACUCAAUGUAUACAUUGUUACGAGGAUUUUUGUAUAUUUUUAUUGAUUUAAUGGUGCUUAAGGAGUGGUUUAUUAUAAUUUAGGUACAACUUGAUGAUUUGGGAGUUCCAUAGAUGAAAACGAGCCAAAAAAGUCAAAAACGGGCAAAAAUGGAAGAAAAUAAUCGGAUGCUGAAAAUUGGUCUGGCGCGGCCGUGCCAGAUUUAGCCUAUUUUUUGCGCAGCCGUGCCAACUGCAAAAUUUGGGCAGAAAGUUUCGGCGAUUCUCGCGCGGCCGUGUGAGAAUUGCAUUGAUUAUCACGCGGCCGUGUGAAAACACGCUGGAAGUAAUUUUGGACUUUUAAUCACACAAGGAAGCCUAAAUCUUCUACCAAGUAGAGACAUCUAUAAAAGGGCAAAUACCAAGCACGAAUCAAAGGACUUUUUAUACAAUCUUAGAGGAAGAGGAGUGUUAGGUAUUUAGAAAGAAGAGGAGAAGAGGACUUUUUACUCAUAACCCGCUGUCGCGUGUAUUAUAAGUCUAUUAUUCAUAAACGAUUCACUAUAUGUCUAUGCAAACCUAGUACGAAUAAAACAUUAAAUAACAAGUCUCGUAAACGGCUACCUAAGGUAUUAUCUGUAUGUCUACGAUAAUACAUGCAAUUAACACACUCAUCCGGUGAAAACUACUCGAAGGCUCUUCUAUCCAUGUUCUAAUUAUUAAAACGAUCUGUCGAUUCAAUCCUAACAAUAACACAUAGCAACAUAAAUUAGCUACGUUCAUGCGCCAAAUAAGAUCAAAAUAGAAGAAAUAAUCGAAGAAUUUAAACUUGCAUAAUAGUAGAAAAAAGUGGGCCAAAAGUAAAUUCUUCGAUUUGUACCUAAAAUACAAAUAAUAACCAUUUGAAGCACCAAUUAUCGUUAAAACCAAUGUUAUCAGAACCGGACCGGACAUUAAACCCGUGAGGCAUUCGGGUCAUGGUUGGACCGGUUCAACCGGAGUCAACCCGGGUUUUUUAUUUUUUUAUAUAUUCUAUUUAUUUUUUAAUUUUAUAUACACAUAAUUACAUCCAAAUAAAAAUUUAAAACAUUAAACAACAUAUGAAAAACUUCACUUCAAUCCAAAAAAAUAUCCAUAAUAAUAAUGUAUCUCAUCAAAAUCAUCCUCAUCACAUAAUUAAAAUUUAAAAUAUAAAACUAAAACAUAUAAAUAGUUAAUGUCUUUUGCAUUAAAAUUAUUUCUUGUACAAUAGAUAUGGUAUUAGAAAAUAACAUAAUUUGAUAUAUACGAUAUUAAAUGGUGAAAAAACUACAAGUGUAAAUAGAAAUUUUAAAUUCACAUCUAAACAAAAAUUUUUUGAAGAAUUGAAAUCUAAACAAAAUUAUUAUCACAUGAUUAAACAAAAGAAUUUAAAAAUUGCACGAUUCAUCCACACGAAAGAGGGUACCGGCAGGUUGCGGGGGCGGCGGUGGCUGGCGGCGGCCGGCGGUGGCUAGUGGUUUGCGGCGGUGGCUGGCGGAUUGGGAGGCGGUGGCUGGGUGCGGGAAUAGUGAAGGCAGAAGAUGUACAGACUUGUCAAACAAGUCUGUUGAGUGUUGACGUUUAACGUGUUUUUUAAUUCAAUUUUUUUUUUAAACCUAAUAAUCAAAACAACGUCGUUUUGAUAAAGUAUUAAAUUUUUUUUUUUAAACCUAAUAAUCAAAACGACGUCGUUUUGAUAAAGUAUUAAAAAAAAUAUAUAAAACGCAACGUUUAGGAAUCGAACCCGGGUCAGCGGCCGGUUCGCCGGGUCCCGGGUUCCACCCGGUCAGACCAGGUUUCUGGUAGUUGACCCCGUUUUUGAAUUUAUGUGGGUUUGGGGGUUAGACCGGACCGGUUUUCCGGCGGGUCGCGGUCGAACCGGUCGGACCGGCCGGUCCGGUCCGGUUCUAAUAACAUUGGUUAAAACACACCAAAAGCUCCAAUUAAAAGGUACAAUUAAGUGUAAAAAUAUACACUUAACAAGGAGCGAGGGAACGGAGAAUUGACUAAAUUCAAGUCCAGUUAGUAUAUAUAUUUCUACUCGCUUGUUUUAAAGUUAAAAAUAUAAUUACAAUAAUCAAAUGACUCGUGCAACGCACAGGGGCAUGGUUACUGCUUAAAAUAACAAAAGAUGCUUUGGACAAUUCAAUACAACGCAUAAAUGGUGUCUGAAUAUAAGAGCUAAUAGCACACAUCCCCUGUGUUAUUUCUAAUUGGCAGAAAAGUCCCUAUGAUAAAACAAUUACCAAGAAACCCCCUAUGUUGUGUUAAAUAUAUCACACAACCCCUUAAUUCAGAUUUUACAGUUGACUUAAAGAAAAUGACAAAAAUACCCUUACCAAAGGGAAAGGGGAAGAGAGAAAAAGAAAAAAAAAAUUAAAAAAUUAUGAAAUGUGAUGACUGAUGAAAAGCAAGCAACAAACCUUCAACAAACCAUCUUCUGUGAUUUGGCUGCUCCAUUAACUGUGAGUUUUCAAGCUUCCAAAAUCAUGAAACAUCUCUUUCUCUAUUCUCUCAAGAAAGUCCACAAAGUGAAUUUAAGCUAUCAGUUGGUGACUAGACUCAAAAUAAAGGUUGAAAGCAUCGUCCAACAUCGCCGCCGACCGCCUUUCGCCACCGGCUUUCCGUCAUCAUCAAACCACCAUCAAAAUCCCAUCACCUCACCUUCCCUCCGUUCGUUGAAACAAGAACCAAUCAACUAAUUAAAGAUAGUUCAUUUAUUUUGUUUUAUUUUUGUAUUCAAAUCGAAUGUCAACCUAAAACAUGGAAAUGGAUUGUGAACUCCCAAAACAAUAAAAUUAUGUUGUUCUAAUCGAAUUAAGUUAUAUCUGGGGAAGGUGUUGUAUUUUGUUUAUGGAAUCGUGGGGUUUGUGGGUGGCUUGAAGAAUGGAGAAGGGCUGGUGUAAUCGACGGAGAUGGAGUAGUCGAGCUUCUACCUGUACCAAAAGGUCUCAGCAGCUCCCUCCAGAAAUUGGGCUCCGGCUUCUCCUCCUCCAAUUAGUGCGUGAACAUGGUGGUGGAUUCGAAACAAUUGGGGAUGAGCUGAUUUGGAGAGAUGGUGUUUUUGAAAUUGUCAGGGACUGAAUCGAAAAUUAUGAAAAUUUCAUUUUGGUUCAUACAAAUUUCUGGAUGAAUAUGUAAUUUUUGAAAAAAUGAUUAAAAGGGUAUUUAUGUAUUUUCAGGUCAAAAAACACACCGCCAAUCGCUCAACCCACGCGUGCAGCACACGAAAAGCUUUCAGGGGGGUUUUUGGCUUUGACUAUCUUUUAUAGGGGGGUAUUUGCUAAUUAUUUUAACACAGGGACUUUUAAGACAAUUAGAGUUUACACAAGGUUAGUUUUUGCAAAAAACCCAUAUAAUAACCUAGACAAUCAUAUAUAUAUUGAAUCUUUAAAAUAUUGUUUUCUUUCAAAUUAUCUGCUCCAUCUAGCUACUCACCACAUCUCACAUGCAUGAAUCCUUCAAUAUGUUAUUAGUGAUAUUAAUUUAUUACAAGUUGGCUAUAAAUUAUGGAAUUAAAUAUUAUUUACAUCCCAUUAUUAAUCAAAUCUUGAGUCCUUUAAUUCAUCUCAUCUUCUCCCCACAAAUUAAAGAAGCUCAGACAACACAAAAAUUUCAAUGGAAACCGUAACGAAUAAGUAUGUUGUAACAACGAGCAAUAUCGAUGGAGCCCCGAACGAAUCAAACUUCGCGAUUUGCGAACAAGUUGUUUCCUUGAAAGUACUACGACAGCCGGCUGGUGAGGGUUCCGACAUCGUUGUCGUUGUGAAAAAUAUGUACGUGUCGAUCGAUCCGUACCAGAUAAACCGAAUGAAGAGUUACAGUUGUUCGCAGGGAACUGUUUCUGCAGCAGCUGCUCUUCUUCCUGGACAGGUUAUCAUUCUUAUAAUAUAUAAGCAAUUCUUAAUGUUUAAUUUGUUUCACUGUUUUUUUUUUUUCUUUGAUAAAUAUGUUUUCUAAUUCUGUAAAUAAUUUUCAAAUUUAAACAAGUUUGUUAAGAUAAAAUAUUUUAUUUUAAAAAUAAGUUUGGCUUGGGUUUGAUUUUAUUUUAAUACACUCGGGAUUAACAAAUUCUAUUAAUUUAGCGAAAUGUUAAAUUAUCGAACUAAUAAUUUACUAUGUUAUUACCGAGUCGAGGCCAGAAAAAAUUAUUAUUCAAGGAAGGUUAUUAAUUUAUCGAGGUUAUAUUGUAUCAUUUUGUACAAAUUAUUUUGAGUUACACCCUAAUUGAAAUAAAUGUGCAAAUAUUAGUAAUUAUAUUAGGGUAAAUUACACCCACACCCCUGAGGUAUGCUUAAAUAACUUUAAGGUCCAUGUGGUAUCGAUAAUUACUGUCACCCCCUUGAAACGUAGUUAUAAACUCUAAUGGGAUAAUGCAUUGGAUACGUUAUCACGAUAGAGUUCUAACGGACUAUUGGUUUCAGGAAGUGGUGGAGACAACAAAGAGUUAUGGAUGAUUUAAGAAAUAUUGGGGGAGCCAUGUCACAUCAUAACUCCCCAUAACUCUAUGUUAUCUCCACCACUAGCUAAAAUUAAUAGUCCAUUAGAACCCUAUCGGAAUAACGUAUCCAAUGCAUUAUCUCGUUAGAGUUUCUAACUACGUUUCAGGGGGGUGAGUGUAAUUAUCGAUACCAUAGGGACCUUAAAAUUAUUUAAGCAUACCUCAGGGGUGUGAGUGUAAUUUACCCAUUAUAUUAAGAUAAAAAUUGUUACAGGCAAUUAAUGCAAGUGGGGUUGGGAGAGUGGUGGGUUCUACACAUCCAGAAUUUAAAGAAGGGGAUCUUGUUUCGGGAGCCCUAAUAUGGGGGGAAUAUACCCUUGUCAAAGGCAUUUCUUUACAGUGGUUGCAGAAAUUGGAUACAAAUCUCUCAUUUCCACUCUCUUAUUUUGCUGGAGGAGUUCUAGGUAUUAUUAUUAAUUAUACUUUAAUCAUCAUAUAAAUUCAUUUAUAAUUUUGUCAUUUUUUAAGGGCAAAUUGCACGUCCCCCUCUAUAAAUUUCUAAUGUUUUGCACUUUACCCUCUCAAAAUUUGGAAAUGCGAAUUUCGCCCUUCAGAAUGUUAUUCUUAUUGCACAUUGUUUCGAUGGAUUGUUCACUGAAGUUGAGUGAAUAUGUUGCACGUUGCCCCUUUUAAAUGUUAUUUUUGUUGUACCUUGGCCCCCCAAAAAACAUUAUUUUUCUGCAAAUUGUCCCUGUUAAAAAUGUUGUUUUUGUUGCACAAUGCUCAACGAAAAUUAGCUUUUGGGGCAAAGUUCAACAAAAAUAAUAUUUUGAUGGGGGUUAUUCCAUUAUUUUAUUUUUUAGGGGGGAAUGUGCGAAAAUGGAAAAUUUAUAGGGAGAAGAGUGCUUUUUUUUUUUUUUUUUUCUUUCUUUGUGAGAUUAUUACUAUUAACUUAACCAAUAUUCAAAAUUUACAAAUCCCCGCCCGUGUUUCGACCAAUGGGUGAUAGUGAGAUUCGAAUUCACGAUCACUGGUUCUUAUUUCGUUAAUACUUUAAAGAUUUAUUUAAAAUUAAUAUUUACUUUUUCUUUUUAUUAAUUAGCAAGUGUCUUAUAAGAUGUUGUAGGAGGUCACAACGUUUCCAAAUUCGAUCAGCCACCUUCGUAAAUUAUAGGGAAAAUUACGGCCACACCCUAAAGUAUGACCAAAAUAUGAAAACCCCUCUUGUUUGGAUAAUUAUUGUCACCCUCUUCUUUAAAUAUUUUUACAUAAAAUUUAUGUAAUUCGGUUAUUUUCCGAAUCAAAUUGUAUAUUUCGUUCGGUAAACAGUAUGAAAUGUCGGCGUACCGAAAAUUUCGAUUCGAUUUUACCGAAUUAACAUCCCUAAAUUUACCUCUGGAGGGGUAUUUUCGUAAGAUAAUACAUAGUUGAUGGGGUGACUGUAAUUACCCACACAUGAGGUGGUUUUUCAUAAUUUAACCAUAAAUCAUGGGUGGCCGUAAUUUGCCCUGAAUUCUAUACUGAUGGAAAAUUUAUUAAUUUGCAAUAAAAUAAAAACUUACAUACUCAAACUUGUUUUGAGUAAAUUAUGGUUUUAUUCUUAAAUAUAUCAAUAAAUAUUGUAGGAAGCAGCGGGCUUACAGCAUAUGGAGGGUUUUUCAAAGUGUGCAAGCCUAAAAAGGGAGAUAAAGUGUUCGUUUUUGCUGCUUCCGGUUCGGUCGGGAGUUUAGUCGGACAAUACGCCAAGUUGUUUGGUUGUUACGUCGUUGGAUGCGCAGGAACUAAACAAAAGGUGCAUUUUUGACGUCGUUGUUUUAUUUUAAUUAACUAAUAUAAUCAUAUAUAUACUACUAGCUAGACAUGACCAACGGUCGGUCCGAUUUUGGUUCAAACUGGCGGUUCUGGUUCCAUAAUAUGAAUUAACUGAAACCGGACCGCUAUUUACUGUUCGUAGACGGUUCUCACACCCCCGGUUCCAGUUUUGAUUUUGUAAAGUGGGUUUUCUUGUUUUUUUUUUUCUUUCUCUCUUUCCCACUAUUUUCAAGGAUAAAUUUGUAAUUAUUAAACUAAUAUUUAGCCUAUUUCAGUUAUUUUGUUACUAAAAAAUUGAUUCCCCCCCCCCCCCCCCGCCCCCCUCCUCAUUUUCCUUAAUUUCUUGUACAAUUUAUUUUGUUCAUAACAAUAAAAAUGGUAAAUGUCCGAUUAUUUAAAUGUUCACCCGGUCCGGUUCCGGUUAGAACCGGAACCGGACCGGUGGGCCCGGGGCCAUGUCUACUACUAGGUAUUGUACGUAAAAGAUGAAAUAAAGCUUUUCUUGGUCGAAUAUAAUGUUUUGUAGGUGGACUUACUAAAAGAUGAACUCGGGUUUGAUGAUGCAUUCAACUACAAACAAGAAACUGAUUUGAACUCAGCUCUUAAAAGGUACGUACUAACCGAUAAAACCUUAUAUUAUUGGUCGAAUUAACUACACGCAAACUCAUAAAUUAUAAUCGACAUAUGCCUAAUUAUUACAAUAGGUACUUCCCGGAGGGGAUCGACAUAUACUUUGACAACGUGGGAGGCGAAAUGCUCGAAGCGGCAAUCAAUAACAUGAACGUUUUCGGUAGAGUAUCCCUUUGUGGAGUUAUAUCCGAAUAUACGGACGAUAGUAAAAGAGCCAAACCCGACAUGGUAGCGGUGGUCUACAAAAGAAUUAAAAUAGAGGGUUUUCUGUCUGUCGACUUUAUGGAUAUAUACCAAGAAUACAUUUCCACAACUAUAAUAUAUCUUCAGACGGGCGAAUUGAAGGCCGUCGAAGAUAUCUCGGACGGUCUAGAUAGCAUUCCGACUGCCUUUGUCGAUCUUUUCCGUGGCAAUAACGUCGGAAAAAAGAUUGUGAGAAUUUCUCAAGACUAGGUUUAUUUUUCAAUUUGUAUCUUCAAUACAAUGUUAUGUAUUGUUGGUUAGCUCUCGUGUAAUAAAGUUAACCCCAUUUAUGUGAUCAUUUCAUAUUCACGUGGGAAAAUAUUGAAUCCACAUUACCCAAUAUGAUCAAAAUUUUAAUUAUUUAUGUCUAUUAAAUCUUUUCUAGCAUUUGAAUUAUAAUCUUGAUUGUGAAAUGUUUUAUUGUUUUAAGAAUUUGAUUUGAGAUUGGUGAUGGUAAUAAGGAAACUGAAAAAUUAAGAAGCUCGUGAGUUAUCUUUAUAUAUAAAAGAAAAAAAUGCUAAAAAUCUUAAAGGCAUUUCUUUAUUUGUCUAUAUUUUUUUUUCUACUAACUUUCUAACCAUAUUUUUUAAUUAUUAGCAAAAUUGAAACCAAAUCGUAUGGAAUUCUUCCAAUUUCAAUCUCCUAUUUUUUAUCCAUAUAUCUCAAAUCUUGACAGAUAAUUUGUUUUUUCUCUACUAAUUUUUUGAAUUAUUGUUACUUUUUCUUUGUUAUCUCAAUGGAAUGGUUUUCCGCUUUCUUUGUUGAUAAGCGUCUUGGUAAGUAUUAAUUUUUUUUUUUAAUUUUUUUUUUAUUGAAUUGAUGGUUGCAAAAAGCUCCGUCAUGCUCAUUAUCGUUACACUUUAUAUAGUUUUAUAAGAGGGGUGAUAAAUGUCGUCCAAUUUUAUAUACCGUUUCAUCAAACGUAAUUUUGAUCAUUUUUUAUUAUGAAUUUGGUAAACUGAAAAAAUAGAAUUUGUAAUUCUUUGAGUUAGCUUUCCAAUCCAAAUUGUAUCUCCGAGAUCGAAUAUCGGGUGAGAAAUAUAUGCAUGAAUCAAUGUACACUGCCACAACUUUGAUGUUUUGAUCAGUUGUAUAAAAUUUAAUAUGUAACUUGUUUAUGCAUAACUUUGCCUUUACAUAUUCAAUCUAGCUGAUUCAAAUUAGAUUAGAACGCUAUCUCAAUGGACUACAGUUUCCGUGUUAUGAAGUUUGCCAAAAUCAAAAUAGAAAAGGGUCAAAACCAUCUGAAUUCAAUCAAGAGCUUCUAAUCUUUGUAGAGAAAUAUAAAAAUUAAAUUAGUUGAUUAAUUAGAUAUUUCAAUGGGAAGACAGAUCUUACAAAGGUCUUUAAACGUUUCAAUGCCGAUUUUGUCACACAAAGCAAGUGGUCUGGUAGAAAAAAUCGAGCGCAUAAGAUGCAUGAUUCUGCAACGUAUUUGGUUGAAAACACGGCCCUCCAGAUUUAAUUUCGUCGCAACUAUAUCUAUUACAUGCGUAGGUUAUAUAUCUUUGCAUUUUCUUGAAAGGUGUUGAUAGUUUGACAAUGCACCAUGCAUGUUUCGCCCUUAUAUUCAUGUAAAAUAAAUUUUUAACAAGGUUAAUUUGUUGAAGAAUUAAAAUAAAUUGUUAUAAAUAUAUAAAUGAAAAAUCGAAAACACAAAAUUAUGAUCAUUAAAGCUAUGACAGCUAGCAAUCCGGAUUCUUCGUAAAAAAUGGUUUUUAGUUGUUCUCCUUCUCUCUCAUUUUCCUCUCCAUAUGCUCUAAAUCUCUAUCCUCUCAUCUUCUGCAUUGUGAUUUCUACAUGUAGUUGUUGGGCGUUUGCGUCGAUUGCGGCUGUCGAAGGCAUAAAUUACAUUCGGAAUAAAAGAUUGAUCCCAUUGUCCACCCAUUAAUUGGUGGAUUGUGAUACGGGAAAUAAACAUUGCGAUGGAGGAUAUAUGCAACCGCAGCGUUUCAGUAUAUCAUGGAAAAUGGGAUCACAACCGAUAAUAAUUACUUGUACGAAGACAAAUACGGAAACUUUUGUCAAAUCGAAAAGGUAUACUUAUAUAUAUAUUUUUAGUGAUUCAAUAUUGUACGUAGUACUUAAUGUUUUUAUAAUUAACUUAUUCUUGAAUUUCUAUAUAUUGCAUAAAAAUAACCCCACGGUGCGGAUAAAACGCUACAGCCAAGUUCCUCCCUAUCGUGAAGAUUUGCUAAUGAAAAGAGUCGCUAGGCAACCGGUGACCGUAGAGAUCGAUGCAAGGAGCAUGGGCUUCUGCCAUUACUCAAAAGUAAGUUUCGUGUAUUCAUCGAUAAAUUAAAUAAUAUAUUUUUUUAAUUUAAUUUAAUUUAAUUGUUAGGGGGUGUUCGAUGGGCCCUGCGGAACAACACCAGAUCAUAUUGUUACUAUAAUUGGGUACGGAACAACCGUGAGUGGUACCGACUAUUGGCUGGUGAAGAAUAGUUGGGGCCGCAAUUGGGGAAAACGAGGCUAUAUUCGGAUGAUCCGUCGUUCAAAGGGCAGAUACGGUCGCGGGAUUUGUGGUCUUGCCAUGAGAGCAUACUGAAAAACUUUUAUUUAUUUUAUGCGGAAAAACCUUAAUCACAGAAUCUUGAAAUCAAAUUCAUCUUAAGAAUAUAAUCACGUAAUAGAGAUUAUCGACAUACCGUUCGCCAUGGAUUCCGAUAGAGAUGAUGAACGAUAGCAAUCUACAAGCCGAGCCUAGCCAGGCCUCCUUCGAAUCUCCUUGAGAACUUUAUUCGUAGCACACCUUCUUCUCUCUAUCUCUCUAAUAUCACAACUCACGAAUAUUUCUGUAAGUGAUGGAAUUCUCAAUUGUGUCUGAUGGUUGAGGAGAAGAGCUGUGGAUUUCUUUUAUAGACGAGAGAAGAGGGCCACGAUUGAUUUGUAACGGCAGAAGACAAAUCCCACCCAUCAUGGUCUUUUACUGCCUUCAACGUUACAAAUCAAUUACCAUAAAAUCACCUUAAUACCAUGAUUUGAAUUACCCACAAUUUAAUUAAUUAAAAUAAAGAUUAGUGGACCAAAAUUAAAAACGUUUUAAAACGUAAACUAACAUUCUCCCACUUGGUCCACUGAAUCGAUUAAGAAAAAUAAGUUUAAAAAAUAUUUGACUCGGUGGGUUCUUCAUACAAAACAUUUGACACGUGAUCACGAUUUUAAAAGAAAAUUAAGGUGAUUACCAUAAUAGGUAAAUAGAGUACUUUAAUACUAGAACUAGUUUGAGUUAUUAAUGUGAAUCAUAGCGGUUAUAUGAUUCAUUCAUCAUAUUCCCUUCUAUGUAUCACGCCACUAAUAACCCUUACUAUUCUAAUCCAUAAUAGCCCCUUUAAUUUUGUCUUGUUAGGACAAACCCUGUUAAAUCCAAAUAUAAUAUGUGCACACAUAAUUGGAAACAGGAAAACAGAAACAUUUCAUUAAAUAAAUUAAGUGUCAAUUACAUAAUCAUAACUCAUUAAAUCAUGGAUUGCUCAAAAGACCCAUUCUAAUAACAUGUUCCUCAUAUGUCUUUAUAGGCAAUCCCUUGGUUAAUGGAUCAGCAACCAUAAGAGUUGUACUUAAAUUUUCUAUUGACACUUGUUGUUUCUGGACUCUUUCUUUAACAACCAAGUACUUAAGAUCCAUGUGCUUGGAUCCACUUGAAUACUUUCCAUUCUUAGAGAAGAAAACGGCUGCGGUGUUAUCACAAUAUAUCUUCAAAGGCUUAGCAAUUGAGUCAACAGCCUUAAGCCCUAAGAUAAAAUUUCGCAACCACAGUGCAUGACUCGAGGCCUCAAAACAUGCUACAAACUCAGCCUCCAUUGUGGAAGAAGCAAUAAUACUUUGCUUUACGCUCUUCCAAGAGAUUGCUCCACCAGCUAGUAGAAAUACAAAGCCCGAUGUGGACUUUCUACUAUCUACACAACCAGCAAAAUCGGAGUCUGAAUAACCAAUAACCUCUAGUUGGUCCGAUCUCCUAUAAGUAAGCAUGUAAUCCUUUGUUCCUUGAAGAUACCUCAUAACCUUCUUUGCUGCUUUCCAAUGAUCUAUUCCCGGAUUACUUUGAUAUCUACCAAGUACUCCCACUGCAUAACUAAUAUCUGGUCUAGUACACGUCUGUGCAUACAUCAAACUUCCAACUGCUGAUGCAUAUGGAAUCAAUUUCAUUUUCUCCUUUUCCAAAUCAUUCUUUGGACAUUGCUUUUCACUUAAUUUAUCACCUUUCGUGAUAGGAGCAUUAAUGGCUGAACAAAACUGCAUAUUAAAUCUUUCAAGAACUCGAUUGAUAUAUUCUUUCUGAGACAAGCCUAACAAUCCUCGAGAUCGAUCUCUAAAGAUCUCUAUCCCAAUAACAUAAUUUGCCUCACCCAUAUCAACCAUCUUAAAAUUCUUGGAAAGAUAAUUCUUAGUUUCGUGAAGCAAACCAAGAUCACUACUUGCUAGUAAAAUAUCAUCCACAUACAAGACUAAAAAGAUAAACUUGCUCCCACUGACCUUUAGAUAUAUACACUGAUCAACAGUGUUUUCCUUAAAUCCAAAGGAAGUAAUGGUAUCAUUGAAUUUUAUAUACCAUUGUCUAGAAGCUUGUUUAAGUCCAUAUAUGGAUUUCUUUAAUUUACAAGCCAAGUGUUCAUUUCCUUGUUUUGCAAAUCCUUCAGGCUGGUCCAUAUAGAUAUCUUCAUCUAAAUCCCCAUUCAGAAAAGCGGUUUUCACGUCCAUUUGGUGUAACUCCAAAUCAUAAUUAGCUACAAGAGCCAUAACGAUUCUAAGAGAGUCUUUCUUAGAUACUGGAGAGAAAGUUUCUCUAUAAUCAAUGCCUUCUUUUUGAGUGAAACCUUUGGCCACUAAUCUGGCUUUAAAUCUUUCGAUAUUGCCCUUAGAGUCACGUUUGGUCUUAAAGACCCAUCUACAACCGACUUUCUUACUGUUCUUAGGCAAUUCGACAAGUUCCCAGACACCGUUAUAGUCCAUUGAUUUCAACUCUUCAUUCAUAGCAUCAAUCCAUUUAUUAGAAUCUUUACUUUUCAUGGCUUGUGAAUAUGAAACUGGAUCAUUUUGAAUACCAAUAUCAAAAUCAGAUUCUUGUAGAUACACCACAUAAUCAUCGGAUAUGGCAGACUUCCUUUCCCUUUGAGAUUUCCUCAAAGCUACCGGCUGUGGUGGUUCUACAGUAUUCCCAAUAAUAACAUCUUCAUGAAGUGGUGAAUGGAGUGGCGAAUCAUUUGUUUCAUCAACCUGCUGUAUAGGUUGAAGAGUAACGUUAUCUUGAGGGAAAUAAGAUGGUAAAAUAUCCACCCUAAUUUCCUCAAGUUCUACCUUUCUUGAUUCAAGACUCCCACUAACUUCACCAUUCUCUAAGAAUUUGGCGUUUCCAGUUUCAACUAUCCUCGUAGUAUGGUUAGGACAAUAAAAUCUGUACCCUUUUGACUUUAGUGGAUAACCAAUAAAAUAUCCAGAAAUUGUUUUAGGGUCCAAUUUCUUUUCAUUUGGAUUGUAUAUUCUAGCCUCUGCUGGACAACCCCAAACAUGUAAAUGUCUUAAACUAGGUUUCCUACCAGUCCACAACUCGUAAGGAGUUGUUGGGACUGCCUUACUGGGAACCCGGUUUAAGAUAUACAUAGCGGUUUUCAAGGCUUCAUUCCAAAAUGAAAUGGGUACAGUUGAAUUACUUAACAUACUCCUAACCAUAUCCAUGAGAGUACGAUUACGACGUUCAGCAACUCCAUUCUGCUGUGGUGUUCCAGGCAUUGUGUAUUGAGCACAAAUACCACGCUUUUCUAAGAAUUUAGCAAAUGGGCCAGGAUUUUGUCCCGACUCAUCAUAUCUACCAUAGUAUUCCCCACCCCGAUCUGAUCGUAUAACUUUAAUUUUUCUAUCUAAUUGUCUUUCGACUUCCGUAACAAACACCUCAAGCAUGUCAACGGCUUGAGAUUUUUCAUGAAUUAGAUAGAGAUAACCAUAACGAGAUAGAUCAUCAAUAAAGGUGAUAAAAUACUUUUCUCCACUAAAACAUGGAAUAGGUAGCGAGCAGAUAUCUGUAUGGAUUAACUCAAGAAGCUCUUUACUUCUUGUGGCACCCCUUUUAUUGUGUUUGGUUUGCUUACCCUUAAUGCAAUCAACACACAUUUGAAAAUCAGUAAAGUCUAGAUUUUCCAAAAUUCCAGUUUUUACCAAUCUUUCGAUUCUUUCCUUGGAGAUAUGCCCCAAUCGUUUAUGCCACAAGAUAGAAGAAUUUUCGUUAUUUAGGCUUCGCUUUACGCCAACUUCCGAAUGAGUGGUUAAUAAUGAUUGUUCAAACUCAUGAUUCAAAGAUAUUUUAUAUAAACUAUCACAUAAAAUACCGGAACCAAUUAUUAUUGAAUUAAACAUAAAACUGAGUUUUCCACAACCAAUUAAAGCUGAAUAACCACAAACAUCCAGUUUUGACAAAGAAACCAAAUUCCUAGAAAACGAAGGUACAUAAAAAGUGUUUUCAAGAUCCAUCUUGUGACCCGUCUCUAAUAUGAGGCGAUAAGUGCCAACAAACGCCACUUUAGAUUUGAGACGGUUCCCCAUAUAGAUGUACUUUUCACUUUCCUCCGGUUUCCGAGUUGUAAGGAAUCCCUGUAAUGAAUUUGUGAUAUGAGUUGUAGCACCAGAAUCAAGCCACCAAGUAUAAGAAGGAACUUCAAUAAGAUUUGAUUCAUAACAUACAAAAGAAAGAUGAAUACCUUUCUUUUCGAACCAAGUCUUUCGUUUCUCACAAUCCUUCUUUACGUGUCCCUUCUUGUUACAAAAGUAACAGGUGACAACAAAAGCCUUUCCAUGACCCUGACUACUUUCACCAAGUUCAUAUCUUUUGUUUGGUGAAAAUUUCUUUCCACUCUUCACAAAUUUCCCUUUCUUCUUCAUACUUCCAUGAGUUACAGCCAAUGCAAAGUGAUUUCCUUCUUGCUUUAAUCUCACUUCCUCUUGAAUACACAUACUAGUCAGCUCAUUCAAAUUCCACUUAUCUUUUUGAGUAUUAUAGUGGAUUUUGAAUGGGCCGAACUUUGAUGGAAGUGAGUUAAGGAUAAAUUACACAAGGAAGGACUCUUCCACUUUCAUGCCAAGAGCUCCAAGUUUGGCAGCCUUAUCAGUCAUAUUCAGGAUGUGUUCCUGAAUUCCCUUAUCACCACCAUAUUUCAUGGUAGUCAAUUCAGCCAUGAGUGUCCCUGCUAACGACUUGUCCGCUGAUUUAAAGCGUUCUUUAAUAGCCGUUAACAGUUCCAUAGCAUUGUCAACCUCGGGAAGAGAAGUCUUAAUGUUAUUAGCAACAGUCAUUCUAAUAAGCAUAAGACUAAGCCUAUUGGACUUGGUCCAGGCUUCAAUUAGGCUAACUUCUUCCUCACUGUUAGCAUCCGUUAUUUCCCCAGGUUUUUCAGUAAGCAAUGCUAGGUCCAAAUCCAUAACACCCAAGGUGAAUUGAAUUUGUUCAUACCAUUCGGAGAAAUUUGACCCACUGAGAGUCUUAAUACCAGAAGCAUGCGAGUACAAUGAAGUAGGAAUAGCAACUGAAAUAAAAUAGCAAAUAUAAUAAGGUAAAGAUAAAAGGAUGCUCACAUAAGACCUUGAGUCAAAUAAGAUGAACUAUUGAUAUCACUACAAGUUCGCCUUUGGGUGAAAUACAGCAUACCUAUUGUUCACUCUAUAUUGGUGUAAAUGAUCGUUUAUAACACCUAAGUAGGGUCUAACAUAAUUUGUCUCACUCGUCAAUUAUUCAUGUUACCUUUAGGUAAACAAUUCUAAUUGCUAAGUAAUACAAAUUAUGAUACCCUACCCAGUUCAUAAUUAAUUAAAAUCGACUAUCCUUUGAGCUAGUCUCAAUUUCUUAAUUAUGACUGCAAUUUGAGAAUAUUAUAAUCUUUAAUAUCAUGUAAAUGAUUAAACUUUCAUAUAGUUCUUAUAUUUAUUAGAUUUUACUAAUUUAGGUCACUUUAGCAACUACAAGAUUAGUAAAUUUCAUAAAUAUAAAACUAAUAAUAUUCUCUUUAUUUUAUUUGAGUGAUAUAAUCAUAACAGUAACAACAUAAAUCACAAAGGUAAUUUACUGCAUAGGAUAUUAACAUAAUGCACAUAUAUGCUUAAUAAUCUAAAUCUCAUAUACUCAGUGCACAAAACUGCAUAAAUGUGAUGUAUAAUUAUUUUAUUGGUAAGACAUGAUUAUAUCAUUAAUAAAAUAUUUAAGAUAUAAUUGAUGCAUAGAUAUAUACAUACAAAUACAUAUGCAGCAAAUCACAUGUAUAGAAUAAUUAUAUGUAAUAUGAUUCUAUACGCAUAUGCAGAUACAUCAUAACAAUAUAAUAAAACAAACAUGAGGACCCACGAACAAACAAUUUUAUCAUGCCUCUCGUAUUAUAAUAAUUAUGUGAGUCUUUUCUCCAGAUUAAUCGAACACAGAGAACACAUAAUUUAAUUGUAUAAUUAAACAAGAUUCUCUUAUUUACAAAAAUACAGAUUAAGAUAAAUAGUCAAUUAUCAUGGUCUCAAUAUACUAUCCAUAGAACGACAGUCUAUCACAAAACAAAACAAUAAUUUUAUCUCAAAAUUUAAAUCCAUGAAAUCAUACAGCCGUAUAAUUAACAUAUAAUAUAUUUGAGUUCUAAGAUAAAUCGAUUUCAAAACCCUGCUCUGAUACCAAUUGAAAAACUUUUAUUUAUUUUAUGCGGAAAAACCUUAAUCACAGAAUCUUGAAAUCAAAUUCAUCUUAAGAAUAUAAUCACGUAAUAGAGAUUAUCGACAUACCGUUCGCCAUGGAUUCCGAUAGAGAUGAUGAACGAUAGCAAUCUACAAGCCGAGCCUAGCCAGGCCUCCUUCGAAUCUCCUUGAGAACUUUAUUCGUAGCACACCUUCUUCUCUCUAUCUCUCUAAUAUCACAACUCACGAAUAUUUCUGUAAGUGAUGGAAUUCUCAAUUGUGUCUGAUGGUUGAGGAGAAGAGCUGUGGAUUUCUUUUAUAGACGAGAGAAGAGGGCCACGAUUGAUUUGUAACGGCAGAAGACAAAUCCCACCCAUCAUGGUCUUUUACUGCCUUCAACGUUACAAAUCAAUUACCAUAAAAUCACCUUAAUACCAUGAUUUGAAUUACCCACAAUUUAAUUAAUUAAAAUAAAGAUUAGUGGACCAAAAUUAAAAACGUUUUAAAACGUAAACUAACACAUACUACCCGACGAAAGACGAACUAUAUACCUAAGUACUCAUGUAAUAAUCAAAUCUCAACUUAUAUAUAAGUACUCUGCUACUGUCAUAAUUAAUUAAAGAUUUUAUAUUAUCACUUACAAGUGUUCUGUUAUUUCUAUAUAUUUUUACUGUGUCAAUUUUGCAAAUUUCUGAAUGCUGCACAACAAUUUCACAUGAAGUUUAAUUUGCCAAGGAUUAUAAAGUAGGCUAUUUAAUAUUGGUGCAUAAUUUAGCUAAUUUAAAGAACCAGAGAGUGGUUCAAAAUAGUUGCAUUAAGACUGAUUUGCCCUUUUUUCUAAUAAUAUAACAUAAUCGCAAUAAAAUCGGACCACCGUGCUACGUCAUUCGAGUUUAGUUCACUCAGAAUAUUAUUUUGUCGGUUCCUAUAGAUUAUAAAGUUAAUCGAUCACAAUCUAGAUAUAAUUGGACAAUCCAUUUGAAUAAAGAUUGUAGCACAUUUUAAAGUAAUUAAUCUAUCUUUGAUUACAUUAAAUAUUUUUAAGUAAUUAAAUUCUAAAUUCACGUGCAGAUCAAGUGUAACUCACGUACAAAUCUCGUGCAUAUUACGUAUUUAUGUGAUUAUAUGCGCAAAUCCGUACUUAUUUUAUAAGCGGUCACUUUAGAAAAUGGGUAAUCAUUCAAAAUACAAUGAAGAUGAUACUCUUUCAUAUUAAUUAUAUAUAUAUAUAUAUAUAUAUAUAUAUAUAUAUAUAUAUAUAUAUAUAUAUAUAUAUAUAUAUAUAUAUAUAUAUAUAUAUAUAUAUAUAUAUAUAUAUAUAUAUAUAUAUAUAUAUAUAUAUAUAUAUAUAUAUAUAUAUAUAUAUAUAUAUAUAUAUAUAUAUAUAUAUAUAUAUAUAUAUAUAUAUAUAUAUAUAUAUAAUUUUACAAAUAUAUUUUGAGAAUUAAAUCAAUUGGGUAUUUUACAAAUAAAAUUUUAAUUGUCUUUUUUAGGGACAGAUUCUAAUUAUUGUGAUACUUUUUACAAAUUAAAUGUAUUUUUUGUUUUUUGAAGUCAACAUAAAAUUUAACCUCCUUACGUAAUUUUAAAUUUCAAAAUUAAUUGUUAAUAAGGAAUGAAAAAAAACACCUCACAUUUAUGGGCGUUGAAGAAUAUCAACAAGUUCUGGGGGGCGAUUGUCGGGUGGCGAAGGGGCUGGAUUGUGCUUCGGCAUCGAAUUUUUAUGAUUAUCGAAAGACCGAUAAUCAUAAAAGCCGUUAAAAUAGACAAUAGUGUCCAUUUCAACGUGUUUUUGCUGCCAAAAUCAAUAUAAUUCCUGUUUCCGAAGUCCACCGAUGGCUUCUCCAACCAACUCCUUUGGACCUCUUCCAAAGGAGGGUGCCUCCGGUGGGAAAGUGUCGGCCUAUCGAACUCGGACUCGAUUUCUAUAGGUUGCAUUUUUUUAUGCAUGAAAAAUAGGAGAAAAAAUACGCGAGUAUAAAUUAUAAUGGACUUGAUAAACACAAAACAAGUUUCCAUUACUUUAAAAUUACAAUUCUAGAUAAGAUAUUAUAAAGCCAUGUUAAAUAUCAAUUCUAAAUCCAUGUUCCAAAAAAUAGUAUAACACGUUUUCAAAAUCCUUCAGUUACACCAUUCAUUUCUCAUGAUUCAUAUUUUCAAUAUCAAAGAAGAGAACUUUUUAGAAAAUGGAAACAAAGAGAGUUAAGGUGACGUUUGUUUAUGUUUCCAAACUCCCUUUCCAGUUUUAUACCAUGCAUAAAACCGGGAUUAUGUUUGUUUAUGAAUUUUCACUUGGAAAUUCCUAUUUUUCUUAACAAUUUUUUCCAAUAGAAAUACACUAUUCAUAUUUUUCCCAAUUUUCAAACCUACAUUAAUACCUACUAACCUAUUUGUCUCUCCUCCAAUUUCUCUCCCUUCUUAUUAAUAUUCAGCUAGUUUUCCACCUUUCUUUUACACUUUUACACCAACUCUCUCAGAUCUUUUAAUUUAUUUUUAUAAUUCUAUUAUUUAAUUUUCUCCCAUAUCUCUUAUCUGUAAUUAAUAUCCUUGUUAGAAGAAAGAUGAACAACAACAACAACAACAAUAAUAAUAAUAAUAAUAAUAAUAAUAAUAAUAAUAAUAAUAAUAAUAAUAAUAAUAAUAAUAAUAAUAAUAAUAAUAAUAAUAUUCAAUCGUAUAUAUUCUACUUUUGCAUGUACUUUCGUAGAGAAAACUCACCACAACUAAACAUAUUCCCAUUUCUACACCUAUAUAAAACUAAAAAUACCACUUCAUCCAAACAUAUUCCUAUUUUCUACACAAAAACCAAUACAUCUACUUUUUCCAUCAGAAAUUAUGAAAAUUAUAAAAUCUCAUUAGAAACAUAACCAAAAUAUAUAUUACCUAAUUCAAUUUUUGUAACUUAUUUGGUACAAUUUUCAAAUCAUUUUCACUUCCAAAACAAGUUUUUUUUUUUUAAUACAAGCUCGAAUACUCCUCCCAAUUUACGAUUUCCGGAACUAAAUUAACACCACUAAUACUUGUAGACAUAAUUUGACUACUACAGUAAAAAAAACAUAAAACAAGAAAUUUUGUACUUCUGUCCUUUUAUAUCAAGAUUAUUUUUGUUGGAAUAUUUGUAUUUUGAAUUGAAAAUUUUCUAUUUACAUCAUAUUUUAUUUAUGAAUACAUUUAUACUGAAAAAAUAUUUAUUUAAUUCACCAAAUAACGGAAAGUGCGUUAUCAUACCUCACUGCUAUUUACAUCAUCUUUCAUUUUAUGAAUGCAAUAUUUUGAUCUAUAAACACACGUUCGCCAACAUAUUUUUACAUGUUUUUCUUUCUCUUAUUAGAAUAAGUUGUUAACGAGAAAAUACGAGUUGGUAAAAAUGGUAUAGUUCAAUAACUUUACCUCGACCAAAUUUACGUGCAAAUCAAGUGUAAAUCUUGUGCAUAUUACGUGAUUAUACGUGCAAAAACGUACUUAUUUUUAUAAGCGAACAUUUUCAAGAAUGAAUAAUGAUCAAAAUAAAAGGAAGAUGAAAUUCUUUCAUAUUAAUUUGUUGAUGGUAGGUAGAGAGACAUAACAAAAAUAUUUAGUAUGGUAAUGUGACAUGCAAAAAUAUUAUACACUUUAGAUGUAUUAAAUAUAUUGGGAUAUAGUAUUAUUGUAGCAUUAAUUAAAAUGAAAUUAACUUACAUUUCUGGGCAUUGAAAAAUAGAGGGCUUUGUAGAGGAAUUUUUGGAAUUGGGAUGAAUUUCUAGACUCCAAAAAUUUUGGAAUUAGUUUUGUACUUUCGAACAUAUUUGGAAAGUUUUCUACAAAGAUCAAUUCCGAUCCGUUUCAGACAUUCACCCAAGUCCUAUAAGGACACCAAUUUUCGGCUAUAGUGACUUGCACUACCAAAAAAAGGGGCUUUUGUGACGGACGAUUGCGUCAUUAAAUUGAAGAAAUUCCGUCAUGAAUACCUUUUUGUGACACAUGUGUGACGGAAAGUGUCCGUGGGAAAACCCCUCGUCACUACUUAAACUGUGACCUAUAUAUUCGUUUGUCACAUAUUUUGUCACGGAACCGUUUGUCACUACAAAAUACAUUUCCGUCACAAUUACCAUGUCCAGGGUCUAUAAAAUUUGUGACGGAAUGUGUCACAAAUAUUUUUUUAGUCGUUAGUAAUCCGUCGCAUAUUAAUAGGCCACAUUGUUAUUUAUCCGUCACACCUACUGUCAUAAAACCAUCACCAAUGUUCCGUCGCAAAUUACAUGUUACCAGUGUUCGUCACAAAUAUCAGUUAUCACGUGUCCGUCACCAAUACAAGUUAUCAGUGUCCGUCACAUAAUUCCGUCACCAAUGCCCGUCACACAAUCUGUCACACAUGGCGUCCCACACAUCCGUCACCAAUGUCCGUCACAUAAUAUCGAUCACAAAUGUCACACAAUAUCGGUCACUAAUGUCCGUCACACAUAUUGGUCACACAAACGCCGUCACCAAUGUCCGUCACCUAAUAUCGAUCACAAAUGUCACACAAUAUCGGUCACCAAUGUCCGUCACCUAAUAUCGAUCACAAAUGUCACACAAUAUCGGUCACCAAUAUCCGUCACACAUAUCGGUCACACAAAUGCCGUCACUACAUACUUGUCACACAACAUCCUGUCUCAAAUCCCUCACAAUCUUUUUACUAAAUAAAUUGUAUUGCGUCAUCCAACAGUCACAUUUUCAUCACAAAUCAUUAAAAUAAUAAUUAUGAUUUAUUUAUUUAUUUAUUUUAUUUUGUAUAAUAAUUUCCAGAUUAUGAAUUAAUAUUCAAAUUUAAUCAUCCACAAAAUAACAACAUUAAAAAAACUAAGAAAAUCCCAAUAAGAAUGUAAAUCUAAAUAAAUCAUCACACGGGUAUGAUUCCCAAUAGUUCCAACAUGAGCACAAAUUCCAAAACAUAUAAUCUUAACAAAAUAAUGUAAAAAGAAUCUUAACAAGACAGAAUGAUCAUAUCAUAGUCUAAAUGUUUCAUUCACCACGUAUUUGUACUCCGUACAUGUCCCCUUGUUCUAGACUUUCGGUGGCUUACAUUUCCUUCACCCAUCCUGCAGAUAAUCAUGAAAAUAAUCUAUAAGAAAAUACACAUAAAUAACCAACUGCAAAUAAUUAUAUGAAAAAAAAAAACAUACAUAACCAAUGAAAAUAAAAUAAAUAAAUAAAAAAUAAUGACACUACGAUAUAUCAAAUAAAAAUAAUAUAAAACUUUUGAAUGUAUAAGCCACUGAGAAUAACAAUGAAAUCAUAGCAAUUUACCUCAUCGUCGGUACUAGUGGAAUCCACGUAGUGCUGGUUUGUGUUGUUUUCAGAAUCAGAGUCUUCAAAUUCUUCUUCCUCCUCUUCUUCCUCUUCAUCAAUUCCUACAUCUCCUGUUGAGGUCAUCGAAUCAUCCCUAACUUCACCGGGAAGUACUUCUACGGGAUUUAUAGUAUUAUCCAAUAAAAUAUCAGACCGAUCUAAAUCUACUGUGAUAGGAAUUUCAUAUGGUGAUGACAUUAUCUCUUCUUGAAAAGGAUCUUCAACAAUUUUGGGAUUGCUUUCUUCGUGUGUUUCUACUGGUGGCAUAUUUAUUCUACUCCUAGCUUUUGUUUUGCAUACAGCCCGCCAAUCACUUCUAUCUUUUCGUGUAGAUGGAAAAGAUGUGUAAAAACUUGUUGUGCUUGUUCAGCUAAAAUGAAAGGGUCAUUUGUGCUAAGCCUUCUUCGAACAUUAAUCUCCACAACACCAAACCGUGGAUGCACUCUAACCCCGCGGUCAGAUGUAUCAUACCAAUGACAUUUAAACAGAACAACUUUAUUUCCACUUCCAAAGUAUUCUACCUCCAUCACCUCUUCCAACAACCCGUAAUAAUCAACUUCAUUUGCAUUCCAUGAAUUCCCUAAAACACAAACACCAUUAUUCAUUGUUGAUUUAUGUUGCCCAUGUUAGGUUGUGUGAAACUUGAACCCAUUGACAUAAUAACCUUUGUAUGUUUUAAUCCAUCGACUAGGUCCUUGUGCUAUGCAUUUAAUAUUUUCCUCAAUUGUGCUAUGAUCAUUCAUGACCUAUGCAUCCAUAACAUCAUAAAUUAAAUACCAUAUUCAAAAGUCCAACGAGAUCAAAGACUACAUUCAUAGCGUUCCAAUUUCAAGGUACAUAGAUGAAAUCGGACAAUAUAAAUAAUAAUAGAACGAAACAAAUAUACAAAAAUAAAAUACAAUAACUUACAUAAGUUCCUAUUCAUAUAUAUUUGUAAUCUUCAUUCAAAUAAUGAUGACAUACAUGAUCAGAAGCAACCACUUAUACAGAGUCAUCGAACAUACGAAAAAAUGACAGAUUUUCUAUCUUAACUUUGAAAAUUCAUACCUCUUUAACUACUGAUCCAAUUAAUCUAAAAUUUUUACACAACAUUUGUAUAUAUAUGAAUUGCAUCCCAGUAUAACAGUUUGAAAAACAAUGAAGUAGAUUAAUAGUUAUAAAUUAAUUUGUGCAGUGCUACAGUUUUAUGAUUCAAAACACCAGGGGCUACUUUAAAAUUUUGUAAAAAAACACCCGUUAGUUCAAAAACCUAAAAAAUUUACAGUAAUACAGCGAUGAGAGUCUAAAAUAAUAUCCAAGUGGAAUUAAUGAAAUAUGAGAAGUAAAACAUUAGAUAUUGAACAAAAUGUCCAGCUGACUGAAAACUAUCUUGUGUUUACAAAAAGGCUCAUAACUUUGUUAUUUCAACUCUGUUUUUAACCUAUUUUAUAUCAAAUAAAACAUCAGAGCAUAGAAUAUUGGAAUAUAGAAUUUCAUUAUUUUUAAGAAAAGAAAAUAUGCAGAAAAAUAAGUUAUGAAAUUCGGCCAGAAUACAAGUUAGUGUCAAAUUCAUGGUUCCGGUUAGCAUAAUUGAAGUAAAGUAGAAAAUCAUCAAAUUUCGUCAUAUAAUCCAUAUGCAUGCCGCAUACAGCCCCAUGUUCAGUCAAUCCAUGAAUUAUAUCACAUAGUUGAGGAGCAUCCUCAUAACAAUAACAAAAAUAAAGGCAUAUAGGUGACCUCGAACACAGAAACCCAAGCUUAAAUCCAACAAUUAAAUAGAAAGUAUCUAUGAAAAAGAAUACAAAUGUAUAUGACUUACACUUACAUAAUCUUGCAACCAUUGAGGGAAAUUUGUAUCACGUAAUCUUCCUAAAGCUUCAUCAGUGAGAGAUGGACAUUGUUUCAGCAUUUCUUCAUCAAAUUGCGUAUAAGAAUCAAACAUAUAGCAAUGUUAAUAUAUAUUUCAUUUUAAAUAUGCCAGUAUUAUUUUCCCACAUAUAUUAAAAGAGAUACUCACUCGACAAAAGGAAUGAUCUCACUACAAUUCAAUAGAAUAUAUCUAUGUGCAGCAAUCAUUUCACUUUCAUCUGUAAAUAAUCGACCAACUUUCUGACUUCCGAGAGGUCUCCCUGGAUGAUUGAAAAGAGAAAGACGCCCACCAAACUCUAUCUCUCCACCAUCAUCAUUUCUUGGGAGCCGAGUUAAUCUGGUUUCCACGUUAGACUCAAAAUAAAAGGAGCAUAAUGUUGAAACUUCCUCAAUUAUGUAUGCUUCUACAAUAGAACCUUCAACUCUAGAUCGGUUUUUCACCUUUUGCUUUAAAUGAUGUAGAAAUCUGAAAUAUCACAUCCAUUUCGUAAUAUAUAUAUAUCACCAAAAAAUUAAAUGAUAACAUGAGUUAACAAUAAAUUUGAAUAUGUAAAUGAAUACCUUUCAAAUGGAUACAUCCAUCGAUAUUGGACAGGUCCACAUACUUUCGCUUCAUAAGCCAAAUGAACAAGAAGAUGUUCCAUUACGUCAAAGAAUGAUGGCGGAAAAAUCUUUUCAAGUUUGCAAAGAAUCUCGACAAUAUUCUUCUCUAGUUGUGACGUAUGUUCUACAGUCAAUACAGUUGAACAUAAGUCCCUAAAGAAAACACUGAGUUCUGAUAUAGCUUCCCAAACUGGUACGGGCAAUAAAUCACGAAAAACAAUUGGAAGCAAUCUGUGCAUAAAUAUGUGACAAUCAUGACUUUUUAAUCCAUAAAACUUCCAGUCUUUCUCAUUCACAUUUCGGGCUAUAUUUGAAGCAUAAUCGUCCGGAAAUUUUAACUUUUUAGUCCAAUUGCAUAUUAUUUUUACUUGUUCUGGACUUAAAGUAUAUGAUGCUUUAGGUUUCAAAAGGUUUCCAUUUCGGACGUGGAACAAAUGUAACUCGGGACGAUCACAAAGUUGCUCUAAAUCUUUUCGUGCAUUUGCAUUAUCUUUUGACUUUCCCUUCACAUCUAAAACGGUAUUGAAUAUAUUAUCAAACACAUUUUUCUCUAUAUGCAUCACAUCUAAAUUAUGACGAAAAAGAUUAGUACUCCAGUAGGGCAAAUCCCAGAAUAUACUUUUUUUUUUACCCAAUUAUGUGUAUCGCCAAAUCCUAACAGGUCUUUAGGGUUGCCAAAUUUGUCAUACGUCCGAGAUGGGAGUUGACAAACUCGUCUAUGGAUUUCUUCACCCGAUAACCGUGGUGGCGGAGAGUCUUUUUCAGCUCGACCUUUCAAAAACUGACGUGUCUGUCUUCGAUAAGAAUGACUUCGUGGCAAAAAUUGACGAUGACAAUCAAACCAUGAUUGUUUGCGUCCUUUUGCUAAACGAAACGAUUUUGUUUUCUCCAUACAAUAAGGGCAUGACAGCAAACCAUGAGUACUCCAAGAAGACACCAUACCAUAUGCGGGAAAAUCAUUGAUCGUCCAUAAAAGAGCAACUUUCAUUUGAAAAUUUUGUUGUUUGGAUACAUCAUAAGUUUGCACACCUUCACUCCACAAACCAUUUAAUUCAUCGAUUAGAGGACGCAAAAAUACAUCCAACUUUUUGCCUGGAGAUUUAGGUCCCGGGAUAACCAUAUUCAAGAAAAUAUAUGGUUGUUCCAUGCACAUACCUGGGGGAAGAUUGUACACCAUAAUCAUAACGGGCCAACAAGAAUAUGGAGCAGCAGAGUUGCUAAAAGGAGUGAACCCGUCAGUACAUAAUCCGAGACGAACGUUUCGUGGUUCUGAUGAAAAUGAUGGAUGCGUUUGGUCAAAAUACUUCCAUGCUUCACUAUGAGAAGGGUGUGCCAUAAGUCCGUCUUCACACUGAUUUGUUGAGUGCCACGUCAUUUCUUUAGCUGUAGUUUUAGACAUAUAAAGUCUCUGUAAUCUGGGAAUGAGCGGUAAGUAUCGCAAUACCUUACGAGGUUUAUCUUUUCUAUAACUAACAUUUUUGGGCAUGUACCUAUCUUGACCACAAUAUAUGCAUUUUGUCUUCUGUUUAUUUUUUUUAUAGUAUAACAUGCAAUUGUUCACGCAAACAUCAAUCUUCUCAUAACCCAGUCCAAGUUUUGCAACCAUUUUCUUUGCAUUAUAUAAGUUAGCUGGUAACUUUUCAUCACUAGGCAACAUGCUCUUAACCGAUGACAUGAUUUGAUCAUAACAUGGAUGUGACAGGUUGAACUCGGAUUUUAUAUUUAGCAGCUGAGACACUGCCGAAAGCCUUGUUUGUCCCUUGCAACCCUCCCACAAUGGUUCAUUUGCAUCCUUCAAUAAAUCAAAAAAGUUUUUGGCAUUUGGAUUUGGUGUUUGUUCUAUAUUUAUUUGGUUCUCAUCAUUAUCAAAAUCCCAAUGAAAGCCAGGUCCUAUAGCAUCCAUAACCAUUGUUCUCAUUCCAGAGUGUUCAUCACUUCUAGGCUCAGAAUGUUCUGGUGUAAGAUUUGGUCUCCAUGGUUCACCAUGUGCAUCCCACGUAGUGUAAUCAUUUUUAAAUCCAUUUAUUUUGAUGUGAUGAUGCACAUUAUCUCGAUUGUUAAAUUUUCGAUUGCAGCACUUAGAACAAGGACAUCUUAUCUUACCAUGAUCAACUACAUUUGGAUAGAAAGAGUCCCUUCUCUCUCUGUUAGGCGAUUUUUUUGUGCUUGUUUGCAUUUUGCUUUCUCUCUCUCUGUUAGGCGAUUUUUUUGUGCUUGUUUGCAUUUUGCUUUAUAUCUCGGGUCACUAAACAGAUUAUCACAAAGUGUUACCCAAUCAUCUUUCUUCAUACAAUAAGGGACAACAGUCUUCCACUUUUCUACAUCAUCACCGAAUAAUUUUUCAGCAUUUUUUUUAAACCGAUAAAUGUUGUUUCAGAUGUUCAUGUUUGCAUAGUUCCAUGAUUUUUUUAUCCAACCUCAUGCAUUGGCAACCAAUUGAAAUGUUCCUAUUACAUAAUCAAACAAGUUAGCUCGUAAACCAUUUUUUACAAAUAUUCAAAUAUUAGUCAUAUAUAAAAAUAAAAUCAUCCACAAGAUAAUAACUCACUCGAAAUUUUUGAAACAAUCGAGUCUUUGUUUCAUUAGGAACCUUCCCCCAAGAAGACCAUGCACCAAGAUAUUCACGGGAAAUAUUCAUGAUCUCGCGAGUUACACUAAAUGGAAUAAAUCUGCGAUUAAACGCGAGGUAACGAUAUAAAAAGGUACCAAAGAAAUUUUUAUUUUAACAUUGAAGUGAGAAAAAAAAAUAUGUUAGUCGUACCCAAAACCGUCUGGUUGUAUCCAAGGUCGAUCUUCAGCAUUGUUUGGUGCUUGACUUAAACGACUUGCCCCCCUUACUCUUGAGGAGUUUUCAUUUUCUCCCUGAUUUGAUUGGCCUUCUUCUGAAACAAAUGUACGAGGGUCGUCGGACUCACGUUCAUCUCUUAAAGACAUGAACUCAUUCUCCAUCUCUUCAUCAUGCUCAUCAAGAUCAACCUCUGGAGGGGGUACACCGGUUGCGAUUGAUGGUUGUGUAACUGCACCUCGUGUUUGCUCCAUGCCUCUAGAUCUUCGACUCGUCUGAUCAGUAUCCAUGGAAGGAUGAACCUCUGAAGUAGGAACACCAGCCGAUCUAUUCAGUGUUGUUGCACCUUGUUCCGGCAACCUACCUCUGGAUCUACUAGUCUCAAUAUUUGUUGGAGGAUCAUCCAUCUCAAUCUCUGAAUCAAUUAGCCUUAAACGUGUUGUUCGUACAUUUGUACUUUUACCACGCCCCCUUCCUCUAAUUCGUCCACUAAAUCCUUUUGCUCUUGUCCCUGACAUUCUGCAUAAGAAUGUUACUGUCUAAACAAUUUUUACUAACUAAAACAAUAAUACUGUUGCUUAAACCAUGCAUCCAAAAAUCAUGAAAACUUUAACAAAACACUAACUUACAUGCCUGUAAUAUUCCUUCAAAAUAGUUUACCAAAAUAAUUCUCAAAUAAUCUGUUAUUAAUAAAAGUGCAGACAAUUGUAGUUACAUAAUCCUCAAAAUUAUAAUCAAGUUUAAAAUUUUAGAACUAAUUAUCCAUUGGUCCAAAUACUACAAAACUAUACAAUAAUAAACCUUACGAGUCUUUGGCCAAUUAAAACUGGAAUCAUUCUAAUCCAAUGACUAUAACAAUUAUUGUUUAACAAUAUAAUAAAUUGGCGAAAAAAAUUUAGUUAAGAAAAUAAUAAUAAUAAUAAUAACAAUUCAUAUUAAUUAAUCCAACAUCAAUAUUUUGAUGAGUAAGUCAACAUUCAACUACAUCAAAAUACAUAUAAUUGUUACCUUUAAAUUUGUUUCCACCCUUUUUCUUCUUUCUGUUCUCACUCUCUUGCUCUUCCUAUGUUUCUCUUUGUUCUUUCUAUUCUUUUUUUUUCUUCUCUUCGAUCAGUCUUUUCUUAAUCUUCUCCAGCCCCUUUUCUGUUUUGCAAAUACCGAUUUUUACUCAUGAUUUGUUACGUGAAAACAAUUCAAGUCAUUAGUUAGGUUUAGAACGUGUAUAUAUUUAAUGAGGAUUGCAUUAUCAUGCCUCUAACAACCUGCUUAAAAAUAGGCCCUUCGAAAAUAUAAUAUCAGUGUUGUUGCCGGACUGGACUGUAUAAUAUAUUUAUGGUACUAACCUAUAAAAUCUUUUUAAUUUUUAUUUUAUAUAUGAAUUGAAUAUGUAUUCUAUAAAAUUAAAUUUCAGAAUUUGUAAGAUUGACAAAUUUUGCUAUCUAAAUAUUUUCUAAUUUAUCCUUAAAUUAGCAAAUAAUAAUUUUAUAUUUGAAAUUUUCGUGUAUGUUUUAUGUGCAUGGAUGGCAUGUGGCUAGAAAGUGAAAAUAGAAAAAAAACUAUUAUUGAAAAUUAUAUUAAAAAAAUAAGAGAAAGAAAAUAGAAAAACAAUUUAUUGUUGAAUAUUAUAUAAACAAAUAAUUUUCAUGAGUUGGAUAAUAAUGUGAAGAGAGUGGUUGGCAUGAAUAAAAAUAUAUGAAAAUAAAUAUUUUAAAAAUUUAAAUUUAAUAAAAUAAAAUAACAGAAAAACCCGGUUGAACUGAGUAGAACCGGUUCAAUCGUGAUCCAAUUAGUCAUCCAGUUCUACGUCCGGUCUGAUUUAAAAACAUUGGAGAACAUGACAACAAUUUGGCCAUAUAUAAUUAUUUUUAUUGAAAAAAAAAAUAUAGUGAAUAAAUGUAUAUAGUAUGAAAAAUAUGGCAAAUUAAUUAGUAAUCCAUUUGAGAUUGUGAUGGGCUUAUAAAUUGUGACGGAUUUGUGACCGUAUCAACAUAGUGACCGAUCAAUGACAAAACUAGAAUGUGACGACUUUGUUACCAAAUAAAGAUAGUGACAAUUCAAUGACGGAAAAUACAAUGUGACGACUUUGUGACCGCAUUAUGCAUGACGGAUUUCUGACGACAAAGAUAUUGUGCUAGAUUAAUAAAGGACAUUAAUAAAUUAUUUACAUCAAUUAUAAUAUUAUGACAGAUUUGGUGACAAAAUCAAUUUCCGUGAAAACUUUAGUGACAAAACGGUUACGGAUUUGUGUGUGUCACAACGGCCGUCACGCACUCAGUCACAUAGAUGUCACAAUAAAAGACGGAUAUGUUUUCUUAAAUUCCGUCACAAAUUUGUCAAUAAUUUUGUCAUUUGUGUGUGACCGAUUUGUGAUGGAAUUGAGUUUGUGACGGAUAUGUGACCAAUAUUAUUCAAGACGUUAUUUCUAUGAAAAAAUAAUGACAUAUAUGUGACCAAACAAAUUUCUGUCACAAUAUUAGUGACUGAUAUGUGACAACACUAAUUUCCGUCGAAAUAUAAGUGACAUAAAUGUGACCGACAUCUGGCUGUGACAACAUUCGUCGCAAAAUUCGUCACAACCUCGUCACAGUGUAAUGAUGAUAUUUUCUGUUGGCAUCCGUCACAUAUCCAUCACUUAGUCGUCUGUCACAAAUAGUGACAGAUUAGGGCCGUCACAAGCUUUCCGUCACAAAAGGCAUGUUUUUUGGUAGUGUUGGUGGAGAAGGAAUUAAUUUUUCUGUUACUUUGUACAACUCUUUCCAGAGCCAAAUAUAUACAAUACUUGGUUGGAGAGAGAGAUAGGAUUCUAUGUACCUGAGUUGUUUCCUUGGGGGGAUUUGAAGGUUAAGGGAUUGAUUUCAAAUGAAUGAGGUACGAGUCAUCGGCGAAGCCCAUUCUGAUUUAUUUUUUUCUUACUCGUGCUCGUUGUCGCUGUUGAUGUUGGGCUAGGAUUGGAUCUGAGUUAACAAGAUUUGGACUAUUGGGGAUUGGGCAUUGCCGUCGAUAUUAAGGGGAAGAUGAGAAAUGAGCAUGCAAUAUUCAUUGUUAUUAUAGAGGAUAUUUUUGACUUUUCAUAUUCAACAACACACUCAUAGCCGCACAAUCCACGCGUGUAGCACACGAAAAGCUGUCGGUGAUUUUGUUGGUUUUGACUAACUUUCGUAGGGGUAUCAUUGCUAAUUUUUUAUAUCAAAAGGGCCUUUUCGACAAUUCAAAAUCAUACAAGGUGGUCCGUGGAGAAAACCCUAUAAAGACAAUUUUAAAGAGUAGUUAAAUAUGAGAAAAAAAAAGAAGUGAAGUUUAUGGUUUGUGAGGGUUUAAGAGCAUCCAUUUUAGAUGCUCUUGUAUCCGUGAACUUCCCUUGUGGACAAAGUCAUGUGAGUACCUCGAAGUUGUAAAUAUGCCUUUACACUCCAUAAUUUAAUUUAAUGAUUUUCAAAGAACCGAAACCCGACGCGUGCAUAUUCGUUCAGUUGUCAUCUUUCCACUUCCCAAAUCUUGUGAAAAUACAAAGGGGUCUCGUUAAAAUUUUACGUGUCAAUUUUGAUGAGAAUGUAAAAUCUAAUGGCCGGAACUUCCACUCGUAUUCGCCUAUUAUUCCUAGUUGUUCUAUGCUUUUCUUACGUCAUAUGCAACAAUGGCGCGAUCCCUUUCACAAGUAACUUAUCCUUCGAUUCUCCGAGUGUUCUUCCAUGUUCAAUGUGUUUUUUUUUCUUUUUUUUUUUUUAACUUUUUGGAAUUGCAGGAAGUAGAAACCUGAUGAAGGAACCUCAAAGUUAUGAAGUUGGAAAAGUGGUACUUCUGUCGGUACUCAACCUAAUUAUUGUCUUAAUUUACUUGCAAUAUCCUUGUCCUAAAUAAUUAGUUAAAUGUGUGAUGCAGGAAAAGAUUGUGAAAAGCUGGAAAACGGAUAGUCGAAUAUUCAGAAGAAUGGAGAUUGAGGUGAACGACUAUCCGGGUUCUGGGGCGAAUAACCGCCACACACCAAGGUCACAAGCAGGAAGAAGUUGUACAAUUGAUUGCUAAACAAUGUUAAUUAAUUAAUCUUUGGGUAAUAUUUAUUAUAUUUGUUUGUUUUAAACCUGUAAACAUGGUUUUGCUUUAUCAGAGUCUUUGGAUUAAGUAGUUGUAUUUUGAGGAAAUUGGAACUAAUUAAUUGUUAGCAGAUAUAGUAAACUCAGCACCGCCAUUUAUAUUGUUGCAGUCGAUGAAGAAAUUAGACAUGUCGUGUUAAUGAUCGUUUUCAACGGUGGAUGGUCGGCCGGUGAGUGAUGGAAAGAAACUUAGUGUAUGUGUGAGAGUGUGUUUUAGAGUUGUUGAGAUUGAGGGUUGUAAAAUAAGAUUCCAUUUUGAGUAGUGUCGAGUAGGAGGAACUAUUGAGUCUGAAAUCCUCACAUGUUGAGAUUAUCUUGAAACUUUCUAGACAUGCAUAUAGUACUUCGUAGUUAGUACUUAGUACUUGGCAGGCCGGUUUUAUAAACAAACAACAGAAGCAAGAAAUCUAUGUAGCACGAAAACUUCUUUUAUGAAUUCUAUUUAUUACCACCAUUGACUUUUUUUUUUUUUGCUGUUUUCUGCCAUUGGCCGGUCAAAAUCAUAAUAUUGUUGCAGUUGACAUUAAAAUUAUUAAUGUUUAUUACAAACAGUAAUAAUACUGUCAACCACAAUAAUAUUAAUUUUUUUUCAUUUUUUUACUAUGUUGACCGGUCAACGUAAUAAUAUUAUUGUGUUGCACAAUAACAUUAUUUUUUAACACAAUAAUAUUGUUGUUAAUAUCACUGUGUUAUACAGUAAUAUUAAUAUACACAUUUUUUAACAUUAUUGUAUUAGACAAUAAUAUAGAAGUAUUAUUAUUGUAUUAGACAGUACUAUAGUUUAUAUUACUGUCAAACAUAGUUAUAUUACUGUUUGUACUAGGCAAAAUAUGUUGAGAAAAAAAAAUUGAUUCAAAAUAAUGAUUAUUAAAAAAUAAUAAAAAGUUUACCACCGGAGACUAGCGAUUGCGCGAAUAAAAUUCGUACAAAAAAAUAUUGAAAAAUAAAGUCAACGGCGGCAGGGUUAAAUUGAGUUUAAGUUAUGAAAUUGGAGUGUAUUAGAUUCUUAGAUGAUAUUUUAUCUUUUAUAGGACUUUGAACAUUGUCUGAGACAGACCUAAUUAUAAAUAUGAAAAAUUAGCAAGAUCCCCCUCAUUUAUGAAAUAUAGUGAAGGAAAAUUCCCCUCUCAAAAGUAAUUAGAGAAAACAUCUUUCCCUUUAAACUAACGAUUCUAAGAAAUCUUAAUUGUGUAAUAUACACUUGAAGAACCCUAAUCUUAUUUAUAUUUAUCUCUUCUUCAUUACACGCAUCUCCUCUUUCUUUUUCUCUGAUAUUUUUUUCUCUUUUCAAUUUCCUAUCCAAAUCUAUUGUUCUCUCUCUCUCUCUCUCUCUCUCUCUCUCUCUCUCUCUCUCUCUCUCUCUCUCUCUCUCUCUCUCUCUCUCUCUCUCUCUCUCUCUCUCUCUCUCUCUCUCUCUCGAUCCGGAGGCGAAGAACAAGAGUUGUUGCCGCCGCUAGAACGACACUCGUUUUCCUUCUCCUUCUCUUGGAGAUGACUUUUUCGUCGACUUGUUACCUAAAUCGAAUUUUGAUGGGUGGUGGUUCUGCUUUGGUUGGUGGUGCGAGUUGUGAUUUACUUUGUUUGUAAUAAAAAAAAAAAAAAAAAAAAACCAUCAAAAUAUCGAAGAGGGGGGUGGUGAUGCGAUAUGGUGAUGACGGGGAGGCAUAUCUAGGGUUUUUUGGUGGAUCGGACAGAUGACGGCGUGGAUAGAGAAAUUCGCGCAGGCUGGACCCUUAAUCGACUACGUAUUUUGGUAGUCGAUUAAGAUUACUCGAUUUUAUGUUUUAAUUCAUUUUUUAUUUUUGCUUAUUGAUUCCAGUUUGUAUGAAUCAAUUACAAUUUAUGCAUAUUAUUUGUUUUGUAAAAAAAAUGUUGAUUUUUGUUUUUAUGUAGUUGUGUUUUUUUUUUUUUUUUUUAGUUAUUUCCUUAAUCAACUAUGUUUUAUCAUAGUCGAUUAAUAUGUUUCAUAGUCGAUUAAUAUAUCUGAUAGAGAAAAAAAGUUAAAAAACAAAAAAUCGAUAUCAAAAAAUUAAAUAAAUAAAAAAAAAAAACGGUUGAUGAGGUAGCCUCACAGUAGAUGAUAGUGUUGAUAAGGUGGUCGAGGCAUAAUGAGAAAAUUGAUAGCUAAAAUUAGAAGUGUACUUUUCUUAAAUGGUGCAGAAUAAUAUGUGUCUCUCCCUAUUAAAAAAGAAUAUUGAAGGAAUUAUAUAAAAGAUCCCCUUAUAAAUAAGCAGGCUAACGUGAACUUGUAUGAAAGUGUCCCUUUGAAUUAUACAGUUCAACGAUCACAAUUAAGUGACCAUUGUGACUAGGGGUGUAAACGAGCCGAGCUCGAGCCGAGCUCGCCUCUUUUGGCUGGCUCGAGCUCGAGCUCGAGUAUAUUUUGUCGAGCUCGAGCUCGAGCUCGAGCUCGCGAGCUCCUCUUUUUUUGGCUCGAGCUCGAGCUUAUGUCAGUUGUGUCGAGCUCGAGCUCGAGCUCGAGCUCGAGCCCAUUGUCUUUUUUUUUUUUUUUUUUUUUUUAAAUAUUUUUUUAAUUAUUAUUUUAUUAUUAAAAAUUAUUUAAAAAAAUAAAAAAUAAAAACUAAAUUGUAAUUAUAUAUAUUUUUAAUAUUUGUAUUUAUUUCUAUAGUAUUUUACAUUAUUAUACAUUAUUUAAAUAAAAAUAACAUAUAAAAAAUAAAAAAAAUAAUAAAAAAAUAAUAAUAAAUCCGGCUCGCGAGCCGGCUCGCGAGCUCAUGAACAACUGAAAACCAGCUCGAGCUCGGCUCAUCAGAAAGCUCGAGCUCGCGAGCUCGAGCUCGAGCUCGAAAAUCUCGAGUUCGAGUUCGAGCUUUUUACGAGCCGGCUCUUCGAGCUCACGAGUCGGCUCGGCUCGUUUACACCCCUAAUUGUGACAAAUCGAUUCGGAUCAUUAUUAUUGUUCAGCGGCUAGGACAGUCAAAAGUCGAAUUAAUGGCGUGGUUUGAACGGUCACUUUAAUUACUUCAAUGUUUUUUAUUAGAAAAAACAAUUAUUGAAAGUCUGACAAAAAUAUACCAGAAAUUGUACAUCUUUUAACCGUAAUAAUAAUACAUUUUUAACGGGAUAAUUAUACUUUUGGUCCCUCAUGUUUGGCCCGAUUUCACUUUUGAUCCCCCUUGUUUUAAAGUGAACAAAGUUCACCUCAAAGUUUCAAUUUUGAACACUUUUAGUCCCCGCCGUUGCAUGUCCGUUAGCAAGUAACGGAAAAUACUAUUUUGGGGCGAAAAUUAAAUUUUUAAAUUUUUUUGGGGCUGAAAAAUAAUUAAAAUUUUUAAAUAUACUACUUAUAAUUAAAAUUUUAAUAAUAUUAAGUAUAAUGAAAUUUAUUUAGUUAAUUUAUUUUUUUAUUAUUAAAAAUUAAUCAUAAGUAGUAUAAUGAAAAUUAAUAUUAAGCAUAAUGCACAAUAAUUUAUUUAGUUAAUUUCUUUUUUAUUAUUAAAAAAUCAAUUACAAGUAGUAUAAUAAUAAUAAUAUUAAGUAUAAUUAUAUAUGACUUGUUCAGCUAAUUUCUUUUUUUUUUUAAUUAUUAUUUUUUUUAUUAUAAGUAGUAUAUUUUAUAAUAAUUAUAAGUAGUAUAAUUAUAAUAAUAUUAAUUAUAUUACAAAAUAAUUUGUUUCGUUGAUUUUUUUUAUUAUGAAAAAUUAUAAGUAGUCUAUUUUAAAUAUAUAAUUAUUUUCAGCCCCAAAAGAUUUUAAAAUUUCAAUUUUCACCCCAAAAUAGUGUUUUCCGUUACUUGGUAACGGAUAUGAAACGGCGGGAACCAAAAGUGUUUAAAAUUGAAACUUGAAGGUGAACUUUGUUCACUUUAGAACAAGGGGGACCAAAAGUGAAAUCUGGCCAAACAUGAGGGACCAAAAGUGUAAUUAUCCCCAUUUUUAACCAUAAUAAUAAAUUUCUUACGAUAGUGAGAAUUUAAGACUUUUAUUUUAUAAACAUAUAAAAUUUUGUAGUUGGCCUCAAUGUUGUUAGAAGCGGACUGGAUCGGCCGGUCGGACUGGUUAGACCGUGACUUGACGAUGAAGCGGUCCGGUCUGGCCUCAAAAACCGAAAAAAACUAAACAUUAGGGUCGAUUGACCAAAAUCCGAUUCGACCAAGUCAAAACUUGGGAACCGGUGAGUCAGUCAAGGAACCCGGUGUUUGGCUAAAACAUAUAUCUCAAACCACCGCUAAGUUAGUUUUUUAUGGCCAAAUUUGAGCUAGUCAUGAGUGGUCGAAGAAUUGCCGGAUAUGGUCAUAGGUGAUCGAAUAGGGGUGACCGAUUGCCGGAUUUAAAGAAUAAAGAAUAGGAAAAUAUAUAGUAUAAACAAAAGAAAUAUAGUAAAAAGUUGGGGUGAGGUAGAUCAAAGUGAAAAUAAUAGGUGGAAAAUUAAAAAUAUAAAUAAAAUAAUAUUUUUUAAAUAUUAAAAUUAAUAAAAUAAUGACAUAUUAAUAAAAAUAAAAACCCGUUUGAAUCGUUUGAUCCUAUAAAAUCAUUAUCCAAAUGGUGGUCCGAUUCCAUAGGCGACCCGAUUCUGACAACAUUGAUUGGCCUUACAUAAUGGUCUUAAAACAUACACAUGCAUAUAACUGAGAUCAUAUUCACAUAACCUCUCACUACAAGAAUGGAAUCAUUGAAUAUUUUGUUUCACCUCUCCUUCAUUACAGUUCACUAAGUUUAUAAAUCUUUAAAUACUCACAUUAUUGCAAAUUUUGCCAUUUCCAUAGCUUCUUAAAAAAAUGCUAAUGUGAGUUUCUUAUCUUGAUCCAUUCUAGAUCUGACCACUGUUUCGGUUAGAACUGGAACCGGAACCGAACCGGGGUCAACGGUUUUAGAACCGAACCAAAACCGGUUUGACCGGAACUGGAACCAAAACCGAAAAAACCGAUUCGGUUCCGGUUCCUCAUUUUCGGAACCGAGAACCGACGGUUCGAACCAUAGUUCUAACCGUUUGAACCAGUUUAAAAAAAAAAAGAAAAAAUAUAAAGUAUUAAUGUCCUCUCUCUCUCUCUCUCUCUCUCUCUCUCUCUCUCUCUCUAUAUAUAUAUAUAUAUAUAUAUAUAUAUAUAUAUAUAUAUAUAUAUAUAUAUAUAUAUAUAUAUAUAUAUAUAUAUAUAUAUAUAUAUAUAUAUAUAUAUAUAUAUAUAUAUCUAUAUAUAUAUAUAUAUAUAUAUAUAUAUAUAUAUAUAUAUAUAUAUAUAUAUAUAUAUAUAUAUAUAUAUAUAUAUAUAUAUAUAAAAGUAUUAAGAAAAAUAUUUCCAAUGGUCAAAUUAAACAAAAAAAAAAUUACAUAUUUAAAAAAAAAUUAAGUUUUUAAAAUAUAUUUUCCACUUUAAAAAAGGAACUAUUUUUAAAAACCAGAACCGGCGGUUCGGAACCGAAACCGGAAUCGAACCGAACCAUGGUCAGGUCUAAUCCACCCGUUAUAGAAUCUUCACAGGUGGUUUUAUUACUGAACAAACUUCUUGUGUUCUAGUCCAAAAUUUGUUAUCCAAUAUGAUACAUGACACAUUUUCAACUUCACUUAGUCGUUUUGAAGUGUUAUUAUAGGUUUCCCACUCAGCAGUCAACACAUUAUCUUCAACUCCAUAAAAUGUCGAACAAGACUUUCAAUAGCAAUAACUAUUGUUGCAAAUAUUGUAAUUCUUGGCCUUACCAACUUUCUAUCUUUAGGGUAUGACUUGAUAAGAUAAACUAUUUUGUUACUAUUGUAAAUAAAAUUUGUAAUUUUCUUUGUCUUUUCUAUUCAUUUUUUUAUUUUUCAUUUGGACAUCUUGCUUAUAUCUUUCAACAUCAAAUCGAAGCUUCACUGUAACAACGUGUACAAUAUCUUGCUCCCUAUAUCAUCAAUAACUUUAUUAAUAAGAAAUAAAAUAAAUGUGUUCUUUAGUUUGUUAAUGUAAUCCAUUAAGAUAUGGUAUAUCAUUGAUUGAUCACAAAAUAAUAUAAAAUUGGUGAUAGAAUGCUUAGUUUUAGUACUACACGAUUUGUUCAACCAUAUUCUGACCAUUUUGUUUUAAAGUGGAUACAUCCUUCGAUUUCAUAAAAUUCUUUAUCUACAUAAGUUUACAGCCAAAAGGACCCUUAAUUCCAAUCUCAGAUUCAACAAUAGUAAUUAUCAUAGGUUGAUAAUAACGUCCAGUAUCAGCACCACCAUGAAACAGAAUAGCAUUAACUAAUAAUUACUUUGAAACGACCUUACCAACUUUGACUCUUUUGAGGAUCGAACAAGUUUUAAAGAUUUUUUUUGUUUUGAUGGAAACAUGAAAGGAUCAACACCACUUGAAUACUUCGUAGGUCCUUCUCUUACGUAGAAACUACAGAAUAUUCCUCGUUUUGCAUCUGAUGUUUGACCUUGGGAUGAAGUACCAACAACACGCCCUACAAUUAAAUAUUACUAAUUAAUUGACAUAUUGUAUAAGUAUAACUAUGUACUAGGAUAUAAAAGUUCAUAUACCAUCAUCAUAUUGCCUACGCGUCUCUUUAUCCAAGGCUAGCGUUUGGGUUUCUCUCUUCGCAUUAUGUAAUUGUUUGUUCUCCAUUUCUGAUAAAUGUUCUUUGUUUGUGUAUUGGCCGGGAACCUUGUUCAUCCUCAUUUUCGAUGGUACUUUCAGUAUCAACGUCAUGAAUGUUCAUAUUUUCUUCUCGAAUGGACAUUAUAGAUGUUUCCUUUCUUUUUUUCAUUAUUUCUCUAGCAGCUCUAGAAUCAUGGAGAUGUUUUCGAAGCAUUACCGAAAUUAUUUUCGGAGUUUUUUACAUGCCACUAUUUCUCUAGACACAUGAGCGAUGCGUUGUUUCAAUCGUGUGCAAAAAUUAUUUCGUGUAGCAACUAUAGAUGGAAUCAAAAGAUUGAAACAACACGUCGCUCAUGUGUAAGGAAGUAGUGGCAUGUAAAAAGGCUCUGAAAAUAAUUUCGAUCAUGCUACGAAAACAUCUCCAUGAUUCCAAAGCUGCUAGAGCAAUAAUGAACAAAAAAAGGAAACAUCUAUAAUGUCCAUUGGGGAAGAAAAUAUGAACAUUCAUGACGUUGAUACUGAAAGUAGCAGCGAAAAUGAGGAUGAACAAGGUUCUCAAUACACAAACAAAGAACAUUUAUCAGAAAUAGAGAACAAGCAAUUACAUAAUGCGAAGAGAGAAACCCAAAAGCUAGCCUUGGAUAAAGAGACGCGUAGGCAAUAUGAUGAUGGUAUAUGAACUUUUAUAUCCUAGUACAUAGUUAUACUUAUACAAUGUGUCAGUUAAUUAGUAAUAUUUAAUUGUAGGGCGUGUUGGUGGUACUACAUCCCGAGAACAAACAUUAGAUGCAAAACGGGGAAUAUUAUGUAACUUCUACGUAAGAGAAGGACCUACAAAGUUUUCAAGUUGUGCUGAUCCUUUCAUGUUUCCAUCAAAACAAAAAAAUCUCAAAAACUUGUUCGAUCCUCAAAAAAAUCAAAGUUGAUAAGGUCGUUUCAAAGUGAUUUUUAGUUAAUGCUAUUCCGUUUCAUACUGCUAGUAGUGGACCUUAUUAUCGAUCUAUGAUUAAUAUUGUUGUUGGUUUAUAGUUAACUUGCAUUCGAUAUUAGAUUUUGGAUCCAUUAUGUAUGAUUGUGGGAAAAGUAAGUGCAGUUAGAAUCUAAUACUAAAUUUAAUACUGCUUAAAUAUGUGACUAAAACUAAGAAAUUAAAAACUACAAAAGUUGUAGCAACAUAUAGAAUUAUAAACCGCAAAACUAUAAACAUAUCAAAUUGUACCUUUUCGGAAGAGAAGAUCCCAUAAUAGUGUCUAUUUUACUUCUUAUUGCUCUCACUAUCUAUAUAUUCGGUAUUACAAGCUCUCAUAUUUAUAACCAAAACAGAGUUAUGGGCAUUAUUAAUUGUCUCCAUAAUGUAUUUUGCUGUUUUCUCCAUACUGCUAUUAAUAUUGAUGACAGAGAGAUGGGAGUUGCAGAGGAGAGAGAAAAGAUACAAGAUGUCUUCCUUUAACCAAAUGCAAAUGCAAUAAAAUUUCACUACACACUCCCUGCAGAAAAAAAAUAUUUAACAAUUUUUUUUUUUUUUUUUAAUAUUUUUUAAUUUGGAAUCUAUCUAUUAGUUUAUAGACUUUUACCCCCAAAAGUUUAUUUUAAAGCACUUUUAGUCCAAAAAAAGACUUUUUUUUCUUUUCUAAAAUGACCCCAUAAUCUAGCCCCCAAACAAAAAAUCUAUGGGUCCGUCCCUGUAGACACUGUUAUAGCUUGGGAUUUAAAAAAUUAACAUUGAUGUCAAAUUGUCAUCACAGGUCCACCACCGGUCCACCAGGUUGUCCCGUUUUUUUUUCUUACUCAGUCCAAUAUGUACCGUAUUUGUACCUACUGUAACGAGUGAUUAUAUACAUUGGGUGGAUUUGAAUUGUAUAUUUGAUUUAAUAACUAUCUACUGGUCCUACGUACAUAUAAUCACACACAGGGGCGGAACCACCUUGUGACUUGGGGGGCUCCCGCCCCUGCAGGAAAAAAAUUUUGAUCAUUUUUUUAAUGGUUUUUUAUUUUAUAUUAUUAUUUAUCUACUAAUUUUUAUGCUAUAGCCCCCCAAAAAAAAUUUUUAGCCCCCCCUACCAGUAGGCUCUGGGUCCGCCCGUGAUCACACACACCCAAGGGCGGGCGGACCCAUGUGUAGCCUUGGGCAAAAAAAUUUAGCAAUUUUCUAUUAAUUUUUUUUAUUUUAUUUUGGUAUUUAUCUAUUAAUUUACAGACUUUGGCCUCCUAAAUUUAAAUUUUGUAUAUUUUAGCUCAUGAAAAAUAUUUUUUCUUCUCUUAAUUCACACCCAAAUUUUCGCCCCUUCACCAAAAACCCCCUAGGUCCGCCGACUCACUCAUGUGUAUGUGUGCGUAGUAGAUACUUGUUUAAUCAAAUCUACAAUUCAAAUUCACUCAGUGUAAAUAAAAGGUGUAGCAUCUAACUUCCUUUACUGUAAUUAAGAACAAGGGAGUUUUAGCCAAAAAAAAUUCCAUAAAAUUAGAUGAGUUUGUUGAAGAAUAAACAAUUGAAAUACAUAGUAACACAAUGAACUGUAACAAUGUUCUUAUAAUUAGGCUCUUACUCAUCAAGAUAAAUGCACUUUAAGUGAUGCCUAUAUAAUAUAUAUGCAUCAAAAGAAGCUAAAAAUCUUAUUCAUAAAACACAAUAAAUAACCACCAAGUUAAAAAAUUACAUGUUCAUAAAUUGAAAUCACUCCACAUCUAAAAAGAAAUUAAUAAUUUUCAAAUGCAUCCAAGAACUCAGCAUCACUUUCCAUUGCCUGCAUUGUCUCCGCCGCUAAGCAAACUUCCACGUCGAUCCCGCCAUCUUCCGCCGCCGGAAAAGUCGUCAUCUUCCCGUCAAAUUUCUGGCUUUUCCCACUCCUCACCGCUAUCGGUUUCCCCCAUCCAAAAUCGUUGCCGUACACAUUAUGCCUCGGCGAACUUGUUAUAGCUAAAGUACAGUUACCAAUACUCCCCUUUCUCACUAUUGUUGGCUUUUCAAUCCAAUCUUCCACAAAUUUGACCACUUCUUCUCGAUUUUGACUAGCAACAAACUCAUUGAUUUUCAUCCCUAAAUACCCUAAUCCCUUCCCCAAAAGCUCGGUUUCGCUAAUCGAAGUUUUCGCAAUGUAGGUUCCAUUCCCAAAGUAGCCAUCACCUAAUGGGAUUCUUGCUCUUGCACCAACUACAAAUAGCAUGAUGCAACAAACUUCUUCUUCUUGCGUAUUAAUUUGCGGUGUUCGACGAUUGCGGUUUUUGUUACGCGCAAUGCUCCGCCACAAGUGAGCCGAGACAACUUGUAAAGACGAUAUAAUUAUUUUGUCGCUACCGGCUUCUGAAUUGGCCUUGGCUUUGAGCUUAGCAACACUUUCUUUGCUAAAGUGGAAAACCCUUUGAAGCAAUUGAGGCAUCAUCACGUGGCGUUUGGGCAAGAGAUUAUUUUGCUCCAAUGGAGGAAGAAGAAUAAGACCAUCAUUGCAAUUGCUCGGAAACCAUUUUUCGAAUAGUGGCAUUUUUGAUAUUUUAUCGAAACCACGGGAUAUCUCGGACCAAGAGUUGAAGAAAUGCCAGAAAGAUGUUCCGUCUAUUAUAGCAUGAUUCGCCGUGCAGCUUAUAAAGAAUCCAUCCACAAGCUCAGUCACUUGCACACCGAACAAAGGCUUCGAAAUUCCGUCGAUAUUCGAAACACCGUUAAGUGGGAAAAAGGACGACACUAUCUCCGGUAUGUAGUUUGGUUCCGAGAUGUCGGAAACGCAAACUUCAGCGGCGACCGCGUGAGUAAACUCGGCACCGGCAUUGUUGCAGUCGACGAAAUAAGAAACAUUGUUAUCGCCGUUUCCAACGACGGCGGUGCCGAGGCGGCCGGCGAGCGGCGGAAAGAAGCUUAGUGUGCGUGAGAGUGUGUUCUUGAGGUGGUCGAUAAUCGUGUUUCGGAGUUGUUGCGAUUCGGGCUUGUGAAACAAGAUUCCCUUUUGAAUCGGGUCGAGUAGGAGGAAUUGAAGAUCCCAUGGAGUUAGAUCCAUUCUUGACAUGGAUUUAUUAUUGCCAUUGCUUGCCAUUUGAACAAGGCAUGAAGAUUUGAUAUCAAUUUUUUCCAUUGAUAUAUUUGAAUUCAAGAAAGGAAAUGAAAAUGAGUGGAGAAAAAAGGCUGAAGAAAUUGUAGCUUAAUAAUCAGGUUGAGGAAAUGGUAGCUUAAACCAUUAUAUAACGAAACGGUCAGGUAGAUGCUACGUCUGGAUAUUUACUUCUGGUGAAUUUGAACCGUAAAUUUGAUUAAAUAACUACUGACUAAGUAUACAUAUUAGUUUGUGUCUGAUUAUAUAUGGAACUACGAUUCAAAUCCACUCAACCUAAAUAAUUAGGUGUAGCAUUUAAUUCACAUAAACCGCAAAGUCAAUUUUCUUACCUAGAAUAAUGAAAGCAUCUUGUUUAAAUAACUUUAUUGCGUUACCCGAAGUGAUAUAGUAUAAUAAUUAUCUGAAACCCUCACAUGUUGAGAUUGUGUUGUAACCAUCAAGAUAUUGUGCUUCAAUUCGUAGUAGGGCCUUGUGAGUAGACAUACCGUAUCGUAUAAGCAAGGAACAUGUGUGAUCUACGGCUCUAAACGAGUUGAUCCGAUUCGUGAGCCUCAUCAUAUUUCUCGACAAAAGUUCGAGUUCCAGCUCGAGCUCAACUUUUCUCGGGGGUCAAGUUUGAGCUCAUUUUACCUGCUCGAACUAGGCAGUUGGUUUACACACUGUAAUUUGGGUAUGAUAAACAUAAUUCACUCAAUGGAUCGUUAAUCCAGAAUUAUAAUUGGACCUUAGGUAGACAGACUUAGAGGUAAGCAAGUCGGAUCCAUUAACCCGUCAAAUCAAUUAAAAAUCAUUCCGUAGAACCGGACAUAUAGAUCAAUCAAUAGAAUUGGGUUCUGAAAUGAAGAAGAUUCGGGUUUUGGUCUAAGAUGGAUUCAAUGUUUUUAAUACUCGUAAAACAUGUCUUGGCCCACUAUACAAAACGACACCAUUUUGUUUAUACGAUGUAGUAUGAUAAUUUAAUAAUAUAUAAUGAAUAAAUAAACUAUCUCUUGUAUAUAAAAUACACAAAUAAACUACACGAUAAUGGCGUUGGUUUUGCUUGCUGCUGACAAUGCUAUAGUUAUUUAUUUUAUUUUAAAUUGUGUUUUAUAAACUUUUAAUUAGUUAGUCUUUACAAUAGAUUUUAUGGUUAAUAUUUAUAUUAAUUUUUAUUUACUUGCAAUAUUUACCAUUAUACAUGUUGAUUUAGUUUAAUAAUUAGGAGAAUUGCAUAUAAUCAAAAGAGGAGGACUUGAAUGUACAUGGGUUCACUUCAAACCAAAAUCAACUUCCCAAAUAUACUCAUUCCCAUGUCUUUUUUUCUAAAAUACCCCUUAUCAUUGAUAAAUUUAAAUCAUUUUCAUCCAUUAAACUUUAACUUUAUCAAUAUGGUACACUAACCCCAAAUUUAUCAAAUAUAUCGCAUUCACCCCCAUUUUCACACAAAAAUUAGAAAAUGUUUUUUUUUCCCGGUCAAUCAUCGGCAUGGACUUUUUUUUCCCCCCAAAAAAAAUAUUUUGGACGGUCUUCAGGUUUGAUUUUUAUUUUUAACAACCAACUCAGUAAUUUUACUAUUUGUACAAUUAUUGUGUGAAAAAGUACAAUUAUUGUCUCAUACAAUACAAUUAUUGUCCGAGACAACAGUAUUGCAGUAUUGCAGGUUGUGACAACAAAAUUAUUGUUUCAAAUAGUUAAAUUACUGUUUGAGACUGUAAUAUUGCAAGACAAUAAUAUUAUCAACACAUAAUAUUACUGUAUGAGACACAUUAAUAUUAACACAUAAUAUGGGAUAAUUUCAGUUUUGGUCCGUAUAUUUAUUAUACACCAUUUUUUAUUUUGGUCCUUUAAUUGUUUUUGGCACAAAAUUGGUACUUUAACUUUUUUUGGCACGAAAUCGGUCCUCAAAUAAUCAGUUUUUUUACAUUUUUUUUUACCACCAUUUGAAAUUGCGAUUAGAUUGGACGGAAACGUCAUGUGCGAGGCACAUGACCAUGCACAUUAACCCCUCAUGUUUACCUAUAUUAUUAAUUUAACCCCAAUAUCACUUUAUUUUUACAAUUUUAUCCAAAUUAAAUUAUAUACGAGAAAUGUACUAAAAUGUUAAAUGACAAAAAUACCAUAGAAGGGUUUCUAGGAAUUAGUACAUUUUAUUUUAUUCACAAAUAUUAUUAUUUUGUUUUUCUCGAAAACACUAUAACCAAUUUGACUAUACCAAAUUUUAUUAAAGAGUUUUUUUUUCAAUUUUAUUAAAAUGUAAAAAAUAAUUAAGCAUAUAUUGUAAUUUCAUAAACAAAAAAUCCUCGUUUAUACAAUAAAAUCAAUUUUGCCUAAUCUUAUGGAUUUUAUUGUAUUUUUAUUAUUCUUUAAUAAAUUUUUAAUAGUAUUUCGAUUUUCAAUAAAAGUGCAAGACAAUUAAACAUCAUUUCAAUUAAAAAAAGGGACAAAAAUGUAAAGUUGGUGGCUCGGCGGCGGAGGUGAAAAUGGCAGAUGGGGCGGAGCUGGGGCAUUCGGAACAAAUUGUUGAGGAGUUGAUUUUUUUUUUGGACGAAUUAAUAAUAAUAAAGUAAAUUGGGUCAAAUAAAAAAUAAAGGUAAGACCGGAGGGUAGAAGUGGAUGAUUACAUACCUCGCACGUGACUUUCCGUCCAAACUAACAACAAUUUAAAACGGAGGACGGAAAUAAAAAAAAAAAAAAAAAAAAAAAAAAAAAACAAAACCUGGUUUAUUUGAAGACCAAUUUAGUGCCAGAAUAAUUUAAGGACCAAAAAAAAAAAAAUUGUAUAAUAUAGGAAUGCCUACAUAAUAUACUAUAGUACUACUAAAAUCUCUUUUGGUUGGACAUAUUAGGCUGGAUGGGACUAAUUGUACCGAUUAAUUCAUUGUUUGGUUAUCGUGUUAGACCUCCUCUUGAUUAUGCGGCGCACGGAUGCAAUUAGCUACUAUUGGUCAAGCCAUCAUCAGUUAAUCCCGCCAUCUGGCCAUGUGUGUAACGACGAUAAUAAAACCCUUCCAAAAAUAAACUAAUUACCAAAUUAUUAUAUAUAAAUACUUAUGUUCUUCAAAAAAUCCUUACCGCCGAGCCCUAAUCAACCAACAUGUACGCUUUGUUGAUUUCUCUAUCUUAAAAAAAGUUAUAAACACCUUUGUUACUGGUAGAACAAAUCAUUGGCUAACUUAUAAAGAUGCAAACUUACGCGUCGGUAUUGCAUAUAAAAAAGAAGAGAGAUAGAAUAUUUCUUGGAGAAUCGUAAGCGUCGGGAUCAUGGUUCGCCGGAAUGGAAGAGUGCAUUGUCGCGAACACUGCCGUUCCAGUUCCAUUGCAACGUCGCGACUACAUCUCGGCCGAACGAACACAUUUUAAUUAAAUUUGCUAAAAACAUACAAUAUAUUUCAAAUAUGUUUUAAUAACAAUAUUACAAUACAAUAAUAUGCAAAAUAUUAUUACAAUUUAAAAAAAUAAAUAUACAAAGAACAUAAUAAAAAUACAAGCAAUAUUAAUACCACGUAGAAUGUCGAGCUGGAAUUAUGUAAGCUAUAAUUGAAGAGUGAAUCCAAACAUCCGUGAUUCAGGAGAAUCUUCAUUCUCCAACGUGGCCACCACCAUCUUAUUAUUUCCUUUUUUUUCGUUUAUGUUUUUUUCCUUAUUUUUUAGUCAAAUUAGUCAUAUUUAUAUGGUGUUGUCAUUCGUUGAAAGAAGAGGUCCGGUUGCAUAACUCUUAAGAAAACGGGUCAAUUACUAGUUUUUGGUCUAUAUGAGGAGUAUGUGACACCUGGGCAGUGCAACAUGUUGGGAUGUGAAGCCCAAGAUUCAAUGAAAAUUCGCAAGAGGUUCUAGAUUAGCCGGUUUUAAUUUUAUUAACAUCCUUUGAUUAGAUUCGUUUAAUGCGGAAUAAAUCUAAUCUAGCAACCUACAGUUUUCGUGAGCAGAUCCGUUUCUAUCUUCGGCGCACGAACGAGGAUCCACACCAAGCCUUCAAUCCUCGAAGAACUGUUGUCCAGAAAUUUCCAGUCUUCUUCCUUCACCAAUAUCUCCGCGACCGUUGAAUCGAUCGAGAAACCCUUCAGACGAUUUUAGAUCUAAGGGUUAGGAAGUUACUGUAUAAAUUUCGAGCAUAUCCGACUAACAGUUGAUUUAUGGUGAUUUUCUUCGCAGGACUGCUCAGAAAAUUCGUGAAUUAUAGUUUGCUCUAAAAACCUACAAUCUUCUAUUGUAUAUCCCGGAUUAAUAAUUCUUUUACAAGGGUGGACUUGUACUUGAAGAAAUCUAAAUCUAUAAUCGAGAAACUUAGAGAGAAAAGAAGAAAUAGGCGUGUAGAAUCAUCGUGAAAUAGGCGUGUAGAAUCAUCAUCUCUCAUCAACUUAAUCUCUAUUAUAUAUAACACAAGGAAUUAGAGUCACACAUAGAGAGGAUUACAUGGGAACAAAAUACCACUCCUUCUAUAACUCUAUAUAGUUUAAAAUUGCAGUCCAAUGGGGACUUAAUUUUUGGCUAUAUUAAUUCCAAUAUAUAAUAUUGGUUGAACUUUAUUUUCUCGAUUAAUUAGAAAAUCCAUUGGGCUACAACAGAGACUAUAGGAGAAAAUAUAAACCGGACAACUAAUAGUUAAUUAAAUCACCAAAUAAUUUAUUCACUACUAAAUAAAUUAAAGGGGUAAUAUGCUAGGAGUCCCUCCAAGCAAACCUAAUUUGGACUAAAUGACAAGUCAACAUUCAAUCUUUUAAUUAAAUCCUUAUUUUGAAACAAUAUAUGAUAUAUAUCCCUAAUUUAUUUUUAUCCCUCUAUUGCCCUUAUACCUUAAAUAGUUUAACCUACAUAUUUAACGUUUCUUCUACCAGAUUAUUUAUUUUUGUUCUUCUCUCUUUCUUUUCCUCUGCCCCCUCCCCUCCGUCUCUGUCUUUUUUUUUCUCCCUCUCUUUUUCUCCCCCUCUUUGUCUCUCGCUUUCUUUCUAUCUUUCUCGAUCGAUCUUCACAUAGCUAUCUUUUUUUUGUUAAGGCACGAAUAUUGUGCCCCUAUGCUCAGAGACGCGACGGUGGUGGCUGCGAUUUUGAAGGUGGCGGCGGUGGAUCUGAGAGAGGCGACGGAGCGGGUAGCGGAGUGGCGUUGGAUCUGAAGGCGACGACGAUGUGGGUAGCGGAUGCGACAUCGUUUUUGGGAAGAGAUGAAUCCAGGUAUAUGUGAGUUGAAUGAACGUGGUGGUGGCCGAUUAUGUGGGGAUGGUUAUCGGAGGCGGUGGUUAUGACGUUGGCGGCGAUGGUGCCAGAUCUAGGGUUUUCAUAAUGAAUAAAGACGGUUAUGUGGAGGCAGAUCUAGGGUUUCAUAGUGAAUAAAGGCGGCCUUGGUGGCUAGGGUUAGGUGGUUGCGAGAGCGGCGGCUGCUAGUUAGGGUUUGGCGACGGCUGGGAGUUAUGUUGCUUUUAGGGUUUCGAACAGUAAACCAUAGUAGACCAUAGUACACUGUAGUACACCAUAACCAUAGUAUAUCAUAGUAUAUCAUAGUACACCAUAGUGUUUCAUAGCCUACUACAAUUUUAACAACAGAUAAAAUUAAAAAAUGUAAAUUGAAUAAAAAAACGAAAAAAUAGUUUUUUUUUUUUUUAUAAUUUUCAAUAUUAUGUAGGAAAAAAAAGAUUUUUUUUAUGUUUUUUAUAAUAGUGUAAAAAUGAUAUAAUUAGAUUUUUAUAAUAAUGAAAACAAUACGACAUGAAAAAAAAAAGAAAAAAGAAAAAGAGAAAUAUGUAGAAAAAAGAAAAAGAGAAAUAUGUUCUACGUAAAAAAAAAAUGCUAGAUGAAAAAAUGAAAAUGAUAAAUGCAGUUAAAAUAUAUAUUAUUUGAUGUAUAUUUCAAUUUUUAUUUGUCAAGGGCAUUUUUGGAAUGAAAUUUAUAAAGGAUGUGAAGCAAAGAUUUAGUUAGACUUGUCAUUUAGUUCUAAUAAGUUUUGUCACUAGGGACCUAUAUCUUAAGACCCCUAAAUUAAAUGGUUUCUUUUCAUGAGUCUUGCCCGCUUUACUUAUUUGAGUAUGUCGGAUACGAAAUCCACCUGGCCAGGACUUGACAUAAACAAAUCUUAUAAGCUACUCAAGGGUUAUUAUCAAUCUCAUAUUUCAGAGAUGUGGAUUCCUUUCGAUAAUUAAUGUCCACCUAUUAAUUCUUAAUGUCUCUACCCAACGCACCGGGGGCCAUAACUCAAUAUAGGAAUCUAUCCCAUUGUGAUAUCAAAGUAGAGAUCAUCAAUUAAAUAUGUACGUUAAUUAUUUAGGGAUUAAGAGAGUAAGUAAUUUACUGUCAACUAUAAAUAAUACAGUUUCAUUUAUGAACAAUGAUGAAACAAUUAUUUCAAUUUGUCCGGUUCAACACAUGCCGGGUGUGCUAGCACAAUAAGUCAAAACAAUAACAACAAAAGUUAUUCUCUGUUUACUGUGAUCAAGAUCAAUCACUUAAAUAUUGUGCUACAAUCUUUUACCAAUGGUUAGUUCAUUUCCAUCUAGAUUGUGAACGUUUAUCUUUAUAUUCUAAACGAACUUUCAAAAUGAUCUUUCUGUGUGCCGUAGCACACCAUUUCGAAUACUAUUAGAAUAUUAGACUUAUGCUUUUAAUUAAUUGACAAACAAUCAAUUCAAUGCAUUGAAUACCCUAGUGCAGAUUCUCAUAAAACGAUAAUAAGUUAUUUUAUUAAUUCAAUAAUAAAACUAUGUAACAAAAAUCGAAACUUUUAGUCUACUAUUCUAACACAACAUGGUUGUUGAGAGGUGGGUCGAUUAUCUCAUCGAUCGAGGCAUUUAAGGAAUUAUUGCUUUUCAAUCGAGACUAUAUACUAAAUUUUUCUUUCACAUUUUUUAUGUGCCUUUGAUGCAUUUAAUUGAGAGGUGUGUGUUCUUUUUUGAGGUAAGAGUUAGAGAGGACAAUAAGUGAGAAGUCAUGGCUACUUUGACACAGUUCAAGUUAUUAUGUAUUUCUGGUUUUCAGCAUUCAUGCUUAAAAUGUUAGUUUUAUUUUAUUUAAUGGUCCAUUAACCUUUGUAUUUAAUUAAUUAAUUGUGGGUAAUUCAAUUAUGUAAUUAAUGCUGAUUUUAUGGUAAUUGAUUUGUAACGGUGAUGGCAAUAAAAGACCAUGAUGGGUGGGAUUUGUCUUCUACCGUUACAAAUCAAUCAUGACACUCUUCUCUCGUCUAUAAAAGAAUCCACAACUCUUCUCCACAACCAUCAGACGUAAUCUGAGAAUUCCAUCACUUACAGAAUAUUUACGAGUUGUGAUAUUGGAGAGAUAGAGAGAAGAAGGUGUGUCUACGAAUAAGGUUCUCAUAAGGAGAUUUAGGGAGGCCUAGCUAGGUUCGGCUUGUAGAUUGCUAUCGUUAAUCGUUCAUCGUCUCUAUCGAAAUCCAUGGCGAACGGUAUGUCGAUAAUCCCAAUUAUGUGCUUAUGUUCUUAAGAUGAAUUUAAUUUCAAGAUUCUGUGAUUAAGGUUUUCCGCAUAAAGUUAAACAAAAGUCUUUCAUAAAAUACAGUUAGUGUGAUUUUUAUAAAGACAUGAACAUUUGUAGCACUUUAUCUAUUGCUCAUUGUUUUAAAGGCCACAAAUGUAUGGUUGUAUAGUUUUUGAGUAUUGGUUCCUCAUAAGGAUUUGGAAUAUUAUGUUGUCUCCAUUUUUUCAGAAAAAAAAAUUGUUACUAAAAAUCUAGUGAUAUAAAAGUUACGAAAACAUAUAGCCAAAGACCUUAUCAAAUACUAACAGAUCCAUUGUACAAUAAAGUUCUUUGUAAAUGUGUUAACCAUCAUAGCCAAACAAUUUUACCAAUAAUCAAAACAUUAAAAAUUAAAUACAGCAUGGGUAAGUACGAAAUGUCUCUACAUCUAACAAUAAAAUAAGGAUGACAAAUACAAUGCCGAAGAGCACAAAUUAACCGUGCAAAUUCGACGAAAAAACAAGGUUUUGCAAACUCAUGAAACAAUAGUAGAAUCUUUUCUGUAAUGUCAUUGGAGAAGAUGAAAGAAAACAUAAGGGAAUGACACGUGUUUCCGUUGGACAUGCUUGUUGGCGGCUCCCUCGAUCCUACACUCGGUGAAAAACACCGGGUGGGUCUUUUGCUGUCACGUGUCCCUUUUUUUAUUUUUCUAAAACCCCUUAAGGUAAACCCUAGCGGGAAAUAUAUUAUAAAAUACAAAAAAGAGACACGUGGCAGCAGAAGACCCACCCGGUGUUUAUCACCGGGUGUAGGGUCGAACAAAUCCUUGAUGGCCGAAAAAUGUUUUAUACGGGGAAGAGAGGGGCUGGUGUAAUUCUUAGUCGAAGCAAGGGGUGUUCUAGGAAUUGUAUCGAAGAUAGGGAAUGUAGUGCAUUGUAAACGAAACUUAAAAGAAGAGUGCAUAGUUCAACAAAACGUAUGCGGAUUGAAUAAAACUUAUAUAACUGCUUUAUAGAUAUUUAGUAGCAAAUAAUCCAAAAAUAAAAUAAAGAACAACUCAAAACUCUAAAUACUUUUUCAGAAGACAUGCAUCAUAUAUAUAUAUAUAUAUAUAUAUAUAUAUAUAUAUAUAUAUAUAUAUAUAUAUAUAUAUAUAUAUAUAUAUAUAUAUAUAUAUAUAUAUAUAUAUAUAUAUAUAUAUAUUAAUGAUGUGUCUAAUCAUAAUUAGGCCCAUAAACCUAAUUAAGAUUAGGCCCAAAUUGCCCUAAUUAAUCUAAUUGUGUGUAAAAACUCAAUUAGAUUACUUUUUACCUUUAAAUGACAACACAUUGUCCCACAUCGAAUUUCUACAAAAGUCCUACCUAUUCAUCCACCUAUAAAUGUAUGUUUCAUUUCACAUAGGAAUGUACACUCUAAUUUGGCAAUUAAUUAUUAUUAUUUGCUUAUAUUAUUACGUCUUUUGACUUGAGCGUCGGAGAAUAAUCACCGGGCCAAACCCGACGUGUCAUCUAGUGUUUAAAUUGUUUUGUAGGUUAACGAACGGAGCAGUCCCUUCGACUACCUCGGGCACGUGGCAGUGACUCUCGGCAUUCUCUACCUUUGUGGGCUCAAGGACUCUUGGGUUGCCCAAUUGACAUUUGAGCAGCAUCAUUUUGGCGCCGUCUGUGGGAAUGCAAACUCGAUCACGUGACACGGGAGGAGGUGGUCAAGGUAGUCUCAAUCCGUCUCAGCAAGGAGCCGGCGGCGGGAUCCCGGAUCCGCCUCGAAGAAAGAGGACGGCAGGAGCAACCAACACGGCGGGACCUUCAGUGCCAAUCAUCCAGAUGACGACGGAAGAAUUGCAAGCGAUGAUGGACGAGACCGCAGCCAAGGCAGCGGCUUGGGCGGCGGCAGCGGACGCAGUAGCUCAAUACAUCAGCGCUCAAGGCCAUAGUGAUUUUGAAGAGUCGAUUCUAUCAGAAAGCGAUCCCACGGAUCCCGCUCACGUCCAUGUGGCCCCGCCCAGCAUAGAACUCCACGACUCUGAAGAAAGGGUGUCGCUCAGCGGCCGAAGCCUUUCUUCAGAACGGGCUCCCCGAAGGUAUGCUCAGCCCCGGUCGCAUCAGCAUAGCUCGGCCUUGGACCAGGCUCCUCGAAGAGAAACGCGUGGUCGAUCACCACGACCCCUAAGGCAACGGGCUCCUUCAAGGGACAGAGCGGCGCGAUAUCGCCGAGAGAGGAGUGGAUCCUCUCGGCCGAGUGUUCCACGCCAUGAGCCUCGAGACGAUAGACAUCGCGGACGUUCCUUUCGCCGAGGCAACUCCUCUCGAGACGAAUAUGGGAGUAGAUACUCUCAGCCGGAAGAGACGAGAACGCACUGCGAGAAUUUUAACAGUCGUAAUUCGAGAAGCCCACGACGAGAAACUUCGAGAUCAGCCGCUCGCUUUGGAGCGCUCCCCGCCCGAAUAAGCCCCUUUAUUCCGGCCAUUAUGGAGGAAGUUUUACUGCUCGGAUUUAGGAUCCCCAAUCUUCCCCAAUUCGAUGGAACCGGAGAUCCCCAAAGUCACCUUAACAAUUUCUUCGCUAAGAUCGACCUUUACAGCCUCAGCGACGCCGCCUACUGCAAAAUUUUCCAAACUACCUUGACUGAUCAAGCACAAACUUGGUUCAACGAUCUACCUGGAGGGUCAUUGGAUGGCUUGAGCCAACUAUCAGAAUGUUUCCUUAGCCAGUAUUCCAUCAAUAAGAGAUACGCCAAAACCGGAUCGUACCUCUUCAAAGUCAAACAACGCGAAUGAGAACCGUUAAGGGACUAUGUACAACGGUUCGUCAAAGCUGUGCACGAGGUGCCCAAUGUUAACCACGACCUGCUGGCCGAUAUACUGCACCAUAAUAUGGGGAUUGUUGUUAAUUUUGUUAACAUGAGAACUUUUUCAACAAUACGAAAUAACACAGGGGGUGUCUCGGGCUUUACAUAUAAUUUAUAGUUUCAUGGGAAAUGUAUAGAUUAAGAACAAACUCCGACAAAAAUUUCUCCAUUCCACUCAAAUUAUUUUUGAGAACUUCUUUAUUUUUCCCUAAUACUUCUCAAAUAUGAAUUGGACAACUCAACAGUCUUUGAGCUCGCAAUGAUAGAGAAUGUUGAAGGUCACUGUCACGUGUCUCGAGGUAGUCAAUGAAUCCUCCUGUUAAUCCUACAAAAUAGUUGAAAACACUAGAUGACACGUUGGGAUUGGCCCAACAAUUAUCCUCUGACGCUCAUGUCAGAAGCUAUAAUAAUAUAAACAAAUAAUAAUUAUUAAUUGCCAAAUUAGCGUGUACCUUGUUGUGUGAAAUGAAACACAUAUAAUUUAUAGUUUCAUGGAAAAUGUAUAGAUUAAGAACAAACUCCAACAAAAUUUUCUCCAUUCUACUCAAAUUAUUUUAAAAACUUCUCUAUUUUUCUCUAAUACUGCUCAAAUAUGAAUUGGACAACUCAACAGUCUUUAAGCUCGCAAUGAUAGAGAAUGUCGAAUGUCACUGCCACGUGUCUCGAGGUAGUCAAUGAAUCCUCCUGUUAAUCCUACAAAAUAGUUGAAAACACUAGAUGACACGUCGGGAUUGGCCCAACGAUUAUCCUCCGACGCUCCUGUCAGAAGCUAUAAUAAUAUAAGCAAAUAAUAAUAAUUAAUUGUCAAAUUAGCGUGUACCUUGUUGUGUGAAAUGAAACACAUAUUUAUAGGUGAAUGAAUAUGUAUAACUUUUGUAGAAAACCGAUGUGGAACAAUGUGUUGUCAUUUAAAAGUAAAAAUGGUGCUAAUUGGGUCUUCAUAAACAAUUAAAUUAAUUUGGGCCGUUUGGGCCUAGUCUUAAUUAGGCUUUUGGAGCUAAUUCUAAUUAGGCACAUCAUUAAGCCCCCCACUUCCAAGUUGUGUCACGGGCGGUGAGCCUACUUGGAAGUAAUAUAUAAGCCCCACCAUACACUUGUAGGGUUUUUUUUGUUUUUUUUUUGAGGUCUCUUUUUCCGGAAUUGUGCUACCGAAGUUUAAGGAUAUUUGACAUUCUCCCAAAGGUAUAAAUAUCUUCUGCGAAUCUUCUAACUUUAUUUAUUCUAAUUAUUGUGCCGCUGGUUGAAUCCCCUCUUUAGUGUUUGGAGUUUCAAAAUUGCAUUGACAAAAGCAUAGAUUUUGGAUGAGUCUAGUGACAAACUAACUAGAGUUAAUUCGGAUUCCGACAAUGACAAACUUGAGAUUCUAAAAAUCUUUAUAGUCGAGGCCUAAUUAAGAUUAGGCCCAAACGGCCCAAAUUAAAUUAAUUUGGGCAGUUUGCGCCUAUAAUUUGGGCCGUUUGGACCUAAUCUUAAUUAGACUUUUGGGCCUAAUUCUAAUUAGGAACAUUAUUCUCUCUUGUUUUUUUCGCUUCUAUCACCACAGCACCACCUCCUAUGACUUCGCAAUGUCGUUCCUAGCGAUGGAAAAUCAUCAGAAAGAACGAAAAUUGUAAAAACGGUAAAAGUAAUAUAUAAUAUAAUUUCGAGGGAUUUUAAAUGAAAAUUCAUAAAAAAAAUGAGAAUACUUGGCUGAAAAUUCUGGAGGACUUCCGAACACGUGUGUAAAAACUAAAAAGAAAAAGAAAAAGCAUGUUAAUGUUCAGAAAUUGAGUAUAUAUUGCCUUGGGGUUCUUCAAACGAAUAGUGCCUAGAGAAUUUAUAUAAAUAAAAUGAUUGAGGGAUUUGAAAAGAAAUUUCAAAUCUGGUAUUCUCCUUUUAAGUUGUAUUUGGAGAGAUUGUGGAGAUUUCAAAUGACUCAAAUUGGAGUUUUUUCAAAUCUUUCUUCUACUUCCCUAAAUCAAAUAUUUCCAAAUCAAAUCCUUCCAUCAAAAUAGACCCGAAUAUAAUUAGGGCAAACUGCAAAAAUAUAUAUGUUAAUGAAACUUCAUUAAAAAAGAUAGGGUUAGAGACAAAAACACCCAUGUACUAUGGACUUUGUAUUAUAUACCCAUGUAUUACACAUAAAUACAAAAACUUCCCUACCAUUACAUUUUUUCCAAAAUCAGAUGAAAAUACCCCUACUAAAGCUUAUAUAUAAGGGCUUGUUUGAGUCAUUUUCCACUAUAUGUUUUAACAUUUCCAUUCAAUUUUACUUGGGAAAUUUUGGUAUUUUUAUUUUUUACUCAAAAACAUCUAAUUGCUUGGAUUUUUUUUUUUAUUUUAUGUAUAAAACAUUUUAUUCUCGACUAGCACAAUCAUAAUCCACUACCACUAUAUCUACUAGCCCAAAUUUCAUUUCAGGGGACAAUUUUUCUUUAAAACCAGAUGAUCCUAGUGCUGAAGUUGAACAAGAGUGUUAUGAGAUACUUCCGAUAAAUAAUGGCGUAGAUACUAUAGAUGUUAUUGAUGGAUAUUCUUUUUAUUUAUAUUUAUGCAUGUUUAAUUAAUUUUGAAUUUAAUUCAUUUACAUGCACAUAUGUAGAGUUUAGUUCAUAUUUAUGCAUCUCGUCAUUUAAUUUAUAUUUAUGCAUGUUUAAUUAAUGUAGAUCUUAUUUCCUUUUUAAUUUAUAUUUAUGCAUGUUUAAUUUAUGUAGAUAUUAUUUUCUGUUCAGGUGACCUAGGUGUUUACGAUGUCGGAGAAAGGUAAGGACAGGGCUACUGUUAUGGAGUUUGAUGAUAAGGGUAUUCCGGUUGAGCCCGGGAGGACAAAAUUGGUAAAUGAGCUUGCUAAACAGGUUACACAUUGUGACCUCUUUAAUCCGUGUAUUUCAUGGCCCACACACAAAAAGGAUGGACGUGUGGAUGAAUUUUGGGCACGAUUCAAGGUAAAUGGUAUUAAAAUUCUCGUAUAACAAUCGACAAAAUUAUUGUUUCAAAUUACCUAAUUUUAUUUUUAUUUUUCUUAGGAUAAAUAUAAUCUUCCCGAUAAUGAUGCUACAAAGAAGUGGUUCAACAAGACUACAAAUGCUCGUUGGAAGGACUUCAAGUCUAGGGGUUUAAAGGCACAUUUUGAUCGCAUGCCCGACCCCGAAACUGCAAGACAAACUCGUCCGGAGGGAUUUAUUAGCAAUGAUUUAUGGGGUCAAUUGUGCGAUCAAUUUAUUGCUAUGAAUGAGUCAGAGAGUGAUGGGAAUGAAAUUUGUAAUUCUUAUUAAUUAAUAUCAUUAUAUGAUUUAUGCAUUGCAUCAAAAUAUAGUAACUUAUGUGCUAUUAUUAUUAGUCCAAAUCUCAAAAAUGCCGCGAAGCACGAAAGUCAAUUGCAACCGAACACCAUUGGGGCCGAACUAGUAUCACCGGUUGGUCUCAUAAACAUGUAAGUGAUCUUGUAUAUGUGUGAUUGUAUAUAUUUUAAGAUUUAUUAUAAGGGUGUAAUUACUUUUAUAUUAUUUAUACAGAUUCUGAAAUUUGGCAAGGUUCCUACCGUGGCAGCUAAAUUCAGAAAAGACUACAUAAGCAUCGGUGCAUUAAAGGAAUCGGAGACUUUACUUGUUGAUGGUUGUGAUAGUGAGAUUGGUGGGGGUGAUGGUGAGCGACAACUAGAUCAGACAGGAAAGCCCGAACUACGUGCCAUUGCAGUAAGUUAUUAUUUUAGUUGUAUUGAUGCUUUAUUUGCUAUUUUGAACAUGUUUGGGUGGUAUUGCAGUUGAUGGAUUAUGGAUUUAUUCCGUACUUAGGUAUCGAUGAAUUGUGUAAUGUAGUUGGUGGAUCUUUACGUGAAUUGAGCAAUUGUGUAUAUUGAGUUCUCUAAUGAAGUUGAUGCUUAUUUUUGUUGAAUUGUUAUUUUAUUUUCUAGUUGAGCAUAUUUUGGUUGUUAAUGUAGUUGGUCAAUCUUUAUACAUGAAUUAUUGUGUUUUUGUUUAUUGAACAUCUUUGGGUUGAGCAAUGUAGUUGGUAUAUUUACAUAUGUUACGUUGGUUGUUUAAUGUAGUUGGUCGAUCUUUAUAUAUGAAUUAUUGUGUUUUUGUUUAUUUGAACAUCUUUGGGUUGAGCAAUGUAGUUGGUAUAUUUAUAUAUGUUGGUUGUUUAUGUAGGUUGUUUAAUGUAGUUGGUCGAUCUUUAUAUAUGAAUUAUUGUGUUUUUGUUUACUUGAACAUCUUUGGGGUGAGCAAUUUAGUUGGUAUAUUUUUAUUUGAAUUAUUAUUUUAUUUUAUACUUCGUAUCAAGUAAUUAGUAAUUAGUGUUAAUACACUUUUUUAUAUUAUUCAGGCGGAUUUGGACAGAGUCUAUCAAGAAUGUAUGUCUGAUGGGAGUGAUGAAAGCACCGCCAACACGAUAGCUUGCGAACGAGUACUAGGAAAAACUAAGAGACUAGGACUUGGUUGUUCAAGUUCAAAGAAAGGGGCGAGGUCCAACUUAAAGAAGACAAUCAGACUUUAAAGGACGAGAUAAAUCAAAUAAAGAGUACUAUUAUAGCCAUGGUCAAAUAUUUUAGGGCUCAAGGUGUCGAGUUCCAUACCCAGAAUCCACCCGGCGACGGCAACUAGUUUCCUCAACAACAAUGGUUUUGGGUACUUUUAUUUCAUGUUUGGAUGAUUUAAGUUGUUAUUUGGAUUAUCUUGUGUUUCAAUAGAAUUUUUGGAUUAUUUUGUGUUAGAUGAUUUUGUGUUUUGGAAUGUUUCGAUGAUUUUAUGUUUUGGAAGAAUGUUUUGGAUUAUUUAAUUUAAGCGAGUUGUUUAAUAUUUUUGUAUAUUUAAUUAUAUUGGAAUUGUUUGUUAUUACAUGUCAAAUAAAAAUUAAAAUAAAAAUCAGUAAAAUGUUAAAAAAAAAAUAUUUAUAUAUUUGCGACGUUCUUAGAAUAUUAGUCGCAAUCGCAGAAAAAAAAAAAAAAAAAAAAAAAAAAAAAGCGACAAUAGCUAUAUAUUUGUCGCAAUGUCUCAACAAAAACUGUGCGACUUUAGUUCAAAAAAAAGACGCAAAGCGAAAAAAAAUUGCGACGAAAUCUUUUCGGAAAAUAUAGUCGCAACACCUUUGCGACGAUAUAUAUGUGUCGCGGUUGGAAGACGAAAUGGGCGACGUAUAGUCAAAUUUGUCGCAAUAAAUCAGCAGACGAAAAAAUUACAACAUUGCGACGGUUAUAAUAAAUCGUCGCAAACAGUUGCGACUUUAACUGCAAAACGUCGCAAAUAUUUGCGACGGUCACUUUUUUAACUUUUUUCCCGCGAAUUUCGACCCAAAUUAAACGUCGCAAAAUUACAAAUUCCGUCGCAAAAUUACAAAUUCCGUCGCAAACGAGGUUUUUGCGUUGCAAUAAAACGUCGCCUGAAAUGCGUUAUGGCGUAGUGAUCUUUUAAUUGUUAUUAUUAUUUUUAUCUCUUUUUUUUCCCGCCUAUUUUCUCUAAUUUUCUUUGCUUCAUUUAAUGAUACAUUUUUUAUACUAUGACUCCUCUAAACAAAUGUCACAUUAUGACAAUUAAGUUUAUAUAUAUAUUUUUUAAAUGAGUUUGUAUUAUUAAAUUUGUAUAAAUGUUGAUGUAGUUACCGAUAUCACUAAUACAUUUUAUUAUAAUUUUUAUUAAAAUAAUCAUUAUUUUUACUUUUGAAAUGUUAUCUCGUGCAUUGCACGAAGAAAAAUGUUAGUAUUUAUAAUUGAAACACCUUUUCUAAGGUUUUUAUAAAUAGAAAUUAGGAACCUUCAUUUUUCAUUUUGGAAAAAUAUUAUAUCAUAACACAUCUACUCUUGAAACAUGUACUUAUUUAUAUUUUUAUAAUUUUGCUAGGAAGUGUUAUAUGCUACAUUGGGUUAUUUACAUCCGUGUUUGUUAAUUAACUGGAAAUGUAAUUAAACAUAUAUACACGUGACUGUGUAUGAUUAUGUGCGGAUUAACAAAUGUCCGAAAAAUAACCGGACCUAACUAGAAUUGAUCCAUAGAUUUUCCUAAGGGUGUUGCUAUUUGCAGUAGUAUUAAUAAUGAAUACAGCGGAAUCUCAUUCAUUUGAUUUUUGAUUUUAUUUUUUCAAAAUUGUAUCUCCCUCUCCCAAACUCUCUCAACACAUUCAACAUCCGAAAAAACUUCAGCCUUCAAUCCGUACCAAACGAGUCUCGACUCCGUUAUUUUUUUUCAUAUCCUUAUACUUUCAAUCAAUUUGAUGUACACCUUAGGUAAAAACGCACGAUUAUGAUUAGAUCUAGGUAAUUUUUGAAAAAUAAAAUAAAAAUUGAAUCCCCGUGCCCCACCCCUCCUCUUUUUUUGAGUUCUUACCUCGUAAUUGUAAUCCGGAUCUGCCAUUGAAGGAAGUGGUUGUUGUUGCUCGGCAGCAAAUUUAUCAAACGACCUUCAGAUUCAAAGAUUUCAAUUAUAGUUAGUUGAGUUAGAAAAUUUGGAAAAUGAGAAAUGAGAUUGUCGCUGCAAAUAAAUCAAUUUCAGUAAAAAUGUCGCUGCAAUUAGCAUUUCAGUUUUUGGGCAAAACCAAAAGCUUAACCCCACAUUCCGGACGACGUGGCCGAACAAGAGCCACUUGAAAACAUCCCAAAUGAGUCCCAUACAUCUCAACACACUCUACUAAAGUUUACUUUACUCCUUACUCCAAACGGGAAUUGACGAUACAAACAAAGCAAAAAUCUUACCCCCAUUAUCCUCAAUCAAUCUCCACCGUUCAUUUCAUCCCAUCCUACGGCCCUCCCCUCCUCAAAAUCCCCAAACCAUAUCCUACAAAAAUCACUCCUAAUUCACUCUUAAAUCUUCACACCACCACACUCUCCACUCUCAGCCACUGAUUCUUCAAGAAUCUAUCAACCCACCACCACCACCACCACCACCAUGGCGGCUUCCAUCGCCCUCAAAACCUUCAUCGGCCUCCGCCAGUCCACGCCGGAGAACAAUGCUAUUGUUCUCUCCAAUCCCACCGCCGUCGCCACCUCGCCCCGCCGCAGGCUCCGUAUAAAUGCCUCGAAGUCCAGCCCAAGGGUCACCGGCCGCAACCUCAGAGUGGCGGUGGUGGGUGGUGGCCCGGCCGGCGGCUGCGCGGCGGAGACGCUCGCCAAAGGGGGUAUCGAGACGUUCCUCAUCGAGCGGAAGAUGGACAACUGCAAGCCCUGCGGCGGCGCAAUCCCGCUCUGCAUGGUCGGAGAAUUCGACCUCCCGCUCGACAUCAUCGACCGGAGGGUGACCAAGAUGAAGAUGAUCUCGCCGUCGAAUGUGGCCGUCGACAUCGGCAGAACCCUGAAGCCGCAUGAGUACAUCGGGAUGGUCCGCCGCGAGGUCCUCGACGCCUACCUCCGGGAGCGCGCCUCCACCGCCGGCGCCACCGUGAUCAACGGCCUCUUCCUGAAGAUGGACCUCCCCCAGUCGAAGAACGCGCCGUACGUCCUCCACUACAGCGACUACAACACCAAGACCGGCGCCGCC
This 99029-nucleotide long non-coding RNA is filed under the name Erythranthe guttata (spotted monkey flower). RNAcentral's name for it is "long non-coding RNA (EGUT_LNC001261)". The record is from RNAcentral. Lineage: Eukaryota; Viridiplantae; Streptophyta; Magnoliopsida; Lamiales; Phrymaceae.